RNAcentral lists this long non-coding RNA (121278 nucleotides) under Malus domestica (apple). Lineage: Eukaryota; Viridiplantae; Streptophyta; Magnoliopsida; Rosales; Rosaceae. The record is from RNAcentral.
ACGCCCACAUGUACAAGUGCAUGCCAAAAAUUAACUCAGUCUACGACCGACCCACAUCACACGCCUUCAACCCUUGAAUUACUGCUUCAUAUGCUCUCACACAACACACCCAGCAACCCAGCCAACCCAGCUAGCUGACAACCAACUUCUCCCUCUCUCUCUCUCUUGUCUUGCCCCCACCCCCCACCCCCCACCCCCCACCCCCCACCCCCCGACCUUUUCCACUAUAUAACAACCAACAACCCCAUUUCCUAUAAAUGCCCCCCCCCUGUCCCUUAACGCCUAACUUUUCAUUUAUAGAGGGUGGUGGUGCACAAACACGUCGUUUGUGUAUAUUUGUGAUCUGUAACACAUUCAAUACGAACACCUAAACUUGUCGUAUGGCCGCUGCAGGAGCUGCCGCGGACGGGCUGUUCCGGUGCGUGUACGAGGGUUGCUUAUCAGAGUUGGAUAUCGGAGUGGAGCGGCGCCCGUACCACCGCAACUGUGGCUGUGCCCUACACAACAAGUCACCUAACAAGCAAUGUACCCACGGAGGGCCUAAGAGUAAGAAAGUGUCGUAUCCGCUAAGGCGGGCUUGGAGCGAAGGGAACUUGGCUUUGGUGGCUUCAGCCGGUUCUUCUGUGCACUCCUCGCCGUCUUCCUCGCCGGCUAAGCACCACCAUGCGGUCGGGAGGCUACAUCAGCGGCGGCAGUCGCAUCAACAAUUGGAUACUUUGUGCGAUGAGGACGAGGAGGAGGAUGAGGAGGAGAAUGUUCUCUUCAAGGUUUGAUGUAUGUUUGUGAUUUGAUCAGAACAAUAAGUAUACUUUGUUUGAUCAAUAAUAUGGGAUAAUCAAGUUUUGUAAUUAAAUCUAAUUUUGAGUUUACUCAGAGAGGUUUGUAAGUUUUUCUGAUCAUCAUCAUAUCAAUGCUAUUUUUUUAUCUGGCAAUCAUCGUAUUUUGGUUAAGAACAUGCUCUCUUUCCGUUUUGAACUCACUAAACAGAAUAUUGGGUUCUAAUUUGUUUCUAUCCAUCUUUGUCAAUUUCACUCCAAAUUUGCAGGUUUUAGACUGCAAAUAUGAAAUCUUGGAUCCCCUUCUUCCUUGCUCUCCUUCAAAACCCAAUUUGGGGAUCUAGCUAGAUUGUGGGUUGAGCUAUUGAGGAAGAACUUUGGCAGAGCUCUCUUUUAUAUUGGAUGGAAUCAGGGUGGGAUCGAGAGUGACCAAAAUAUAAUAUAACAGGUCAUAUGUUUUUGUUAGAGGUGUCAGACAAAUAACAUGACUGGUAACCCUUCUCAAGAUGUUGAUAAUUGGAGCCGGUGCCAAAAGCAUACAAGUAUAUGGAAAUUUUUUUUGACUUCUUACUUAUAACAAGUCAUUCAGUUCAACAAAUAAAUUGUAAGCGGACAUAUGUGUAAUAUAUUUACAUAUGUAUUAAAUUGUGACUUGCAGAUAAACCUUUUUUUAGAUACUUUUGGAGAUUCUUCGAUCUAGAUUAAACAAUGCAUAGGAAUUUGGAGAGCCGUUAACAUAAAGAAAGACUAUCAGUCUUUGAGUGUGUUUAAUUACCAAAUAGUUAAUAAAGCCAAUACAUUAUACAAUACAAUCCAAACACCAACCGACAUUUAAGAGAAAAUUUUUAAUGUGCCAAGCACACUACACUAAAUAUCAUAAUAUAAUUAGUUUGAUUUUUUUUUUAAAUUUCUCAUCAAUUAUAAUAUUACAGUUAGUGUAUUGGAAUAACCCUGCACACUAAAAAUCUCUCGUAUUCUAGGCUGGAUGGGAUGUUUAGUUGGCUGCACCAACAUGUUCAACAAAUUAGAAAACAACUUUUAUUAAAUAUUAUAACAAAAAGAGGAAAAGAAAACGAACAAACAGAAGAAAUGACACACAAAGUGAAAUACCAUCCAUGUUCUCAUGUCCCUCCAUCUAUGCUUCCCAAUCUGUCAUUUUAAAAUACCUAAUUAGAAACACGAAAAUAAUUUCCGUACUCUAGGUUUUCUCUCCGUACUUUUGUUGUUGUUUUGUUUUUGUCAUUAAAUUCAUCGAAAAGAUAUGAGGCACCUAAAUAAAGAAAUAAUACUGACGAAUGAGGUAUUUUUCUCAAUCCACUGUUUUUUGAGUUCAAAUUUAACUAUCUUCAUAGGAAUGGUUGCGGUUACUUAAAUUUUUUUAAAAGUAACUUCUUAAAAAAGUUGGGGUCUUAUUUGUGUUUAGUAAGUGAAAGUAGCUUCUUAAAAAUUACAAGUCCAAAACAACAGAACGCAGAAGCAGCUCUAUACAUGCUUCUAAAAAAAAACAUUUUUUUUUAUCAAUAGAGGCAGGUGAACAAUAUUGAAUUUCAUAUUGACAAUUCUACCUUGAUUUUUUUUUUUCACUAAAAGCCUUUUUUUUCACAGUUGUUUAGUCUCGUAGCAAAGCAGAAGCAAUUUAAAAUUUAAAAAAAGAAAGAAAAGAAAACACAACAACCCAAACUGAUCUUUAAUGUAGCUUAGAAUAGUAAUAUUAGUUGUAAUUAAAAAAAAUAAAAGGAAGAUCCAAAGAACAAAAGGGGAGUUUAGAAAACAUUUUCCAUUUAGAAAAUGUUAUCUUGUUCUUGCCGAAUGAAUAUAAGUAUUACGAAUAUGUCGACAUUGAAGAUGGCUACCACAUAAGAAUAUGACACACACAGAGAGUUUUGUGGUUGUACACCGUGCACACUCCAAAUGAGACAACAAUAUACAACAAAAAGAAAAUCGAUCAUCAUACAUUAUCUCCUCCAAUUGCAGAGGAGAUAUUUGCCUUUUACGGCGGGUAUAUUCAUUUGUUUAGUAUAACAUUGAUCACGUGACCGAGAUAUAUGUCUGGUAAUGGCGAAAUCUUUGCCCGCUUGCAGAUCUUUAUAAGCAACACAACCAAGAAAAGUGUACAUUUUUAAUUUGUUAGUCCGAAGUACAAACUAUAAGCUGCCAAUACGCAUGCCUUGGUUCCAAAGCUCACAGGCCUUGCCAAAACUAAAACUCAAAUAAGUGGUGCUACGAGGAAACAUAUCAUAGGCAAAAGCGUCAAGUACGAGAGUUUACACAGAAAGGUGGAGAACACAAAGGACUACCAAAGUUUCUGUCUAUAUUCUGUUGAGAAUGAAUUACACGUUAAUGAGAGGAGAGACCUUACAUGAACUUAUGUAGUGAAUAGUAAUUGCAACAGUGCAUUUCAAGUUUCAAUUCCGUAAAGAACUUACGUUUCUACAUAUAUGUGAUAUCGAAAGUUACUGUGAGAAGUUCACUUACAGAUUUAAGUACAUAUAAGAUAGCUGCAUUAUGUUAUCAUUUUUUUUUUUUUUUUGGAAAACACAUUAUGUUAUCAAUUUAUCACAAAAGAUAAAGUCACGAUCGAAUUUUCAAAUUCUUAUCGCACAAAGCAACAACACGAUCGACAUGGAGUCUCGAUCCACUGAAUGAAUUGCGAAUACCAUAUCAGAACAUUGUUUCUCAAAAUAAAUGGAAGCAGGCAGUCAAGAUUCGAGAUUACAAGGCCGGGAUAUACAAAAAUGACCAUGAAAAGGAUUGAAGCAAUAAAACGGAUUGAAGCAGAUAGUGUUUACUACCUUACUGAUAGUGGUUAUUAGUUAUUUUCAAGUAAUGACAAUUCCAAUGAGGUAAAGUUGAAAGGCAAAAACGCAAGAGCGAGAGAGGAGGGAGACAGUGACUCCAUAUUUUACGUCCUAAAGUUACUAUUCUACAAGGACGAGAGAGAGAUAGAGAGAGAGGACGGUGACGCCGUGCUAAAACGGAGAUGUUGUCGCGUAGAAACAGUCAACUAACUCACGCUCAUAACAAUAGGAUUGGUAACAAGAUUAGUAAAAAGACGUCAUUACGGAGAAAAACUAUGUUAAAGUCGUAGAAACAGUCAACUAAGCUUAAGUAAGAAAAUCGUUUUGUCUAAACUCUCCCUCUCUCUCUCUCUAAAGCAUGUGUUCGAGAAGCUGAUUUUUUCAAGAAAAACCAACUGCCUUGUUGAAUAACUACUUUGACAAGGCCUCAUGAAAAACAAAAGCUGAAAAAGAAUAAUGAUUCCCAAGAACGACCACCAUUGCUAAGCUUCUCUUGAGUUCAACGGCGUAGCGAAGCUAACAAAACUUCUACUCUUGGUUACUCCUACACUACCGUGAAGAAACACCCCUCCGUGUUCUAUAUAAGCAUGUAACAGAAGCACUUCAAAGACACACAUAUGUAGAAAAAGGAAGCACACUUUUUCAAAAGCUUAAUUGGCACAUACAUACUUACACUUGCGUUUUCACUAAAGCUUAGGAGAGGAGAGGUGGGAGGGAUGAUCCUUGGGAUAGCGGCAAUGAUGCUUCAAUGCGUGAUUGAAGUAAGUUUAUCAAUUCAGGACAUGGAGAUUGAGAACAGGCCAUACCACCGCAAUUGCAGCUGCGCGCUGCACAACUUGAAGGGUAUUUGCUCUUGCCCUCCAAAAACGAUUGUUUCAUUCCCCAAGAAACAGCCUUGUUGUUCUCGAUGGCUCAUCAGUACGGAACAAAGAAGACCCGAACGUGCUGUAUCAUGUCACGGACAAGAUUUAGAGAGCUUGUCACAGCAGAGCAACAAGGAAAAGGUCAGCAACUGAAAAGUAACAUCUUUAAUUUAUUUGUUUCGCUCUAUAUCUAGACAUCCAGGUCACCUGGAGAGCUUGAGAUAAAACCGUCUGGAAAGAGGCAUUUGUUUAUUUGAAUCCUCCCAAUCACCCCCCAAACACCUUUUUAUUUACGCCACAAAUUGCACACAAAGAAUACUACUUGUACAACAACCAAGCCUUAUCUCAUUAAACGGGGUGGGCUGUAUGAAUCAUUGAAUGCCACUGCACUCAGUCUUGUGCCAAAUCUUUCUUUAGCUACAAGUACUCCAUAUCCUUUCUUAUAAUCUCUUUCUGAGUCUUCCGUUAGCUACAAAUAUUCCAUUUAUACAGAUAAAGUCUAUAGACUCUACACCAAGUUGGUAAGUCAUCAUAUCAAAACAAUCAGAUUAUAAAUUUAGGACAGGAAAAAACAAACACGCCUGUCUUGAUAUCGAAAAACUCUUCUCAUGAGGAGCCAUGGAAGCUAAGCUCAUUCUUAGUCCUUCCUACCCCAGAGUGGGAGCGAUGAGAUGAAUGUUUCGAUACCUAAUUGAAAUAUCACCAACACAAGAUAAAAAAGAAAAAAAUAAAUUGUAGCCACGCCCCUGAUUGCUCGAUUCAUACUUCCUCUAAUCUGCAGCAGUACUGCGUCACUAAUUAGUGCAUGAAACAUUAGUUCAUCACUAGAAAAUAUAAUCAUAAUUCAUACAUUUAGUACAUCACUCAAAGAAAUAAUUAUACAUUUAGUUCAGCGCUAAGUAAGCUCUGGCAGUUGAGCAACUAACGACGGAUAGGCUGGGGCGACAGACUGGAGUUGCAAAAUGUCAUCUGCAAGCUAAAAGCUCACCUGACAAAGGAAACCUUCUGGCUUUUCCGGUAAGUGCUUAUUUCUCUGAAACUUUCCUGGUCGUACGUGUACAAGAUAUUUAGUUUGAAUUCAUAUCAGUGUGAUACAAUUGGCAAAGGCAAAGAAACUUAAGCACAUACGCAAGCAAGAUAUGAAUUAUAACGAAGACAUGAAUAUCUGACACAUCACAAACCUUUUAAGUUAAACAUAAGAAGCUGAACUAAAUAUAUGAAGUGGAUUCUUCGUAGUUUCGAGUUGAAGGUGGUAACUUAUGUUAUGUCUUACAGGUUUCGUCAUUGGAAGAAUUUUUUUCGUUUCAUUGGGUCAGAGUACGAGAGUUCAAUUGGCAAGGGAAGAGAACCGUCCUACUGGUGGAAGCAGAACUCCUCCUACUUUAUCAUACCCAGGACCCAGCAGACCUAGCAAGCCUUGACUCAAAACCCUAGCAACCCUUUACUUUGACUACAUAAAAAGGAGUUCGGAGAGAAAGCUGCAAUCAAUGGGAUAUUUCUAAUUCUCUCUUCCCGAAUGUAAGAACGUGAAAUUUUAUGGGUUAAAAAAUUGAAGUAAGGAGUUGUUGAAAAUCUUAAAACGGAAAGGAAUUUUGACUCUAUUGGAUUAAGAAAAUAAUUUACUCCAUCCUUCAAAUACUAGAAUGAAUAUCCGACGAAGUAAAACCAUCUUUAUCAAGAUGAUAAUUUGAACGGGUGAUUCAUGAAUGCAGCCGGGUUGGACCGGUCAAUAACUCGAAGGCGUUUAAUUUCCAUCGAACAUCUAUGAGGAGUUGGCAAAUCUCCCCCGAACCUCUUUGAGGGGUUUGUAAAUUUCCACCGAACCUCUACGAGGCAUUUGGAAAUUUCAACCGAGCCUGAUCCAGCGUAAUAUCUUUAGUUUCUCACCUAUAAACAACUAACAUUGCAUAUAGCCUUUAAAUCUAUAUGUUAAUUUGCUCUUCAAAUUUAAAUUUCUAGACUUUUUUUUUUUAAAAAAAUAAGUCCUUAAAUCUACUUUUGCAAGUCACGUAAUUAAAUUUCUAGACUUUUUUUUUUCAUCAGCAGUCUGUGUCACAUCCCGGCCCGGGGUCCACCACAUCCCAAGCCCGCUCUACCGCCGUAGCACAAUAUUGUCCGCUUUGGGCCCCGACUACGCUCUCACGAUUUUGUUUCUGGGAACUCACACGAGAACUUCCCAGUGGGUCACCCAUCAUGGGAAUGAUCUCGCACGCUACUCGCUUUAACUUCGGAAACCCGAAGUCAGUGAGCUCCUAAAAAGUCGUGUCACAUCCCGGCCCGGGGUCCACCACAUCCCAAGCCCGCUCUACCGCCGUAGCACGAUAUUGUCCGUUUUGGGCCCCGACUACGCUCUCACGGUUUUGUUUCUGGGAACUCACACGAGAACUUCCCAGUGGGUCACCCAUCAUGGGAAUGAUCUCGCACGCUACUCGCUUAACUUCGGAAACCCGAAGUCAGUGAGCUCCUAAAAAGUCGUGUCACAUCCCGGCCCGGGGUCCACCACAUCCCAAGCCCGCUCUACCGCCGUAGCACGAUAUUGUCCAUUUUGGGCCCCGACUACGCUCUCACGGUUUUGUUUCUGGGAACUCACACGAGAACUUCCCAGUGAGUCACCCAUCAUGGGAAUGAUCUCGCACGCUACUCGCUUAACUUCGGAAACCCGAAGUCAGUGAGCUCCUAAAAAGUCUCGUGCUAGGUAGAGAUAAGAAUAUACAUAUAAGGCUUACAUGAUCCAUUCCCUGGGCGAUGUGAGAUGUUACAAUCCACCCCCCUUAGGGCCCGACGUCCUCGUUGGCACACUUCCGGCCAGAGAUGACACACUUCUGGCCAGAGAUUGGCUAUGAUACCAAAUUGUCCAUCCCGACCCAGGCCCCCACCACAUCCCAGGCUCAACUCCACCGUAGCACGGUAUUGUCCGCUUUGGGCCCCGACCACGCCCUCACAAUUUUGUUUCUGAGAACUCAAACGAGAACUUCACAGUGGGUCACCCAUCAUGAGAAUGCUCUCGCACACUACUCGCUUAACUUCGGAGUUCCGAUGGAACCUGAAGCCAGUGAGCUCCCAAAAGGCUUCGUGCUAGGAAGAGAUGAGAAUAUACAUAUAAGGCUUACAAGAUUCAUUCCCCUGGACGAUGUGGGAUGUUACAGCUUGAUCAUACUUUCACACUUAAUAUUUCAUCUCUAAACUCUAACGGUGAUGAUAAAUAACUUAUCAAAUAAAUAACUUGAAAGACAGAUGGCUAAAUUGAAGGUUUGAGCUUUUUCCCGAGUAUUUAAUUUCCGCACUCCAUUUUUCUCCUCUGCAUUUCUCUAGUUUAGUGUCUGCAGGAAGUGCCUUCCGAUGGUUCAGAAAGCACUUUCUAAGAGUCAAUUACUUUAGGAAGUACUUCCCGAUACUACAUAAAGCAUUUCCAAAUAUGCACUUUCAGUUGCUUCUUUAAGCACUUGUAGUUUAAUAAAAAAUUCAAUGUGUCUAGGAUAAAAGUACUUGUAGCAGAAGCGCUUGUAAACAAAAAAUGCUUGCUCGAGAAGCAAUCCGAAAGGAGCCCUUUAUCACACAAACAAAUGACUCCUUUAGCAGAAAACAAGAUUGCGGAAAACAUUUCCCAUUAAUUUUGGUCUGCUUUGUUUAGGUAUGGAUGUUGUGACGACCAAAGCUGCCAUACCGACCUACAGGCCUUUGGAGAACAUACACCAAUUCAACGAUUUCGCCGAGUUUUUGGGUGACGGGAGAGCUGGGAAUGCUCGAGCUCUGUGGAACAAGCCUCUCAAAACCGUUUAUAUCAGCGGUUGAGGUGAGCUCAAGGUGGCAAAGCCUUCCCUUUCUCCUAGUCUCCCUUGAUCAUUUUACGUACAUUGCAUUUGCAUAUAAUUUAUAUAACUGUUCAUAUUGUUCAGUUCACAUAUUCAAUAUUUUUGUUAAGAGCCUUUUGAAGUUAUAAUUGUACGUAAACCUUGUUUCUGCAAAGAUUUUGUAAUGAGAACGUACUGCUGCUUAAGUUGUGCUUCAUGUGUUUCGGUGAGAGCCUUCUAACAUUAUGGAAGCCUCCCUUUCUUGUCUUAGAUAGGAGGGAAACUUACCUACUACAAUGAGGUGAUAGUGGCAGUAUUGAAGCCUAUCAGGCCUUGUCGUGUGUUUUAACAUUUUCACUGUGACGAUGCGUGAUUGGCCUAAGAUACCACCGCAUCCUACCUAGUUAGGCAACAUAGCAUAAUGAACAUUACUAAUAAGAACAAAGAAGCAUCGGUCUAUGUUAUAGUUUGAAGAUACCUUAGAUGCUAUUGUUUACACCAACUUCAUAUUGGUUAGUUGUAGAGUUAUGAUAUCCACAUAUCAUUUUUACCUCCCGCACAUUCUUCUCAAUUUUUUGUUGUCGGCUUGAGUGAAAUGAAAAAGAUUAAAUGACAUAAAUUAAUAAGGGAUAUGUAAGAAGUAAUUGGAUUGAGCAACGCCAAUGGUAUGUAUGAAAUGUAUGUACGUAUGCAUGAAAUGCAUCUACAUACAAAAACAUUACUUCCCAAUUGGGUAGUGAUGUUCGCACUUCCGUUUUCUCUUUUUGCAAAUGCUGGAAAUAUCGGACUUGGAAUUGGAUCUGUUUUUGGGCCUCAACCCGGUCCAUUGCAGCAAAUAGAAAAGGAGACUUCAUGUAAGUUGGGCUUGGCCCUUCAAGUAUAAGGAAUCAGUUCGUCAAUUGGCAAAAAAAAAAAAAAAAAAAAAAAAAAAAAAAAAAAAAAAAAAACGAAAAAACAAAAGAAGGUGAAAAAGAAACAAGUGAUGUUUAUGAAGGUAGGUGAAUUGGGAGGAGGAUUCUCUCGGUGGACCCAUCUCAAACUUCUACGAACUUCUUCCACUGAAUGGAAAGGACACCUUGGGCCCCGCAGUAGGAAGGCCCAUUGGAAAACGACGAAUAUGUAGCCCUUCUCUCUUUCGGCCCAAUAGGGCGCAAGCAAAUACGGAGGGUGGGAACCACGAGCAGCCGCACGUGAAGGGGACCUGCAGCGACUUCAGCCGCUAGCGCCAAAUUCAAUCUGACGACCGAUCAUCUACCACUGUUGUUUCCCCUCCUGCAGGUGGUCCCCACCACCUCCCUUCUGCUGCUGUACGAACAGGGUUCUCAGACUGUGCGGCGGGUAUUCCCAGGUGGUCCAUAAAACGUAGGGACGACAUGUGUGCUCGUACGGGUUUGAGGUCACUGUGCGUAGGGUAAGGACUAACUGACGACCCUCUUGAGGAGGACGUCCGAAAAGCGAAGGUCAUCGCUUGGGGAGUGUGGUAAACCGUCCCUCCCGUGUAAUCAGUGUCGUUACAUACACCAAUCAAAUCUAACGACUUCCCCGACAUCUGUCAACCAUAGCCACAUUUGCACGCUCUUUGAAUUUUGAUUUAUUAUAGGGAUUUUUUUAGAGAACUUCAACAAACAGUUUAUUUUAACGAAAAAUUAUAUUUUUACAUUAAAAAAUCAAUCUUAUUACUAUUUAUUUUACCCUUUUUUUUUGUUAUUAUUGUUAAAAUUUAAAGCUUUCAAGCAUUUUUUCAUUAAUUUUCCUAAUUUUUUAACGAAGAUUAAAAUUUAAAAUAAAUGUGGUGUUAGAUUACAUAUUUAUUAUAAUCCCUUGAUGUGUCCUUAAUUUUAAAGGAAAACUAAUGAAAAGGGCUUGAAAACUUUGAGUUUUAAUGAUAAGGACAAAAUAAAGGGUAAAGUGACUAGUACCAUGAUUGACUUUUUAGUGUAAAAAUGUGGUUUUUCGUUAAAGUGAACAGUAACGGGAGCUUUUCGUUAAAGUUCCCUAAUUUUAAAUAAUCAAUGUGCAUUUUAUCUAGUGUCUUCCAUUAAAUAUUUAAAUUUAUUAAUAAACAAAUUUUUAUUUAUUUUUUGACCAAAAAAAGUUUUUUUUUUUUAAUUUAUUAAUUUUAUUUAACAUUCUUCAAACUUGAAAGACUCAAUUAAUGUACCUAAGGUCUCGUUUGGCAGCUGGGACUGUACUGACUAUUUCUGUCGGAUAUGAUAAAUAACCACCGGACAGUACUGAUUAAAUUAGUCAGACAUUUGAUGCAGUAUCGGACUAAGUUUUCCACUGCAAUUUUAGUCAAGAACCUCUCUGCAAAUACACCAUGUUUCUUUGCAAGACCCAGUUGCAGAAGAAGCCCAGAAACAUAUUAACUAAACAAAAAUCCACAAACUACCAGAAUAAUCGAUUCCUGUUCGUCGGAAAAACAAGAACAGAGGGAAGGCCAAUGGUUGGGCGCACAAUUGGUGAAUAUAUAUAUUUUUUUCUUAUCUCCUCUUUGCUGCAGAUUCAGAUGGGGUAUUUGUAACAUAUAGAAUUCCAAUAAAUACAACCCCACGAUUGGUGAAUUAGUGCUGCUAUUUUGGGUCAAUGGUGAUUUGGCCAACGGUGAAGAACAGAGGGAGGCGGAAGAACAAAGGGAGCGGCAGAACCUGGGAAGACGAAGAAAAAUGAAAAGACGAAGUGGGAUUCAAACGAAGAAGAAAGAACUUGAGAAGACGAACCUGGGAUUCAAGAGAGCAAGAGUGAGUCUGAAGAGGAAUGAGAAAGCGACAAAUUUCAGCCUGACUAAAUUGUACCGUGGUUUUGGACGGUAUAAGCAAGCGGGUAAAGACAGGAUAAAAAAGGUGGGCCUAGGUUAUUUAAUCCGGUGGCUAUUUAAUCCAAACAGACACCAAACAUCGUAUUUCGUAUUAUUAGUACUAUCCGGUAUCUUAUAUGGUGUGCCAAAUAGGGCAUAAAUGUUAGUACCAAAAUGUAUUAUAUUGAACUAAUGUAUUUAAAUGUUAAUACCGAAAUGUAUGUAUUGAAUUAUAUGCACCGAAAUGUAUUAUAUUAAAUUAAUGUACCUAAAUGUGGGUACUGAAAUGUAUGCACCGAAAUGUAUUCAUACUGGUUGGUUGUAGAGCUGUAAUAUCUACAUAUCCUUUUUACCUCCCACACAUUCCCCUCGAUUUUCCGCUGUCGAAUUGAGUGAAAUGAAAAAGAUUAAAUAACAUAAAUUAAUAAGGAGUGCGUAAGAAGUAACUGGAUAGCGCAAUGCCAAUUGUAUGUAUGAAAUGUAUGUACGUAUCCACGGAAUGCAUCUACAUACAAAAACAUUACUUCCCAAUUGGGUAGUGAUGUUCGCACUUCUGUUUCAGCAAAUAGAAAAGGAGGCUUCAUGUAAGUUGGGCUUGGCCCUUCAAGGAUAAGUAAUCAGUUCGUCAGUCGGCAAAAUAAUUUAGAAAAAAAAUAUAAAUAAAAAGUGAAAAAAGAAAAGAGUGAGGUUUAUGAAGGUAGAUGAAUUGGUCGGACAAGAUCCGAAGACAAACAAACGUACGGUCUGGAUUGGGUGGACCCAUCUCAAACUUCUACGAACUUCUUCUGUCUCAAUGGAAAGGACACCUUGGGCCCCGUAGUCGCAAGGCCCAAGGGAAAUCUACGAACGACGAAGAUGUAGCCCUUCUCUCUUUCGGCCCAAUAGGGCGCACGCAAAUAGGGAAGGUGGGGACCACGAACAGCCGCGCGUGAAGGAGUCCUGCAGUGACUUCAGCCGCUAGCACCAAAUUCAAUCUUACGGCCGAUUAGCUAUCACUCCUGUGUCCCUCCUGCAGGUGGUCCCCACCACUUCCCUUCUGCUGCUGCUUUUUUGUACAGCUGUACGAACAGGAUUCUCCGACGAUGGGGCGUGUAUUCCCAGGUGGUCCAUGAAACCUAGGGACGACACGUGUGCUCGUACGGGUUUGAGGUCAGUGGACAGGGUAAGGACCAACCGACGAACCUCUGACGAGGACGUCCGAAAGCGAACGUCAUUGAUUGGGGAGUUUGGUAAACUGUCCCUCCCGUGUAAUCAGAGACCGAUCAAAUCUAACGACUUCCCCCACAUCUGUCAACCAUACCCACAUUUGCACGCUCCUUGAUUUUUUAUUUAUUAUAUUAUCCUCUUCUUAAAUCUUGUUUCCAGACUAGAAAAAUUUAAGUAGGACAACUUAAACCAGUUUAACAGUUAAGCACUCUCACGAAACAAUAAAGUUCUACCGCAUUCGGAUAUCAUCCGGCUUCGUACAGGGUGCAACCUUUAAACCACCCAUCUCACUUCUUUUCAGUGUGAUCUUAUCAGCGGUCUGAUCAUACUUUUAUAUUUAAUAUUUUAUCUCUAAAGUCUAACGGUGGUGAUAAAUAACUUAUCAAAUAAAUAACUUGAAAGACCGAUGGCUAAAUUGAGGGUGCAUAAUCGUUGCAUGUAUUUUACGACUAAUGAUGAUGAAUCUCGCUAAUUAUUGCAUAAAAAAGUGUCUUCAUAAUCUUAAAUUUAUGAUCACAUGUUCCAUCUUUACUAAAUAAUUAGACAUUAGUUACCCUACACAAUAGUUACGUCAUUGUGAUAUUUUAUGAAUGUGUUCGAUGUGCUCAUCACGUUUUUUCACAAUAAAUUAGACUCGUAUUAGUGCCUAAUCACUAUCCAUUAAGUAAUUAUGCCUACAUUCAUACGGUUCAAAAAAUCCUUACCAAGAUCAACCUAAUUGGGUUGAAAUCCACUCACCACCUAUGUGGGUAAAUCAUAUAAAUAUGAGUUUAAUUCGGUCCGAAAUUAUUAACAUCUUGAAAAACAUAUACUUGCGUCGAGUCAAACACGUAAUCUCGAGUAUAGACAUAAUUGACAUAAUUGCCCCACCACAAUCUUAUCGUUUGAGUUCACACGAAUUACUCUAAUAUAUAAGCUAAACCAUGAACUCAUCAUGUGAAUUUAUUAAAUAGAUUGGCAGAUAUUGGAUAUAUUUUUCAGUGUGUCUAAAGUACAAAGUAAAACAUCACAUGUUAUUAUAUAAUUAGUUGGAUGUUUGAAAAAAAAAAACUUUCCUCUAAUUAUGUAAUGACAUGUAAUGUUAUGACUCGUAUUCCGAAUACAGUCAGAAAUCUAUCCAAGAUAUUGCCAUAAGAUUUGUUGUGAUUGAAUAUUUCAUUGAGUGACAUCUUGGUAUUUUGUCUUGACCUUAAAAACUUCCAUUUGUCAAGCGUAUCUCAAGCAUUAAAGCACAAGAAAAGAAAAGUUGCUCCUUCCCUUCCAUACUUUCCUUUUACUUUCUUGUCGACCAACUUCUUCAUUUUUAUGUCUUUUUAAAACAUAUAUUGUUGAAAAUAUUAAACAUCUCGAAUCAGAAAAUUAACAAAAUUAAAUAUGAUGAGCGUGGUUUAUUUCUCGCUACAUCGAGUUUUUAGUGAUAAAAUUUUCACACUUAAAAAUGAUAAGAUGCGAGUUGAGGAACAAUAUCAGUGUAGUUAAUAAUUAAUCGCUAACACAUCUUUUAAAAAUAUAGACAAGUGUAAUUUCAAUGUCUAUAUUCCCUCCACCAUACCAACAGCUGGAACUUCUACCAAAGUCAUUUAAGAAACUUCUUACACACCUGAAAAUUAUAAGAUUCGAGUUGAGGAACAAUAUCUAUGUAGUUAGUAAUGAAUCGCUGCCACAUUUUUUUUAAUAUAUAGACACGUAUGUUUUCAAUGUCUAUAGUCCUUCCACCAUGCCAACAGCUGCACGUUCUGUCGAAAUCAUAUAAGAAACUUCUUGCAACAAUACAAAAUCUAUGUGUUUGUGCGUAUAUAUAUGGCUCCAAGAGGUUGGUAAUUGUUUAAAUAUCUUAUUUAGAUAUUAUUUUGUUAGGGCAAGGCAAAUAGUUUAGUGGAAGAGACAAGAGGGAAAGCCCCAAGGGUUGAAGUAGGAAGCAAUCAUACCCCACAAUACCACCAAACGGUCCAAACACUCCAAACCAAAAUAAAUGAAUCAAUAUAUCCUAUGUCCAUUUCACCACUCUACGUUUUGUUUUUGUUUUUUAGCAAACGUUAUUGUCUGCACUAAGGGAGUAAAAGAGCGAGCUAAGCCUCAUAAUAGGUUAGCAAUAAUAUGGUUCAAAUUUACCUUUGGCGAGAUUCAAACCUAAGACCUCUCACUUACAAGUAAAAGAGAAUACCACUAUAAUGAAUUGAAAGAUUUUAUUAUUUAACCGAGGUUAUUAUCUUAGUACACUGACCCAAGUUGGGGCUGAAAAUUUUGAUUAUGACCGCGAACAUUCAUUUAUUGAGAUUUUAUUGUAAUGCUUCUUUACCUUUCUCACACUACCACUCAACCAUUCUAUGUUCCUCACUUCUCCCAGUACUAAAAAAUAAAUAAAUUCAGACAAACGUUAUGCAAGACAACUUGAUCAACUGGACAGUCACGCUCUCACAAUGAAACAUACUCUAAAUUAGUUGGCUACAAUUCGGCCCGACGCAUAUGUAACUUUCAAUGAAAGCAUUCACGCGUAAUGUAUGGGUGACCUGACCAGUUAAUCAGAAGAACCUUUGAACACUUUUUCAUUAGAUUAGUUUUUUUUUUUUUUAGGUAAAUUGUCAUAAGAUUAAUCGAUACAUAUGCUAUAACUUAAGUAGAACAAUAACAUCGAGUAACUUGUGCGCGAUGAUCACAAAAACUUUCGAGUAUGUGUCACACGAUGAAAUAUAUACUAAUAAAAGUGUUAGGUACUUGGUUUUAGAUUGUGCCUAGGAUGCGCCUGUGCACCUUUAUCCACAUUUAUGGCUACAGGCUACAGCUACACCUGCUGCAAAUCUAGAAGUCUAGAAUUCUUAUUACAAUCAUAAAUAAUCAAUCUUUGUCUUACUAUUUCGCCACGUGUCCAUCAAUCUGGCCGUCCAAUUGUCUUCCUCGGUCCUCACGCAACCAAAAGUCGUCUUCUCCGUCACUCUCUGCAGACAGUAGGACUCCUCCUUGCUUAAUAACACAUUCAAGUUUCAAACUUUCAACAAACCCCACCUUCUUUCUUGACUCAAAAGCCGCUUUUGGCUUUUCCAAGCCUCGCUUUUCCUAUAUGCACUGAAAAAGCCAUAAGCUUUAAGCUCUUCUCUCUGAUUUCUCACAAUUCAACUCGCAAAAAUGGCGUUUCAUCACCAGCAGCAGCAGACCCCUCACGAAAUGGCGUUCCACUCCUUCGCGGAGGACCAGCCGCCGCUCUCCGGAGCUCUGACGUGGCUCAACAACGCAGCUUUCCGCCAGCAGAACACCAGCUUCGGCGGCCUCCACGACGCGGGGAGAAACGACGACGUGGUCAUAUCGCCGUCCGGGAAGAGCAGCAGCUGCAGCGAUCGGAACCGGAGGGAGAUAAGCGGUUACGACGGCGGAGAAGAGGAGGAGGGGGAAGACGAGCUGGAGUGCGAGAGCGCGAGGUUCAAGGCCGACAUCGUGGGACAUCCUCUGUAUGAGCAGCUUGUGUCGGCGCACGUGUCGUGCUUGAGGAUCGCUACGCCGGUCGAUCAGCUGCCAAGGAUCGAUGAGAAGCUCUUGCAAUCGCAGCGCGUGGUCGACAACUACUCGGCGCUCCGAGCCAAUGGGGAUGUUGGAGUCAUGGAUGAGAAAGAACUUGAUUUGUUCAUGGUUAGCACUAAUUAAAUCUUAAUUAAUUUUUAAUUCCAUAUUAUUGAAAGUUUAAAACAUUUUUAAUUUCUGGAUAUUUUUAGAGUGUCGUGUAAUUAGUUGAGGUGGCAGUGAAGAAUCAUGUUGCUUAAUUCUCUAAUUAUUCCACUUUACAAGUGCUUUGGAGAAUCUUAAUCCUUUAAUUAGUAGUUUGAUUAGUGGCAUGUCUUGGAAUUAGAAUUUGUUCUGCAAAUCAAUCUCUCCAAUUUCUUUAUAAUUUCUACUAUAAUAUUAAGUCUAAACAUUUAGGUAUGUAUCCAGACAAUCGAAUCCUGGUGCGUAGUCUUGCUCGCCUAAUCUGCUGACGCCUAGUUCUUCCUUUGCUGUUCUCUUUCUUCUGUAAAUAAAUUUAGGCUUUUUAGCCAAAAUGUUCUUGAGAUUUGCAAAUCACAUUACUUUGGUCUCUGAGAUUGAAAAUCAAUAGAAAUGGUCCUGAGAUUAUUCACCAUCCAUUAUUUUGGUUAUUCCGUUAAAAAUUCCGUUAAGUGUUUAGGAGCUCUUGGCCCGAAGUUUAAGCAAUUUUCAAAGUUUUGUAACUCAAUCUCAGGAACCAAAAUGAUGUUUUAUGCAAACCUCGGACCAUUUUAGCUAAAAAGCCAUAAAUUUACGUACUUUAUAAAAGUCACAUUGUAAUUUUGUAACAAUCGAAUCCUGGUGCGUAGUCUUGCUCGCCUAAUCCGCUGACGCCUAGUUCUUCCUUUGCUGUUCUCUUUCUUCUAUAAAUAAAUUUAGGCUUUUUAGCUAAAAUGUUCUUGAGAUUUGCAGAACACAUAAAUUUAUGUACUUUAUAAAAGUCACAUUGUAAUUUUGUAACAAAAUGCUUUGGUUACGAUGUUGGUUGAGGGUCUAGCAUAACGAGAUGUUCAUAAUUUUGUUAAACUUUCGGUUUUCGUCAUCUGAUCUUUGCUCGUUGUGAUUUUGUAGACGAAUUAUGUUCUUUUGCUUUGCUCCUUCAAAGAACAACUGCAGCAGCAUGUCCGAGUUCACGCAAUGGAAGCAGUGAUGGCUUGUUGGGAGCUUGAUCAGUCUCUGCAAAGCUUAACAGGUAAUUUUUGUUUCUUUAGUUUCGAUCGUCCCAUAAAUCUUGAUCCUUUCCUCCCCAUUUCGCUGCCUUUAUCCGAAAAGUAGGAGACAGGGAAAAAGGACAAGAACAUGAAUGUUACUUCCCAUGUGCUAAACUGUUUUUGGUGUGUCCUAAAUGUGAGCAUCGUUUAUAUAAGGCUGCCUAAUAGUUGUUCUUUUAUUGCCCUUCCCCCGAAAAAACUAUGUUUAACUCUACGUGUUUAGAUAUCUGCGAAAAGAGGGAUUUUGCAAUAGCGAAACCAUCAAAACCAUCGACAUUGUUUCCAUUGUUAUCGUGAAUCCUGAGGUUGAGUUUGAGGUUGAUGUCAGUGUCGCGCUGUUAAAGACUUCAUCGGUGUGAAGAGGAAAGACGAGGGCAGAAGUUGCACUGACUUAAGUUUUUUUUUUUUCGUUGAGUCUUUUAGCUUUGAUUAGUGUCAUCACUUUGGAUUGCCUGUCUCUAUAAAUUCGGAUAUAGGAUAAGACAUCUUGUGUAGUGUCGUCAGUUGUUAUUGCUCGUUUUUGGUUGCUGAUCGUGAUCAACAUUUGUUUAUGGAUGGUUUACAGUUAAAUAUUUUAAGCUGCUUUCACAGGUGUAUCCACGGGUGAAGGAACGGGUGCUACCAUGUCCGAUGAUGAUGACCAGUUAGAUAGCGACAUCAACUCCUAUGAUGGAAGUCUGGACGGGCCAGACACCAUGGGAUUUGGCCCUCUUGUUCCGACUGAAAGUGAGAGGUCCUUAAUGGAGCGCGUAAGGCAGGAACUGAAGCAUGAACUGGAACAGGUACAAACUAUAGACUUACAGCGUAUAUAUACAUUUUCGGUGUGGACAAUUAGUGUAGCUGAUAACCUCUGCUUAUUAGGGUUACAAGGAAAAGAUCGUCGACAUUAGAGAGGAAAUUCUGCGCAAGAGAAGAGCGGGGAAACUGCCAGGUGACACAACUUCUGUCUUAAAAUCUUGGUGGCAAUCGCAUUCCAAGUGGCCUUACCCGACAGUGAGUUUGAACUUUGUUAUAAUCCCCUUGAAGCUUUCAGUUUAGCAGAUUCUUUUGUAAUAGCUACUAAUUAAGACGCUCUUUCGCUUCGAUAGGAGGAAGACAAGGCCAGAUUGGUGCAGGAAACAGGCUUGCAGUUGAAACAGAUCAAUAACUGGUUUAUUAAUCAAAGAAAAAGGAAUUGGCACAGCAACAUUUCAUCGACUUCCGUUCUCAAGAGCAAACGCAAGAGGUAGGAUUACGAUUAACAUAAUAUGGUUGUUUUUUCGAGUUAAUUUGUUUCGUAAACUUCAUAUAAACUUGUCUCAAUUUGUAAUUUGGAAAAAAAAGUAAUGCAGGUGACAUGAACAACCAACGAUUGAAGUAAAUGUCAUGAUUUUAGUCGAAAAUCUAGCAACAGAGAGCAAGGAAUUUAAUAUUUCUCGUACAGUAAAAGCUUCAAGCCUUCAAAUGGUAUGCUGCCCAUCUUUGGAUCGAUCGCUUCGAGUCUGAGGCACCCCGACACUAUCCAUGUCUUAUAGUACCAUAAUAUCAUCAAACUCUAAGCAUGUAACACGAAAAACUCGAACCAGGUAGCCUUAAUGUACUACGUUUCAGUGGAUCUAUGUAGAUUUUUUGUAUACCGAUCGCAUAUUAAAUAAAACGCUUGCUUUCUAUACAUAUUUUUAUGAAUGAGAAUGUCUAUGAAGAAUGUGAAUCUGUAAUUUUAAGGCAAAAAAUACAACUGAAAAAAGAAUACAGAUUGUUCUGUUUCUUACAGUGCAAGAAAACCUAUCGAAAAAGGAAACAAGGCAGCACAGACGACACUGAAUCCGACCUCUGGAUUCUACGAAAGCUGAUUCAUCGGUCCUGCGAACCUCUCUGCCUAAGGAACCAUCUUCAUUGGUAAAAGGGUCAGCGAACCUGCUGAAGCCAAGAGCAGCAUCGGCUUCUCUGCCAACACCUUCGUCGAAAUUGAGAGCGUAACUAUCAAUGUCGUACGACGUUGCUUUCUUUUGCUUCUUGUUUCGGCACAACCUAUUCUUAGCCUCUGUCAGCUUCUUCUUCCACCAUGUUGUCUCCUUGAGCCGGCCUCCGCCUUCUUGCUGCACCAAGUGUUGGCGUUCGUGACCAUUGUUGUUGCGUGAUCCAGAAGUCCUAAAACAACCACGAAAACCGCAAGAAGACGUAGGAGAAGUAGAAACAUCCAUAUCUGUUUUGUGUUCGCGAAGUGAACCGUGGUUUGACAUGAGCACGGUUGGUCUAGAGAGCGAGAGAAUCUGUGUUGAGAGACUUGGAGCAGAAGGGUGUUAAUUUAUAGGGGAGGGGAAGGGAAGGGAAAGGGAUACAAGAGAAAAAGGAAACAGGAAAUAUGUAUACACACACACACACAUAUAUAUAUAUAUGGAAAGAAAGAGUUGAUCAAUACUUAACAUUUAUAGAUUUUCGAGGAAAGAUUUGAUAGGGUGGUGUAGAUUUGUGGAAACAAAACAGGGAAUUCCUAAUGCAAAUCUUAGAGGGAUUUCAAAAUGCCAGGAACACAGAACUAAACACUACAUCUCAUUAUACAAUUGGAAUGACACUUGAAAAAAACUUUCUCCAAUAAUAUAAUGACGUGUGAUAUUCUGUCCUGUGUUCCGAACAUAUUGAAAAAUCUCUCCAAAUCUUCAACAUUCCCCGCCACAGUUGAUAUGCUCACCAACGCGGUGCCUUAAACAUUCCCCGCCACAACCCACACGCCCUAAGAGACGACGACUUGCUAUUGGUCAAAACAAAAGAAACGAAGACAGACCCCAAACAUGUGGAGUGCCACCGUGGUAUUUUGGAUCGAUAAUGUAAUAUUAUGGCAUUUUAAUUUGUUCUACAUCGUUUUAUUAUUUUGGAAUGUCAUGGUGGCGUAAACAAUUGCAGGGAAGUAUCUGUAUCCCCCAUAAGAAGUAAACAAUAUUGACAAAAUGUCAUGUUAAAAAUAACUACACAUAAUAUGCGAUUGGAGGAGUUCUUCUGUCUGGACCAUGUGGUUGACCGGCCAAAUACUCAUAAGAUGGGACGAGAAGGGGAUGAGUAGGCCCAAAAUACAAAAGGAGUGGACCUAUAUUCUCAUGUAAUUGACUUAAAAUAUCGUUACAGUGACAUUUCUGUUGUAGGUAAGUUUUUCCCAAAAUUUUGUAAUCGAAACCAAAACGUUUCUAUUAAGCUUUGGCGUGGUAGUAUUUUAGAUGUUACUGACAAUCUAAGUGAUCUUAAUGUCCAAUUCUGAAGUUCAAUUUAGAGUCUUCAUUAGACAAUUAUACUUUAUGGAUCUCAUUUUUCAGUGCAACUGCAAAUAGCCAAGUAACUUCCCAACACUUUAACAAGGUUUAAUCUUUGUUUCGAUUACGACUCGGGCCAAUCGAACAUGUUCCAUUUAACCCUAAUAUGUUACCAGUGUACAAAGUGACGAAACAACAACAAAGCCUUAUCCCGACAAAGAUUAAGCUUCGAUACAAUCCAAUGAUAAGUGCUUGUACUGAAGUUGGUUCAAAGGUAAAACCUAUAUGAGUUGAGACUUUUAUAAGACCAAUAUGUUUCUAUAAAACAAUAAAACAACUUCCCCAUCACUAUAAAGCAAAGCAAAUAUUAAGUUUAUCUUCCAAGGGCUCGAAACACAAAGGUACCGGUGCCGACGCCGGCGAGACAUCGACGAUGAAGCAACUUCUAAGAUCAUUUUCGAGCCUGAGACUAUGUUGCCGAGGGUUGCUGCGGUUGGGUCUGUCCUUUAGGAGGAACCUUUGCUGCCAUGGAGCGUAAUCCGUUCGCAAUUUCAGUGAAACUCAGCCUCUCGGACGGCUCUGAUGACCAGCAUCUCUCCAUCAGUGACUUCCAUUCAGGAUCGCAAGAGUCCGGUAUUGGUGGCCGCAAUGUGUUGCUCACAAUACCACCUGCAUUAACAUAUGAACAGCGGGAUAUCAGCAUCUCCGAAUCUGAGUAAAACCUCAAGGCGCCGAGCAUUGUUAACAAGUGCGAAGUUGUAUUGAGCAGUAGAAGAUACCUAUGAUAGCACCAUAGUGCAAAUCCGCAUAUGGUUCGUCUCCAGUGAGCAGCUCCCACAACAUGAUACCGAAAGAAAACACAUCGACCUAUUGUAUGCAACAAAAGAGGAGGGUAAAGAGCUAAGGAUUAAAAACAGGUCUAAGAAGCGAGUCGCAAUCAUUUGAGACGAUUUAGAAUAAAUUAAAUAAGAAAGCACAAACCUUCUCAGAAACAAGGCUACUGCUACCAUUCAACAGCUCCGGUGCCAUCCAUGGAAGUGUUCCCCGCACACCACCGGAGAUCAGCGUUUGACAUUUCACCUUAGAUAGGCCCAAAUCACCGACCUGGCAUCAGAAAGAAACCAGUGAACACAAUAUUCUAAACACGUAAACGAAUUACAGUAUGUUACAUAAGAAGCAUCUUAUAAAGCAUGUCAAUGAAAAAUAUGCGUUUUUGAAUAAAGAUGCUGCAUUUUAAACAAGUAUGUGGCUUAUAUAAGAAACGAAAGAUCAAAUCUACCACAAAACGAACCAGAAUAUGCGAAUGCAAGGAGCAAAAUAAAGUCACUACCUUGCAUAUUGGGCGGUGUGGAUCUCGAAGAUUGACAAGUAAGUUGUCACUUUUCAAAUCAAAGUGUACUAUCUUCUUUUCAUGCAGGUACUCCAUUCCGAAUGCCACAUCCAUUGCAAUCAUGAGGCGCUUGCGCCUGUCCAAACUCCUGAUAAAAUUAAAUCUGUGUCAGAUUUUUAUCCCAAUUGAAAAUUACGGACAACAAAAUGCCAAGCAAAUACAUUACUUCUCAUUUUUCUGCAAGGCAUUUCUCAGAGAGCCGUUAACCAUAUAUUCUGUCACUGUUGCCACAGAACCUCCGGGUCCGUCAAGCACAAUCCCAUAGAAAGCUACCACAUUGGGGUGGUGCAAGUCAGCAAGCUUGAUAGCCUCAUUCCAGAAAUCAUCUCUCUGUUUGAAUACAUAAACCACAACAUACGAAUUAAGUAAAAGAGUUAUGAAUGAAUGAAAGCUAAAAGUUUUAGAAACUAGUGUAACAAAAAGACAAACCAUGCGCUCUUGUUCUGAAGGCUUCCCGGAAAAACACCUAUCAUUGAUUCUUUUGAUUGCAACAUCAGUGCCCCUCCAUUUUCCAUGAUAAACGGUACCAAAAGUUCCAGAACCUAAUUCUCUCAUCUCUUCAAGGUCACUGUUCUUUAUAAUCUGCCAAAAGAAAAAGAAAUCGGUCAAUGGUACAUGGUAAUAUCACAACAUCACAAUACAUACAUAUUAAUGGAAACCAAAUUUUCACCUGCAACCGGCCUAGGCCAUCUGCUACUGGAAAACCAAGAUUUGGCUUAUCUGCAAAGUUGGAUUUGACAUCCUAAAAUAGGAAGCGGAAGUUAGAAGAUAAACAACAGGAGAGCCUAGAAUAUUUUUUCAGAGAGGGAGAGAACACGUACAAAUAAAAAAAAAAGGUCGUACCCAGUGCACAAGGCUCCCGCUUUACGCAGGGUCUGGGAGAGGUGAAUGUCGGCUAGCCUUACCCCCAUUUAUGGAGAGGCUGCUCCCAAGUCUCAAACCCGAGACCUACUGCUCAUGGGCGAAGGCACUUGCCAUCGCACCAAGUGCGACCUCUUAGAGACACGUACAAAUAAUAAAAAAAAUUCACACAUGUACAUAUAUGAAUUCUUAAAUACCUCACUUUCUGUUCUGUUUUGCAUCCCUGCAGCAUUGUUUUGAACCUCUUCAUUUCGAUUGGUUGCAUAAGCAGACUCAUUUUUAUCAUGCAAGUAAGAAUCUGAUGGCGUAGAUGACUGAAAAACACAAGCAGCUACUCCCUCAGCAACAGCUUGAAGUUCUUGCUUUAUUUGUUCUUCUGCUGAUCCUACGACAAAGAAGCAAAAUAAUAAGAAAAGUUCAUAUGAAAUAAUUAACUUAUCUAGAAAGAUCAUCACUUAACUAACCUUUGGACGACGGGGCAUGCUCUGAACUAAGAUCCCUGUUCAAAUUGCCUGGUGGCUGUUGGCCUCCAUCGUCCAUUCGCAUUUCUGUAUAUGGUUCUUUUCUCAAUUGUAUUUUGGUUGGCUUAGGAGGCAAUUGAGUAUCCUGGCACAAACUCCAAGGAUCUUGAUUGCUGAACAGUGAGUUUGAGGAGUCCUGGGCACCAAAACCAUUCGAGGUAAUACCUUCCCUCUCGUUAGAUACCAUCUUGGGCUGCAAUCUCAUAUUCUCAUCCUUCCAUUCAGGAGGAGGUUGAAUUCCAUCAGUGAGAUGGGUCAAAACAACAGGGGUUCCAUAAUUAGAUUCGUAAGAAUCACAAGGAUAUAUUCCAACUCUUGAUUGCAGAUAAGCUUCAGGAUUUCCCCAUAUAGAUUGUUUUCCUAAAUCAUAGAAUUCUGCUGGCUGUGAACUAUACCCAUGUGAGACUUCGGCAGAGGGAGAAGCUAGUACUUCGGUCGGGUUAAAGUGAUUCCUGCCUAAUUUGUCAACGAGGUUAUCCACAGCCACCUCUCUACCCCCAACUUGUGCUGUUUUGUGAUCAACGUUGUCUUCCAUUCUAGGUAUAUCCCAAGGUGAUUUACCAUGCUCCUUGUUAACAUAAAUCUCAGUGGGAUUUAUCCUGAGUGUUUCCAUCCUCCCGUCGAUUUGUCUCAAAUUAUCAUAUGCAGUUGGAGAUUCACGAACCAGGCAUUCUGAAGUUUCAACAGGUGCACCUCCAACAAGAGGUACAUCUUGAUUAAAAGGAUCGUUACCUAAAUUUUCCUGUUUAACCUGGUAAUGAAAUGGUGUUGGAUGUAGUUGAACAACAUCGUCUUGACAAUGCUUAGGAAUACUGACCAUGAAUGCACCAUCUGGUGAUUGCACAUCACCUCCUCUCUGGAUAACGCCCUGUGGAGAUGAAAUCUGAGAGAGGCAAGUCACAUCUGAAUGAGAUGUUACGAGAAGAGGAUCUACUGGAAUUUGAACCCUAGGGCGAGCCUCAACUCCUUGGCCAAAAUUACCUUCUCCCUUGUUCAUCGGCUGAGCUCGCAAAUUCUCCUCCAGCCGAGGACUAUAAUAAGUUGGACUUGAAUCAGAUACCGGGCUUCCGCCAAUGUCUCUCUGAACCUGUACCACAGUAUCAGAAUGUGCAUGAGGCAAUGCUAUCUGACACAUAUAACAGUCCUGGAACUUUGUGGACUUCUCGGGAUACACUUCCUGUUGGUGAGAUACCAAUGCAUCAUGGUAAAUCACAUGCUCUGGUGAUUGAACUUGAUGCCAUCCAUAAGCACCUCCUGCUGUUGUUGAGGGUACUUGAACCUGAUAGGAAUUAUAGCUUUGUUCAGCAGGAAGCUGGACGACCUUGGGAACAAAGGUACUCUCGCCUACAUACUUAUCCAACCGGGUCUGUUGUGGAUGGAUCAAUGGCUGAAGCACACUUGGUCUUAUAUUAACAUGAGAAGUCGAGGGAGUCAUUGUCAUGUGCACUGCAGGAAUGAAGUGAUGCGGGGUGAUGCCAGCAAUACUAUCACCGUAUUGCUGUUUGGUGAAUACAGGACCAGCAGUCCCCAAUAGGUGAGGACUUGGGAAACCCAUCUGAGGAGGAAGCUGGAGAUGGUCUGCCCGUGUAACAAAAUCUUGGCGAGGACCAACAUAAGUUUGCAGAUAAGGAGCAGUAGAUGAAAUGCCAAUUCCAGGUUGCUGCUGUGAUACUGUAACAGGCACAGAUCUUUCUAAUUCACCUUCCGGAUGAGAAGAUGGUGUUUGGGGAGGCCCAGACUUAACCACAGGAAUGACCAAUGGAAUUGUAGAAACUUCAGAAUAAAUUGUAGGCUUAGGAUCCACAAAUACCAGCCUUGUACUAGCAUCAUGAGAAGUAGAUGAAUCCCUUUUCGGUGAUAACUUGCCCGGUGAUGGAAGUCCAGUAUUGUCCCCCUGACCAGGAACUGAGUUAUCAACAACAUCAGUUCCACUAAAAUCAGAAUUUUGAGUUGAAGUUGCACUUGCAUUGCUCUCCUUCCUCACGAUACCAACACUCACCCCAUCCAUAAUCCCAUUGACAGCAUCAACAUAUCUCUGCUCACUAUUAUGUAAAUCCCCAAUUUGUACGACACCAGAUGGAUCAACUUCAGAAGCAGAAAACAAAAAUACCCUCAACUUUGCUGAACCAUCUGGAGAUCUCUCGACCAACUUCCCAUAUUCAUCCUUCAUAUUGUCAAGAUCAUCAGCACAUGAAACCGACACCAGUGCAUCGAGAUCCUCAUCGGGGAGCUGGUAUUUAAUGACCACAGGUUGCCCAUAUGUAUCCACCAUCUUCUGCACUAGCUCAUUGAAGCUCACAUCUCUCCGAACACUAAUCCUUGUCUGCCCUCCAACAUACCUCAACAUUCCAUCACUUGGUCUGGGCAAAAUCUUUCCGCCAAAGCUGCACAGAAGCUUUAUUUUCUUCCCAUACACAGAAUCUUCCCCACCGUCAUCACUUGCUUGUUCAGUCCCACUCCCACGACUGCCCAAAUUGGCAUUGUAACCAUAUCCCGAUGUCAAAUCAUUCCCAGUCUGAUCAGCAACAUUGCCACUGACCUUAUUGCCUAAAUUGGGAUUAUAACCGAACCCAGCUGCCAUAUCAUUAACUCCAUGAUCUAGACCACUGCCAGCACUCCUAUUAAACAUAUUCGAACUACAGUCAGAAGGCCUAGAAGCAGUUGUUGUAGUAUCAGAGCUUACAAGAUCAACAUCAUUUCCGCCGACCCGACUGCCCAAAUUAGGACUGUAACCAAUUCCAACACCAACGCCAGGGUUCACACCUGGAUGUCCCACCGGCACAGCAAUGCGGGGGCCAGGGCACCACGGGGGCACCCCCGACACGGCAUUUCCAUACCCUAGGCCAACAUGCCCAGCCUCCGAGGCAACCGGUGCUUGGUAAAAAACAGGUAUUGAAUGAGGGCUAUUAACUUCACGAACUGGGUGGCUGGGGAAAAAUCCAUCGGGGUUUCGAGCAGCUGUAGUAGCCUGCGCAAUGCGGGGUUCUUCGGCCACAGUUCGAGCUACAUUUAACUGUCUCAGUUCUUUGGGAAACGAAUUUUGAUCAAACGCCAUAUCUACAAUUAAUUAAAAAAAAAUUCAAAAUUCAAUCAAGGGUCUGCAAAAUCAAUCCUAAAUAAGAAAACCCACGAUCAAAAUUCGAUAAAGCUAAAAUCUUUUCAUCUAGAUUGCGAUAAGCUAAGGUCUUUUCAUCUGGGAUUUUCAUUUUGUUAAUUCUAAUUUAAGUACUGAAGCUUUUCUAAUCAUCUGCUAUAAACCCUAGCCAGAUUGCACCAAACUAUAACAAAAUUUUACAGCUUUAUAUCCAAAACAGGGGACAAUAAACACAAAUAAUUGAACAAAAACACACACACAGAGAGAGAGAUUAAGUACCAGAUUGAAACGUUGGCGUUUGGAGGAGAGAGAGAGUGUGUGGAAGAGAUAAGAUGGAGGAGAAGAAAAAACACAGAGAGAGAGAGAGUCCGAGUCGGUGGAGUGCAGUUUCCAAACUCCGAAGGAAUCAAAGCUCACAGUGACAAGCGUCCCCUUAGCAGCUCCUUGGCACUUUCUCGCUCUAAAAAUCUGGUCCUUUUAUUGUUCCAUCCAUCGUUGAAUAUUUUCCGUGGUGGGAUUUUAUUUUCUCGGGAAAAUGAUGUGUUUGUGAGGAAAAUGGCAGAGUGGCUGAAGAGAAAAAUUAUGGUUUUUGGUUUGAAGUCUUGGAGAAGAGAGAAGAGAGAAGGUGACGGGGGAAGCCACGUGGAAUGUUUCAUGCAAGAUUAUGAUUUAUCAGUAAAAAAGUGUAGUAUUAUGUGUUGUUGUUGGGAACCUAGGAGUACUUUAUUUUUGAUAGUGACAUAUGCAAAUAAUAUAUAAACAUAUAUAUAUAUAUAUAUAUUUUUUUUUUGAAUUUAAUGGCCUUAUCGAUGAUUCUUUAAUAUGUCGAAAAUAUAAUCUGGUAUAUUAAGUAUUAUGAUACAAAUAAUUAAAUAUUUAAAAAUAUUUUAACUAUUAAUAUAAUGAGACUUGAUAUACCAAAUUAUAUAUUUAGUGGGCUUAAAAAUUUAUCGACAUUGUGGCAAGGUAGGAGAAGACAAAUACAAAACGAAAAUCUUGGACGGUCCUUCAAAUACUACAUUAAAUUAUACUAUGCAUACAACAUAUUAUUUAAUUAAUAAUUUAUGAUAGAAUUGUUGGUAGUAAUUUCGUAUCUACUUAUGGUUACUUAUUUUAACUGCAAUCAUGCCAUUUUAAUCACAACUUAAUUGAAGCCUUAACUUCUUAUUUUUGUUCGUGAUCAAUCUUUAAUUACUUUGAUCGCAUGAUCAUGGUCAAUAUAAAUCAUGAUUGUUUUACUAAUUAGGGUUUCAAUCGUUCAAUUUUAUUUAAUUUUUUGUUAAUACAAAAAGUAAUGAAUAUUAAACACAUGCCAUUAGAAAAUUAAAAAAAGAUAAACAUAAGUUAUGAGUUUAUGUUAUAGCAUUACCACUGUUUUAAAAAUUCUGCCUAGUGCUAUCAAGGUCAUGUCUAGGCUCUGAACGACAAGCGACCACUUUGAUGAUUCAUAGACGAUUGAAAAUUAUGAAAAAACGCCUAGACUUGUUUAAGUAACUAUUCAUACUUAAGAGUAAAUUAUUAAAAGAAAAAAUGUAUGUCUACAUUCGACGAUAGAACUUACUGUAAUUCUUAUGAACUAAAGUAUUUACAGUAAGAAAUAAUUAAGUUAAUGCAUGCCAUAGAUUGUUGUAUACUAUAACUUACCGUAACUUUUUAUUUAUCCCGAAAUUGCUAACUUCUUUCCUGGUCUGAAUAGGGUAACUUCACAAUAAUUGGAUAAUUCUUGGUCCACUAUAUUUUUCUGGAUUCAUAUCGACCGUUUGAAGGACAUUUUCGACUUUCAUCGAAUCGGUGGGUGAUGACACAUCAUCAAAACUGGAAUUGCGAUCCUCUGAAUUUCUGUGUUCGAGAUUAUAUAUUCUGAGAAAUAAAACUAUAAGAAAUUUUAUUUGAACUUAUAUAAUCUCUUUCAAACUUUAAAUAUGAAUUGUCUUUCUUACUCUAUUGCAUAAUUACCGUCAGGUACAAGAUUAAAUGAACAAUAAAACCAAAAUUUAUCAAUAGACCCAUAUAUACCCAAUCAUCAAUCUACUUCUUGGUACCAUCUGGGAAUGUGUCGCGCCUUCAUCGCACUAGCUCGAUGUUACUUAUGAGCUUUUAUAUGCUUAUGUUAUUGUUUAUGGAUUCGAAGCAACCAAGGAUUCUUCAAACUUCAGAACACAUGAAUGAAAUGCUGAUUCAACGGACCAUGUGAAACUUUUGGAUUUUGUACUAAAUAUUGGAGGGAUUGGCUGAUCCAAUUUUGAUCAUUUGCAAAAAAACGCAUACUGAUUGAACAAAAAAUAAAAUAAAAACAUAUGGGAUUUAAAUAUUUAAUUUUUUUUAAUCAUCUAUAUGGGAUUAAGCAAAAUCAACAGAUGAGAUUAAUUAAAACAGAUAUGGGAUUGAGCAAAAUCAGCAAAUAGAAGGAUUACGCAUGAGACAAAUAUGUGGGAGAUAUUGUUGUCUUUAUGCCUUGAAUGAGUUUCAAAACACGAUUUUGGUUUUUUAUUUUUUAUAUGGGUGUAAAGAUAAAUUUAUGUAUCAAAUUGUGUUUGUGAGGGUAAUUUAGAUAGUAAGUUUGGGUUUAAAGAUAUAUUAAUAAUUUAGUUAAAAAUAAUAUGGGUGGAGGGAGUAAGUUGAAUGUAAAAAAAUGUUGUAUGGAUUCAAAUAAAAUUUCUAAAACUAUUCAUUUUAAACUCUUAUUAUCACACUAACUCACUGCACACAAAUAAAGCAUCUGAAUCUCUCAUACUAACAAUCCAAAUCCCUUAAUUCUUGGCUUUCUAACACCAGAGAUUCCGAUAGAUUUUCAAUUCUCAAAACUGGGAGGAUAUGAGAUAUAUUUUCCUUGUUUUUUAUAAUUUUUUAAAGGUAUAAAAAGUUCAACAUCAAAGAGGAAUAAAUCUUAAUUUAUAAGAAAAGGUGUGACAUCCGACAUCGCCCAGGGGAGUUGAUCAUGUACCUUAUAUGUAUAUUCCCAUCUCUACCUAGCACGAGGCCUUUUGGGAGCUCACUGGCUUCGGGUUCCAUCAGAACUCCGAAGUUAAGCAAGUUCGCACGAGAACAAUUCUACGAUGGGUGACCCACUGGGAAGUUGUCAUCUGAGAUCCUAGAAACAAAAACCGUGAGGGCGUAGUUGGAGCCAAAAGCGGAUAAUAUCGUGCUACGAUGUGGAACGGGUCUGGGAUGUGGUGGACCUCGGGCCGGGAUGUGACAAAAGGAAAGAGAAAAUAAUAUGGAAACUAACAUCAGCUAGUCUUUUACUUGUUUGGAUGAGGUUGGCCCAAAUUCUUUGCUUGAUAUUAAAACAAAAAGUAAAUUAAACUUCCAUACGCGGUUUCAUUAUUCUUUUUAAGAUUGACUAAAAUUCAAGAAAGAAACAUAUAUUUUGGGUAAAGAAUGAAUGUUAAAAAAGUUAAGCAUUUUGAGUUACGACUUUGUGUCUCACAAAUCACAAACAUGUUCACCAUUGAGUGUUAUGUGGUUUGAUUGGAAGGAAGGCAAUUUCUAUGAAAUUGAAGAAACUUGCACCAAACAGGUUUCGAGAAUUAAUCCUAAUUUUAACACGCAGAGAACUAACCUUAUUUCAAUAGAUAAGGAAUCCAAGUUCUUCUGCUAAACUUUAAGGCAUAAAAUACUAAAUAUAACCUUACAUAUUAAAAAAAAAACCAAAUUAACUUUUCCAAAAACAUGAGCACGAUGUAGCAAUAUUCCAAACCUAUCAAGCGGCAGUAUGUGUUGGUAACUUUUCGCGUAAAGUAGCUUUAUUAUUCUGGACCUUGACAUUUUUCAUCUAAGUAUUUACCACCGAAAGGCUCAGCACCAAAUUAACGAUAUUAGUCAAACAAAUUCGUGUCGGUAUUAUAAAAGUACACUAACUAACCAAUCGAUAUUACAUCAUGCUUAUGUGAUUCUGGUAUCUAUGGCGCACUGAAAGUCAGGUAAAAGAAAGAGAUCUGUAUAGUACUUGGCUCGAUCGUCUUUAGCAAGUAGAUAAUCCUACCCCUGUUAAGUUGUCGUUCCUCCAAUAAGCAACAAGGACGUGAAACCCUACAUUUUUUACUAUAUGUAUCCUUCCAUGUUUGAAACACCCUAAUCAUUUUGCUAUAGAUAAUAGAGGUGUGACAACGAUAAGCAUCCCAGUACGUAGUGAAGAAAAUGAGUUUCAGAAUCUGUCGUGUUUGCAUGGGCUAAUUGGUCCUGGUCGGCCAUGCUUUGUCGGUUUUAUGCAGAUUGAUUCUUGUCAUUCAUGUUUAUAAAGACGGAUAAUUGAACACGACUAACUCUAACAAUUCUCGAGAAAAUAAUUGAUUAAUUGUGGGAUUGUGUGAGAUGGAAAGUAGACCUCAACUUGCAUUGUUUUAUUUAUAACAUGUGCCCGCGCGCGCGCAAUAUGCCCUAUUGGCUGCAGCGUAGAGAUAAAUUUAUAGUCCCAAACAGUUAGGACAGUAGUAGGCCAAUAGAGGAUAAAGAAGUGGUGAAUAAACAACUGGCACCACAUGGAUGGAGACAGUAUAGUUCCCUUGUGGGAGAAAUCAGAACAUAAUUAGCAAACUAAUCGGUAGUGUAAACAGUAAUUCAGCUAGCAUAGAUUUCUCCUGAUCUGUACAUUUGACCAAUCCUAGGCUCCUAGCUAUCUAGUAAAUCUCAUGUUGAUGAAUCCGAUGAUGUUCAAUAUUACAACAAACGUAGAAGAAGGAUCAACAAAGUGCAAGUGCAUUUAAUUAACUAAUUGCUAUUUAUAUGUUUAAUGAGAAAUGUUAAGGAGACUCUCAAAAGUAAAACUAUUUGUUAACUCUAUGUCAUCUCAUGUUUUUGAUACAAUGUUUUAUAAUAUUGACACGGAAAUUGACGUUAAUUAAAUUGUCAACUGUGAGAUGACAGAGAUUUCAUCAAGAAUUAAUCUCACUUUGAGAGAAAAUCUCCUGAGCAUUUUUCAUGUUUAAUUACUAGGUUAGGAAUAUUUAGGAAGGUCAUGAUCUAAUGAACAGUUGAAUAUCAGAGUGCGGAACAAACAAGAAGAACAAAAUAAUAAGAAUUUUAUUAAACUAACUGAAUGCCGAAACGGCUACAAAAACCCUAACAAGCUACAUUGUGAAUAACUUAUUUCGAAUGAAUAACAAAUCACUCUAUUUAUAAUAAACUAACCAUAAACCCUAAUGCUAACGGGCUAAGCCCAGAAAACAAAAUAUUAAAGUAAACCUAAAUACUAAUAUUCUACAACACCCCCCGUCAAACUCAUGGCGGUAUACGACAUGGGUUUGCAAACAAGCAGAUGCGGACUGGCUCUGUUAGGCGGACAGACAGACAGGCAGGCUCUGCCGCAACGCGGACAGACAGACAGGCAGGCUCCGCAACGCGGACAGACAGACAGGCAGGCUCCGCAGCAACGCGGACAAACAGACAGGCAGGCUCCGCAACGCGGACAGACAGACAGGCAGGCUCCGCAACACGGACAGACAGACAGGCAGGCUCCGCAACACGGACAGACAGACAGGCAGGUAUGCAAACUUGACUUGACUUGACUUGCGAACUGGUGAACUUGCGAACUUGACUUGACUUGAUUCUUGACUUGACUUGACUGGCAAACUGGCUAGAGUUGAGAGUAUGGAAAGAACCCGUCACUAAACGGACGAGGUUUCCAUAUCUCAAUUAUACCAACAAACAACGAAAACAAUUCCAAACAAGGCAACCAACAAUUCUUGCGGGCCUAAAACAAACUUAAACCAUAUUUUUGACUUUUGCCCGUGUGGGCCUAAAAAAAAAACUCCAAACAAUUUUUUUCUCUUCUCUUUUUUUUUUUUUUUUUUUCCUCUCCUUUUUUUCUCUCUUCUUCUUUUUUCUUUCCUUUUUCUCUUUUCUGCUGGGCUUCUUCAGAACUGCAGCAACAUGUUUCUUGGUCUUGUGCGGCGGUGAGUUCAUAAGGCAGUGCAACAAGGAUGUGAUGAGCAGCGGCAACCUGGGUGGAUGGUGAUUGGGUGCGCGGGACGACGGCAAGGGAUCUGGGUGCAGGUGCAAGCAGGUUGUUCCGGUGGCAGCGUGGUGGUGAUCUGAUGAAGAAACGAUGGCUGGCAGGUACGGUUCAGGCAGAUGCGAGUGCAGGCUGGUGGUCUGGUGCGAGAUGGUGGUGCGGUGGUUUAAGCAGGCGAGGUGCAGGGUUCAUGUCACAGGGAACUGGACGCAGUGGAAGGUUCAGGUUUUUUGUUUUCUUAUGCAAACUAAACCAACAACAAAAAACUAGCAUACAAACUGACAAAUAACAUACCAACCCGACCAAGCAGAUUAAAUCCCAAAGGAUUGAACCUGCUCUGAUACCAAGUUGAAUAUCAGAGUGCGGAACAAACAAGAAGAACAAAAUAAUAAGAAUUUUAUUAAACUAACUGAAUGCCGAAACGGCUACAAAAACCCUAACAAGCUACAUUGUGAAUAACUUAUUUCGAAUGAAUAACAAAGCACUCUAUUUAUAAUAAAUUAACCAUAAACCCUAAUGCUAACGGGCUAAGCCCAGAAAACCAAAUAUUAAAGUAAACCUAAAUACUAAUAUUUUCCAACAUGAACUGCCACAUAUUUGGCCGGGACAAAAUCGAAGUAGCUAGCUCUUUCGUUGUUUGACAUCAUCUACCUCAGGGUGCUUGCUUCUUGUUUUGCAGCAGCAGGAAUUGCUUAAUUAUUCGCUGUCAAAGUAUCACGAGUUCUUGCAGAUGUGAGAGAGUAGCAACAUUAACAAGAACGGAUGUGCUCUCCUAUGUUGUUAUGCACUUAAGUUAAAUAUAUUUUUCCUCACAAUUAAUAAAAUAUCAGUCGUAUAAAACCAUUGCUUUAUUUCUUUACAAGGUUUUUAACCAUCCUGGAAAGGCCACCUUUUUUUUUUUUUUAUAAUUAUUAUUUAUUUUAAAUACAAGACAAUUUAGAGUAUGGGCAUUAGCCAUUUAACAUUUUUAGACCCGCCAUAUGCCAUUUAAUAAUUUAGAGUAUGGGAAUUAGCCAUUUAAACUACUCAUGUGCCCCCUCUCCUUCAUUGGAUUGUAGUAUGGGCAUCGUCAUCUUCAUUCACUACUUACGCCCCCUCGUAGUAUGGUCGUCUUCUUCAUUUACUAUUUGCCGUAUCAAAUCUGGGCCUGGGUCGACUACGUACGCGUGCAUGCAUGCAUGCAUUAAUGCGUGAAAAUUGAGCAAUAGAGAAGCUACGCGCGAAUUGCAAUUGUAAUGAACUACACAUGCUGGGAACUUCUGCAAAUCGAAUUGAUGGGGUGAAAUUAAUCAUGCAAACUCAUUCAGAUUCUAUUAAAUUUCUUUAUUAUUUGAAAUUUUCUGAUGAUCCAGUGAUAUAUAAUUAAGUUAUUCCCAAUAUAUAUAUACUUUACAGCAAGCAUUCAUUCCCAAAUUUCCCAGCCAAAAUAUACUUCAGAUUUAACCUAAUUCAGAACUAAUCGUUCGCAAAAGAAAAAAGUUUGCAGAAAAAUAAAUUGAAGGUAAAAAAAACAUAGCAACAUUAGUAACCGUGCCAAUAUAUACACCCCCAUGAAAAUUAAUUAACAAACCAUAUUUACGUUUAUGUGUAUUAUGAAACCCAAUGAUUAAUUAAUUAUUAAGAACGGAUUAAUUGCUGAGGUCUUGCCUUUGGAUCAUACGCUAGCUGUAGGCAGUUAUCUCCUUGGACGCAGGGGGAGAAGCCACAGAGUCCUGCGAUGUUCGAGGCGGCGAAUGCGGUAAUCGGGAGGAGAAUCCCAAGAGCGGGUCAUCCUCGAGGUUGGACUCCUCGUGAUCAAAGUUGAGGGCGUAGCUGAGUGCGUCAUAUUUGAAAUCGGCUGAAUGAUGCCUCCGGCCCGCGCGGCCAUGGCCAUUGCCACGUCCAUGCAUGCGCCCAAUCCAAUUUCUGCACUUGUCUUUCAAUUCUGCAAACUCGUAAUGAUUGUUGUGGUGGUGGUGGUUGUAAUGGUGUUGGGGGUGGUGAUGAUGCCUAGACCGCGAGGACCGGGGAUUAGGGGAGAAUGAGGAGGUUUGCACGAGGCUGACAUUAUCAGCCUCAUGCGGAGUGGGAGGCGCCGUGAGGGCGCCGUGGUGGUGAGCUUUAGGAGUAGGGAAGCAUGGGAUGAUGCAGAGGGAGGAGCGGAGCUUUUGUUUGAGGGAGUUUGGGGAGCAGGGUUCGUGGUGGUUCUCCAUUAUUUUGAUUUGUGUGGAGAGGUUAGGGGUGGUGGUGGUGGUAUUUGUGUUUUUAUUUGGGAGGAGGAGGAGGCCCCGUGGAGAAGGUGCAAUGACGGAUGAGGACACGUAGAUUUCCGGAAUUCAUGGGAUGCUUUUGGGGUUUCUGGUCAUUUGACGUUGUUCAGAGAUUAUCGCUUUUUAGGGUCUUUUUUAUUUUAUAUUUUUUUCCUUUCGAUAAAUCUGAAAACCAUGUUGGGCCAGAAUUUGAAGGUUAAUAUUGUCGUCCAUUUGCAUGACUUAUGGGCUGGGCUCGAAUACAAAAUUGGAAUGUGAGCUUGAACAUAGCAUAGAUUUUAUGGUGUGAUUAGUUUUUCUUGUUGCCCAAUUAAGAAAACUACGUGCUUAUGAGAUGAGAUUUGGUGCCGAUGUGGUUAAGCGAGUUGAUUUUUUUUUUUUUGGUCAAACGAUAAGUUUUGUUAGAUUAGUCAUUGAUGGGGUUCGAACACACGCUAUCAUGUAAGGGCUCAACACAUUUUCAUCAUUGUGGUAAAGAGCCACUUGUGUUAAGCGAGUUGAUUAGGACUGUGUUUUUUUUUGUACAUGAGUUCGAAUUUUCAUUAUUAUAAGUUAAGAUUAGUUUAGAAUAUCACAUUGUUGGACAAAAACAAAGGAAGAUUUGAGUAAUCCAUUUGAAUUUUUGUUUAUUAAUUUUCUUUAAUUUAUUCGAUCUAAGAGCUGAAGAUUAAGAAAAGUAUAUGAAAGAUAAAAAUAAGUGUCUUUUAAUAUUAGUUUGUAUGAUCCUUAGAACCCAUGGUGUGUUCUUCCUCACAUGAUAAGAUCUUUGUCCAUAUCCUUUGUGUAGUAAAAUAUUGUAGAAGUGGGGUUGGGGUUGAUACGUUUGUAUUGUUUAUUGAGAGAAAAUAUACUCACUCCUGACAUUUGUGAUUCUCUACACCUUGUCUUGUUUUUAACUUUGAAAAAGAUUCACUUCUAUUCAAUUUUGAUAUUAUUUAUUGAUAAAUUUGAUCAUUUAUGAUAUAAUUUCUUUAAAUAGUCGAUUUUAUAUGUGGGGUAAGACGCCAUUUGUGUGUACAAUCAAAUUGACUUUCAGGUUAUAAGGACAAAGACGUCUCAUUAUCACAAUGAAUGAGACCACGUGGAUUGGAGAUUGGACUUACGUGCGACCCGAUAAUACCCUCAUAUAAUGCAGCCCGUUCAUUUGUGAGAGUGUCUGACCAUCUAGCUGGUCAGACUGCUCUACUCACAAUUCUGAAAUAAAAUUUAAUAGUUAAAACACCUGUUUCAUUGAAGCCAAACUUUUCCCCCUCUUAAUUCUACUUGAUUCAUUGAAAUAGUGCAAAAAAGAAUGUGCAAAUUCACUACCCUUUUUACCUAAACACAAAAACAGAAGAAAUGAAGUACUCAACAAAACCAUUCACUGCAGCCGAGAAAAGACAUUUUAUUUACUAGAAAGCCCAAUGAAACAUUACAAGAAGAGAUUUGGUUGAUCACGUGGCUCACCCUUGUCCCUUAAUAAGUGCCAGGUUUUCAGUUCAUAGCAACACGCAGCACCACUGUCUCAUUCGACACACACCUCGUGGACUUGUUGGAAGCUUUCGGUUAAGUUGCACUGAAACUCCCUCAACCUUUCCAUCCCAUGUCUCUCACCUUUUCUUUGUUUUGUUUUGUCUCCUCAUCUUUUACUUUUCUUUUGCUCAUUUUCGUUGAAGAAUAUAGCCCCACAUCGAAAACCUGACUGCAGUAAACACUAUUUAUUUUUGUUUUACCAGUAGUAGUAGUAGGCCGUUGAACCGUCUCUGAAACUUUAACGGUUUUCACUGGUACAUAAUUGAGAGGAGAGAGAUGAAGAUGAUUGAUGCAGAUCGUAUAUACAACCAUCAAUGGUAUGGACCCCUCUUUUGUCUGCCACCAUAUUUUGUUUCCAUCUUAUUGUUUAACUUCCCUCUUCUUCUUCUUCUUCAUUUCUUUGGAAAAUAUUUCAGGACCAAGCAGCUUUUCAUGGUGGAAAAACUGUAUCAUUUAUAAGAGAAAUAUAUACAUAUAUAUAUAUAUAUAGAGAGAGAGAGAGAGAGAGAGAGAGAGAGAGAGAGAGCUACACUUGUUUUCUUUGUCGGUUUUGAGUUGUUAUUUGGAGGUUGAAAUUAAUGGCUGGAAUGCUUCCUGGUGUGGAAUGCGCUCGGAGGAGACGAGUCCAUCAGAGCGGAGAGUCACCGUGCGUCGGCGGCAUCCAUGGCAGCACCAGGCGCUCUUCUUUCUGUUUGUAUGCUAGCAACCAUGAAUCUCACCACACCUCCACCUCUUCACUGGUAAUUCUAUCGCUCUCUGUGUUUUUCGCUCUCUCAUUUUCUUGGAAGCAUCCGAUUUUUCUUACCCUCGAAAAUGAAUGAAUCAAACAAGAAUCAAUCGAGGAAAAGAAGAAGAGAGCGCAGAAGGAGAAACGAGAAACUGGAGUGUGAAAAUCGCUGUCCUACCGAUUUAAAUUACAAGCAAAUAUAAUUUUCUCCUGUUGUAUAUGGAUUAUUUUUCAUGAUCAUUGUUUCAAUUUGCAUGUUUGAAUCAUUAAUAACAGUAUUAAUUUAUUGGACACAAUAGCAAAGAAGCAUACUGAACCAAGCAUACAUGGAUGAGAAGCUGGGAGUGGAAGCCAGAGAAGCCAAGGGGAGAUUAGAUGAAAGACUGAGAACACAAAGAAAACCACAACCCAAAAGGUAAUUAAUUUACCAAUAUGUGGUCCGGCUAUGAAACAAAUUGUUGCUGACACAUCAAUAAUGCCUCGAUAUCCAUGUUAUUGAUGCGUUCUUGACAAUAUCAAUGAAACAGUUGUUCCUUCAUGCACAUAAAAUUUCUUAACAAUAAUGGUUCUUGCACUAACAUACGCGACGGGAAUAAAUUUCCUCUCAUUCUUUUCUCCUUCUGCAAUACCUGUUUAUUUUUGUCUCUCGAUUUUCGAUAUGUUUUAACUAUGUGUUUUAUUAUAUUUGUGAUAAAUUUAGGCAUACUAAUGGUGGUAACAAGGGACUGAAAUGUGUGGAUGGAGGAGGAAGAUCAUCUGUCUUGCUUGGGGAGUUGCAGAAAGAAGUUUACGGAGCAAACAAGAGUAGUAGUAGUACAAGUGGGUCAAAGAAGUUCAGCUGGUCAAAGCUGACCUGGAAGUCAUCGGACCAGGAUGAGUGUGCAGUCUGCCUGGAGAGGCUCAGGCCAGGUGAGACCCUGGUGCACCUGCCCUGUGCCCAUAGGUUCCACUCUGGUUGCAUGGUUCCAUGGCUUCACAACAAUGCCCAUUGCCCCUGUUGCAGAAUGGAGAUUAUCUCCUAGUAAUUGUAUUGGUAAUUUGGUAAAUGCAAAUUGUAAAAUAUAGAUUGAGCUUGCAGUUGCAGUUGUAGAGUUGGUUUGAAGUUUGAACAAUUAACUUUGUGGUGCUAAUUGUUUGGUUACAAUAUGUUUUUGUUAAAGUGAAUAGUUGCCAAGUAGUCUUUGUGUGAGUAGAUAGUUUAUGCAAAUUUGUGGGAGAUUAUAAUUCCACACAUUAAUCUUGAUGUAGGACAAGAUAUGGGUCAAUUCCGACGAAAAAAUAUCAAGAAAAUAAAAUGUUUUAGAGUUUGGAAAGAAGAAUUAAAGUUGGGCUAUAUCAGAUUUAAUUAACAUCGCGACAGAAAAAGUAACAAGAAAUAUUAUCGUGCUAGAAUUGAGAGUAAUAUGUCCUUUUUGAAGAGAAUGCAAGAAGAACAAGACUCAUGGUUAUAAUAUGAGCCCGUCAUGUUUACGGCCAUUCGAGGUUGUUUAAACUCCCAAAACAACAUUUUUAAAGUCUAAUAAAACAACCUUUCAUGUCGUUUAAUUUACUAAGACCCUGAGCUUCCCGAGGGGUUGUGUUUGUGUCUUUUUAAGUCGUUUGGCUCCUAAUGUAAUGUAUCAAUUCAAAAAAUAAUCAAACAACCUUUCGAUUUUAUCCAUCUAUGAUGGAUUCCAAAAACCUUGGUUCUUCAAGAUUUACGUUUGUAAUCCUUAUAUGCUCGUGUUGCGUCAAAUCUCUUCCACAUCUUUCGGGAAAAUGCUUGACUAGUUAUAUGUAGCGUUUCUCAUAACAAACAAAUCUCAAUCUGACUUUUAUAAACGAACUUUUUCAGUUUUUAUUUUUGCAAGUCACUUUAGUAUAUGUGAUAGUCUACAUAAGGAAUAACUCUUUAAUUAUUGUAAAGAGUUAAACAUUAUUCCAAAAUUCUCAAUGAUUUCCAAAUUAUUGAACCAACAUGUGAUCUCCAAUACAAAAUUUUAAGAGGUGCAAUCCCUUUUGUGAAUGAAUGUAAUUGCACUACAUAUCACUAUCCAUCCAUCCAACCUCCCCACCUUGAAAUUGAAUAUCAGAUGAGAGAAAAGGCUCCACUCAUGUGACGGGUGGGACAAGAACAGGUGAAUUAUAGGACAGUCUUUGCUGUCUUGGUCGACCUUUCUCUUGUUUAGUGGAAAUCAUUUGUUCUUGCACUAAUCAAAUGUUAAUACCAAUCUUCGCUUCCAAUUAAGGGAGAUCAUGGUGAGAUCAUAACAACUUAAGUCGCGAAAAAGAUGGGCAGUAGUGGAUCCAUGAGUUUUUCGUUAAUAAGUGAGGUCAUAAAAGUUUGGUGCGGUGUUCUUACUUAAGUAUUUUUUUGGUGGGUUUUUUUGGUGCGGUGUCGCUUGAGCCUUCAGAGACUGAGGAACGAGGAUGGAAAUUGAGUGACGUGAGUGAAUUUGGGUGAAAUAGAGGAUAAGGGAAGCGUACUGAAUGGGACACAAACGCAAACCUAAGAAUAGAAAAGCUAGAAUUCACUAGAGAUUGGGAUAAACCCGAAAGAUUUUUUGUUCAUUUAUGAAUCAAUACAUUACACUGGGAGCCAAAUGGCUUAAAUAGACUUAAUUUGACUUUGGGAAGUUCGUAUCAAACCUUGUGAAGUUCAUAGAAAGUCUAAUGAAAUACAAAAAUAUUGAUUAGAUUGAAAAAUGAAAAGUCUGAUUUUAUUACCAACUUUAAAAUGCUGUUUUGGAAGCUGAAACGACAUCAGAUGGUUAAAAUCUGUUAAGGAAUUUUCAAACCUUGUGAAGUUCAUAUCUUGUCCUACAUCAAGGUUUUGGAUAAAAAUAAGAUUUGCAGCCUUGCUUCAUCCUGUUUUGUUUAGCUGUUGAGUUGGCAAAAUCCGAGUCAUUUUCAUUAAACAAGUUUGCCAUAAAAAUGGAGUAACAAGUUAAGACUAAACCAGAUAAAAGAUUCGGUUCUCUCAAACAAGACCGAAAAAAUAUCAAUAAAAUAUAUUCUAUGCUUUGAAGGUGGAAUGUCAUUUUCUCCUAUAAAAAUGAAGCAUGCUAACUUGGAUUUUAUCCUAAUUUGGGUAAAAUCUUCUUCUUUUCCUACCCUAAUCCUUGUUUUUGUGUCACGACUGGCUAGCUGGAGGUCACUAAAGAAUGGACCCAAUUUAGCUAAUUUAUCUUUGUCUUGAUUAUAUAGAUGGAUAAAUGAUUAGGCAAGGAUUGAUAAACUUUGAUUAAUUAUUCGUUGAUUGAUUGGAGUGACGCAAGAGUCCAAAACUUUUCAAAGUUUUCAAUGUGAUGUGUGACUAAGACAUAACUCGGAAAGGAUGAGCGGCACGAAUAAGGUUUCUUUAUGUCCAAUCAAGACAAUGUCGCGAUCGAAAUUGAGCCGAAAUUACAAGCAGUAUAAAUUUUGAAAAUUAUACAAGUUUUACAGUGUAGGGUUACUAUGUGAAGAAAAAAAAACCACGCUUUUAUAAAACUUUAUUUUUCAGCCCACUCCAGUUUACUGUUUUGUAUUCCUUCAAGUUUUAGUACAUAUUUCCUGGUGCGACAAGAGUUUGUGGCGGUUUUGACGAUCUUGACACAAUGUGGGAAUUCAUAUUUUUUUAUUUUAUAUAUAUCCAUCUUGUGUGGGAUGAGAAUUUAGUCUUACUUCUUGACCAUUUAUCUAUGCUCUGACACUCUCGUAUGUAUAAAUAGGUUCAUAAAAGAAAAUCAAUAAAAAAUAAAAAUAAAAAUAAAAACUUUUGCCAAGGGGAAGGCAGCGAACGACGCCGUUCGGUGGACCAAUUAUUUUCAUUAUUUUGGCACCUUUGCGAAUUUUACCAUUUUAGACUCUUCCCGCAACGGCUAGUUUCCUAGUGACCGUUUUCCCGUCUCCCAAAUUUCAAAUCUGCAAUCGACCUUCAACCCACCAUUAAUCUUCUUCACAUACCGCAACUCCCAGAAAUCUCCUUUCACUUUUCGAAAAACACCCGCAAAACCAAAUCCAAAUCCAAGGCUCUGGCAACUUGUCGAAUUCGAUCUCCGUUAAACCCACUUGGCAAUUCAAAUCAAGGACCCAGAAUUUCAAAAAUGGUAUAUUCAUACGCGCCCGCGUACUACUCCACAAUCCACGACUCCAUGACCUCCCUGUGCAAGUCCAUUCUUCCCUUCAGCUUCAAGAAGCGGCGGUUGCCUGCGGCGGAGCAGAGGCUUUCGAAGCUGCAGUCGGAUAACCUCAAGUGGCAGCAGGACUCUUUCCACCAGAUUCUGAACUUGAUGGGUCUUCACAAAGAAGGCAUCUUGGCUGAGACCGAGGUGUCCGCUUUCCGAUUGCAUUUGCUCGAAACCCUCAUUGCCUCUCAGGUGGCGGAGCACGAACAGCCGGUUAUUCUGAGAGACAAGUUGCUGUUCUUGCAGGUAAAAUGCCAGUCUGCAAUCUCAACUCUUUCCUUUUUUUUUUCAUUUCGAUUGGAUUUUCUUUCUUGGUUUUCUGAGUAACCAAGCAAUGUUUAGGAGCUCUUGUAUGCGAAAUGCAUAUCGGAAGACGAGUACCAUUCUUCGAAAAGGCCGUUGCUGCAGCGAUUAGAGGCACAGGGAGCUGAGAUCGAGGCCAAAGAUAUAAUCGCUUCAGGGUCGCUGCCAGCGAAGGAUCCGAAAGAGAAUACAGAUCAAGAGCAGUGGUCGGAAAUUGACUUGAAGGAUGAGAAAUGCUUGCUAACGAAAGAUAAAGAGGGUUUGAAUUCGAAGAACAAAUCGAAACACAGCUCGGCAGUGAAACAAAUCAAAGGGGCAGCUUCGGUGUUGGGAUUUGUAUCACCUUACAAACAUGGGAAAAACAGGGGAGAAAAGAGCAUAUUCGAUUUGCCUGAUUCGUCAAAAUUCUCUUCUUCCAGCUCUUCUAAGCAUCAAGCAGGAGAUCAAUCGUCGAUUCUUAUGCCGGAAAGCUUGCCACAGGUGCCGGUGAAAGAGAACGGCAGCGCAGAUCGAACAAGGAGGAAACCGUUUAGGAGUCUGUUUCAGAGAGAACAGAAAGAGGGUCAGGGGGAUCAUGCCCACGAAAAUGAACAAACACCUUCGAAAUCGGCCAAAAAGCAAUGGGGUUUUGAUGGAUUCAAGAAAUGGAAGAGGAAUGAGUCGGAGGACGAGACAACUCCGCUGCCGCUAAACGAACGAUCGGAUAGUGAGGCUCACUUGAAGCUUGUUCCAAUCCCCAUGGGUGAAGGGCCAGACACUAAGCUCAUAAAAAGGAGGCUGCUUUCGGAUGGUUCUCCUUCCGAUUUCUUCAUUGACAAGGUUCAAAACCGUAUGAUUUAAUUUCGUAAUUUGCUGGCUUAUAUUUGAAGCAUGAUCCGAAAUUGAAGGUUGUUUUUUUUCUUAUUUUUGUAUGAUCUGAAGGUUUUAGGGGAGAAGAUAAAGAAGGAGCUGUCAAGAAUUCAGUCAGAGCUUUGCGCUUCAAAUCCAAAUCUUCGAUUUACGUAAGCCUUUUGAUGAGUCUUUCUUACAUAUACAUUGGUAUCGAAAAGCAAUCUUUUUGUAUCGAAAACAUACGAGUUUGAUUCUUGUGAUUUGCUCAGGAAUGAACAAAUUGAAGCUAUUUCGACCAGGCUUCCGGUGGACAAGGCUGAUCUGAAGAAGUUCUUUCCCAAGUGAGCAAAUCUUCUCUAACUAAAACCACCGCCCCCUUGUACUUUCUCUCUUAUUUUUCAUUGGAUUUUUGUUUCGUUUUCAGGUCGUGGUGCGAUCGGUAUGGAGAAGUUGUUCUGGACGUGGUGAGGAAAGAGUUCAAGGAGCAUGUUGGGGAGAUGGAGAGCUUGAGAAAUGCGGCAAGAGAGAAACACGGUAUCCACUCAGCGCGAUGGACUGCAUUCCAAGAUGACGAGGAGAAUUGUCACCCGAAUCUCUUUGCUCCGCCGCGAGACAACAACCACAAUUAUACUUCAAAGUUCCAUGAAACCAAUCCGUUCUGUGAUGAUCACAUUCACACCACCCCUAGGAAGCUGAGAUCGAAACCGGCAACUUAUACACAAGAGCAGAACCAGAACCAGAAUCCCUUUUGGAUCCCGGGCACGGCUACUAAUGCGUUUUCGUUGAGUAGCUGCUUAAUAUGUAUUUUGAUUGAGAGAUCGCUUGAUAUGUUGUAUGAACUUUGAGAGAAGAACGCUGUUCUUCCAAGCAUUCAAACUUUAUGUUUGAUUUGUAAAUGUAGGCAAUGUAUUAUCUCCUUCAAUGUUUCGGAACUCGAUUCGCUCCUUGAUUUUUAUUUUCUUAGUUCUUCUCACUCACUAUUUGAAAUCCUCUAAAGGGCCUUCAUGCAAAUAUCCAACACGCGUGUAAUACAAGAAACAAAUCAAUCGAAACAUACGACAUGAUCAUCAGGAGUUGGGGUUACUUGCGAUGCAGGUAAAGUGGUCGAAUUGGAUUGGAAAUCAAGUUAAAAAUCGCAAAUUCGGCAGCAAGAGGAAUUUUUUGCAGACACCUGAACCCCGAGUCGUCCUAACCAGAGACUAUACCUUGACAACAAAACUAGCAAGAUUUAUUCAAGACAUUCAAGUAAAGGCAAAGGAAUCUGCAAGCUUUUGAGCAAAAUGGAAGGUCCGUUACCAAUAAUUCCAGCAAGAAACCCACUAUGUGAAAAAGAUAAAAGAAAAAGCAGAUAACGCUUCACCCCAGUCGUGAAAAGCAAUCAUGCUUAUACACCUUGGGGCGGAUUAAAAGAACUUUACAACAUUACAAAGAACUUAAAGACAUUAUAGCUAUCCUUGGGUUUCAAUCCCUAAAGAACUUCAAGACGUUAUAGCUAUCCUUGGGUUUCAAUGCUCACUGGUCCCCUCGCUCUUAACAAUUAACAAUCUAACUUACUAACGCUAUCGUUUGUCUAAAAAUAAAAGCCAAAAAUACAUAACCAAAAAACACACUAUAAGAUCCCACAUCGCCCACACAGUGAUCCUUAAAUGUAUAUUCUCAUCCCUAUCUAGCACGAGACAUUUUGGGAGCUCACUAGAUUCGGGUUCCGUAGGAACUCCAAAGUUAAGCGAGAAGGAAGCUAGAGCACUCCCAGGAUGGGUGACUCACUGGGAAGUUGCUCGUGUGUUCCCAGAAGGCGUGGUCGGGACCCAAAGCGGACAAUAUCGUACUACGGUGGUGGAGCGGACCUAGGAAGUGGUCCGCCCCGGGCCGGGAUGUGACAAACACCAAGGUAAAAAGGGAAAAUACUGAAAGAAAAAAAAACGAAAAUCCCAGGGUUUGCUAUGUUUGAAGCCUCUUUGUUGAGAUGAAGAUGCCAAUUCAUGCACAUUGAUAUGUAAGUAUCUCGUUCUUUCAAUCACUAUAAAUCCGCAUCAAGGACGGCAGACGCUACAAUAUCGUGGAUUUCGGAAAAAUUCAGAUACAAGUCAGUCUUGGGGGACCAAAACAUGUCCUGGUAGAUGCGAAGAACCAUCUUUAACUAUAUACAUUACUGUGUAGUAUGUACAAUUAAAUCAAAGAGAAGAUAUCUCCGAGUUAGGGACAGAACAGUCGGUGAAACCCUCACGAACAUCUCCUCGGCAAAGCGGGCAAACUCUGUAAGCAGGAAUGAACAGAGAGAAUUUCGGUGAGAAAAAAUACAUGGGGAAAUGAAGGACAAUCAUGAAGGGGGGAAAAACAGAGGAUGGCAAUGACAAUACCCGUGUAUCUCUUUGAGCCACUUAUCAACGCAUGACAUGUGAUACUCGUGAUGGCAGGGAAGAACUCGAAUUUUGUCUCCUUCCUCAUACUCAGCGAGGCAUAUGUAACACCUAUCAAUUAUUAACUCACCAUGAUCAAACAAAUUCAUUAUGCUCCCUACUGAUGAAAUCAUUUAAGUAAAACUUACUGUUCAACAUCAUCCCCGGACUUUGGUUUGUCAACCUUUGUGUGACUUUUAAGAGGAAAACCAUCAACAAGAGAUGCUGGGGCAGGAGCUGAGACCAUCGACAGUGAAAGUGACACAGGUUGGCGGUGAAUCUCAUCCAAAACCUGCACAUCGCACAUUACAACAAAAUUAGGUUUGAUACAUUCAUAAGGUACACAGUAAUCUGUUGUGUAAUAUCUGCCCCUAAGCUUAACCGUCAAACAUAGAUAAAAACUGCGCAAACCAUAUCACAGCCGUUCAACCUAGAUUGGUAAACAUGCAGCCAAAGCCCUCAAAGAGACCUCAAGAAGAAGAAUAUACUAAAAUCAUCGCUGAUUUAAUUACGUUGCUUAAAUACCCUCCUAACUUAAGACAUAUGCAAGAGUGCAGAAAGAAAAUUACCUCAAAUAGAGCUUCGGCGAGCAUGACAAUUCUUGAUAUACUUGCCCGAGUACUAGACUCUUCAGCCAUCAAGAAUGAGCCACAUGAGCACAUGCCACGAGGGUGGAUUCCUGUGGGACAAGAGGUAUUACGCUGGCCAUUAUCAUCAAGGCCAACACGAAGUCUUUCCCAGACCUACAAAGAGUCAUGCAGAUGCAAAUCAAUGAAAAUUACUAGUGGGACCCCAAAAAAUAAAGCUGCUAUAGUUUACGGAUUUCUCCGGCCCGUAAAACAUCUGGAUAUAACACUUCAUAAAGUAUAAAAGAACCUUUGAUGAAUGAUAUAUUUGUAAACCAUGUAAAUGAACAUACACAUAUACAAAAUACAGUUAAGCCCCCAUACUCUCGCAAAUGAAAAAACUCAAUUUUAAGAUCCAAGUUAAGCCACGUGACUGAAACAUCAUAAUAUUUUUUAAUGUUAAAAUCUAUCACCUCAGAUCUAGAAUGUCGCCGUCGUUCACUCGAGUUGGGAAUUCUAUUAGCCCGGUGACCAGAAUCAACUCCAAUUUCAUCAUCAAAGAAAUCACCACUCAAACCAAGCAGCCAUCUGUCAUGAAAUCCCAUAUCCUCGGUAUCAUCAGUAGAGAAAAGAAUGGUUGGUGAAUCAAUAAACCUCCUGGAGCUGCGCCUUGAAAAUGCAUCCCAGAACAGUCGCCUGCCAUUCCUUCUAGCCUCACGAUUACUUGCAUCAGCAUUGCUACUCCUCAAAAAGUUGGAAGAAAUGCUCAUAACAUCAACAUGAAGUACACUUCCAUCUUCCUGGCCUUGUUCCCUAUUGGACACAAGGAAUCCUAAACCAGAAGGUAUUGCCUCCCGAAGGGAAUCAUUUCCAAGUGAGUCGAAAGUCGACGGAGUUUCAGAAACAUUAGCAGAAUCAGUAUCAGCAUUAAAACCCUGUACACCCCUUACGUCAGCCACAUGAUUCUCAACAGACACUUCCUGAGAACGGGAAUUCCGAAUCCCUUGUGGAGAUGAGCUACUUGGAAGCAUAACCUCGGGACAGGUCUCAGAUACAUUCUUGUCUGCUGAAAUGUCAAUGCCAUUGACUGAAUCCACAUUAGCAGAACCAUUCAAAGAGACUGUUUCUGAAGAUUGUUCUUGUCUAAACGAAGUACUAGCGGUAGUACUAUUAUCCCUACAAGAUUGAUCAUGACUAUAAUCGGCACUUACCUGAUGAGGUAUUAGUUCUUUACUUUUGGACAAGCACUUCCCCCGGUUAAUUGUGUCAACACUGCUUAAUCCUUCUUCAACAGUGCUCUCAGAUGAUGAUCCAAUUUCAAUAAUGGGGCAGGUGAACAGUGGUCCACUACUGGAGACCAACGAGGAUCCUUCUCCAGAGUUCCGGACUUGAUUGAUAUCAAGAUCAGAUUGCUCUGCAUAUUUUACACGACACUCAGGUGCGUGAUCUUCCAUCUGCAGGAAAAGUACUGAAGCAAAUCAGUCUCCUUAUGCAAUCUAUAUGACUAUAACUACCAAGUACAAAAUGAUUCACGAAAUUUGAAGGGUAUUGGUAGAAAAGGUCAAAAAACACUAUCAAGGCAUGAAGCAAAUCAGUCUCCAUAUGCAAGCUAUAUGACCAUAACUACCAGGUACAAAAUGAUUCACGAAAUUUGAAGGGUAUUGGUAGAAAAGGUCAAAAUACACUAUCAAGGCAUGAAGCAAAUCCGUCUCCUUAUGCAAUCUAUAUGACUAUAACUACCAGGUACAAAAUGAUUCACGAAAUUUGAAGGGUAUUGGUAGAAAAGGUCAAAAUACACUAUCAAGGCAUGAAGCAAAUCAGUCUCCUUAUGUAAUCUAUAUGACUAUAACUACCAAGUACAAAAUGAUUCACGAAAUUUGUAGGGUAUUGGUAGAAAAGGUCAAAAUACACUAUCAAGGCAUCAAUACAACUACGUAACACCACAGUUCUUUGGCCACCAAAAAAGGUAUUAAACUUACGUUUCUAUACUGUCCAUCAUAAGAGAUGUGCAUUUACUCCCAAAUGAACACAAGUAACACAAGAAUAAAUAACUUCAGUUAUACGCUAAAUAGACUAAUGCUAGGUAUCUCAACUUCAAACCAACACCAAGCAAAAUUUCUGCUUCAUGACUUCAUGGAAAUAAUAUAUUGAGGUUGUCAUCACAAGUGCAUCGCAAAGCACUAAAUAAAAACAACUGCAAUCAUUUGAUAUCUAAUUACAUGCCUCUACUUCUCCAGAAGAUUCCUAAUACGUUCGUCAUGAGGACUCCCAUGAACAAUAAUAGACUUGCACACAAUUAUAUACUUAUAUUCUAGCAAAAUAUCUUUACUCAUCCAAACUUUUCUAAAUCUUCCCUAUCUCCCGAGAAUGGGGGCAUAUAUACACAGAAACAUUUUUACCAACCACUUCACACUACUACAUCAGCAGCAUGAUUGAUUCCCAGCUCAAGAACAUAAGUUGCGCUAAAGACUACGUGAUCAUUUAUCCGCACCAUUAAGAACCUUGACCUUCAAGUUCUACGAUCGUAAUCAAACUUUCUCCAACCAUUUCCCUGAGCAUCCUACCAACCACUCAUCGGGGAUCAUCAUUAAAGUUCAUAUUCAAAAACACUAAAAAAUCAAACAACAUAGUUCAGACCCCGAAAACAAAGUUAAAUCCUUUUUCCUCAUUCACGAUUGUUAUACUGGACUUGAACAAAUGUAUACAUUAAAACAAACAUAACUCGAACUGUCAAUUCAAUGUCCCCAUUAAUUAAAUCCCCAAACUUUUUUCAACAACACGGUCGCAUAAUUAGCAGUUUUAAAAUAUGAAUACAAUAUUCACAAUUGCAGGGAAAUUAUAACGAAAAUUCAAAGUAACUGAGUCAUUAUGAUAUUACCGAGCACAGGGCCAAUCUUCUGCAUCAGCUGGACAAAUCCCAUAGAUUUUUAUUGGAUUGUAACUUGAAUUGAGGAAAAUCAAACCCCCAAGAAAAUUAAUUUAAUGAAAAAAGCUUAAAAUUCUUCUAAUUUGCACCAAAUGAUCAAAUCCCAAAUCAUCCAAAACCAGUAAAAAUCGAAUUUUGCAUCAAAAAAUGUAAAAAGUAUGAGAAAUCCAAAAAUGGGCAUUGACGAUUGAAUUGAAGGCAUCGAUUUUAGUGGAGGACGAUGAAGAAGAAGAAGAAAAGGGUACCUCGUGAGUAGCACGUGCAGAGGAGCCACCACAGACGAAAGAGGAGAGUAUGGAACGACUGGCGGUGCGAUUGACUCGGGGCCGAGAUGGGCGCGAGCCCAGUCGACUGCUGCUCGAACCCAUUUGAGAGAGAGAGAGAGGAAGGAGAGAGAGAGAGAGAGAGAGAGAGAGAGAGAGCGCUUCAGAGAUGGUGAUGAAUGAUGAUAAUUGAAGCAAACCGGCUGAGAGAGAGAGAGCUUUCCAUUUUUCCUUUUUUAUUUCAAAUUCAAUUUUCAUUGUGAACUAAUGGUUUCUACAGUGGACCAGGCUUGACCGACCCAUCAAAUAUAUGGGUCUGGAUCAUCAAGUUUCGGCCCAAUGUAUUCAGUAAAAAACAAAGCUAAGAGCAACUCCAUAUUUAAAAAAUGAGAUGACUCAAAGUCCAUUUAAUCCACCAAAAUGAAUAGUAAUUGACUUUAAUGAACAAUAAUUGUCCAAGUGCAUCAAUUCCUAAAAAAUGAGCUGGGUAAGAGUUUAGUCAAUUCGUAUUAAAAUAUUAUUAAUUUUUUUUAUAAAAAAUUAAAAAAUAAUUUUAUUUUUAAUUUCGGAUAGAAUUUUUAACCUCUUGUCACGUUACGUGUCAUUUUCCGAAAGUACAAUUUUUGUGAAAGAUGGUUAGGUAUAUAUAUAUAUGUAUAUAAUCUUUUAUUUUUUUCUGUAUUUUUAAACAAAUUUUUAUAAUUUUUUAUUAAGUUAAUUAAUCUGGAUCAUUGGAUUUCAAAAAAUAAAAAAAUCCAAUAGCCUAAAAAUGGACAUGUGACCCAUGGUAAGAUUCUGAUAUUUUUUUUAAUGCUGGAACGCACACCUACGCAAGCGUGUAUCCCACGGGCCAACAGCAAAAAAAAAAAUUCACAUGGCUGACGUCAGCUUGGCCUCAUGUAGGCCGGUCUAUUGCUCAGUCCAUUAUGUGUUGGGCUCAAAGGUGGCCUCCACUUUGGGCCAACCUAUUGGGUGGGGUGAAGUUGGUUUUUUUUUUUUUUGGGGGGGGGGGGGCAGCCUAAAAAUUAGACUUUGAGCUAGCACAUUUGUUAGGGAUGAAAUGCUCUAAUAGAAAAAAUGUUAGGCUUAUCAUAUUUUUAAUAUUUCAUGUGUAUAACAUUUUUAAUAAAUAUGGGAUCUACAGUGUUAUUUGCACACUAAUUUUUAUCUCUCACAUAUUCUUGUUAAUUUUUAUUGACUCAUCUUCUUCAAUUCAUAUUGUCGACCGAAAAUUAAGAGGAGUGCGUGAGAAGAAAAAUGAGUGUGUAGAUAACGCUAUUGUAUAAAAAAUUUGAUAAAUAUAGUAUUUACUCUUAUGAUAGAGAUAGGGUUACGUGUUUGGUAUAUAUACGAGUACAAUGAAGCCAUGACAUUUGUAGUGGUGAUUGGUUACAUUGGUAUACUUGAGAUGUGAGGCAAAUUUAUUACCAUCACAAAGAUAAUUAUGAAACUUAUGGGCCUUCUAUUUUACUAAAAAUUGACCUCCAUCGUCCAUAUAUGAAACUUAAACUUGGAGAAAGAUCGUAUACGUUUUAUGAAAGGUUUUUUUAUCUGACAUGGAAUGAGAUAUGGUUUUCUUAACUAAGAUGUGAAAGACAAAAUUAUUCCCAUCACAAAGAUAAUUAUGGAACAUGGGCCUUAUAUUCUACUAAAAUUUGACAUAUUAACUACAUUUUACUAGAAAGAUGUACAUAAAGUUAUACCCAUUUUGGGAAAGUUAUCUAAUUUGACAGAGAAAAUCGAUAAUUUCAAAUGUGUCAAGACGUGUGAUUAUCUCUGUUUAAUUAUAAAUUGGAGGUAGAGAAAAAUGGCAGCACUUUAAUUGUAGUGUGUUUGAAUAGUUGAUCAAGGUAUCGGCAGAGAAAUAUCGAGUUGAAUUGUAGGUAUUCAACUACCAGCAAGACAACCAUGGAUCCAUGGGUGUGACUAGCAGUUGGUGCAUAUGAUGGACACGUUUUACCACUAACAGACGAAACACCAUGUCUGUAUCUACAUAGCUUUCUAUCCUUUCUCCACGUACUUCUGCACCCCAUUAACAAAAAGGCAAAUUAAAAUAUAUUAUACAAAAGUAGACCUAACUUUAAUGCUUUAUCCACUCCUAUAAAAUCUACAUAAUCGUCGAGUUCCAACACACUUCAGAACAAUAUAUCCACUUAUAGUUGCAGGGAACUAAGAAAAAAAAGAAGAUCGACUGAGAAACAUGCCUGACCAUCCACCACCACCACCGGGCCAUGAUCACGGACCCCCUCAUCCUGAGCCUCCUCCGCCGCACGCCCAUGCUCCUCCUCCUCCUCAGCCGGGCGGUGGACCUCACGCACCUCCCCCUGGCCCUCCUGAACCACACAAGCCACAUCAUGAUCCCCAUCAUGGUCCCCAUCAUGGUCCUGGUCAUCACCACCCAUGAAUCAUCAUUCAUCGUAUGAUGAAUAUAUACAUGCUUGCAUGCAUGUAUGUAGAUGUAUGGUGUACGUUGUGAUGUAAUUUCUAGUUUUAACUAAGUCGGUGAGUCCUCUCAUGAUCAUGCAGUUUUAAUGAAUGAUGACUUCGUGUACCCAAAAAGUAUGCAUGAUUAUGUAAAUUAAUAAGAUCGGUUUGUGGUUUUAAUUUCCUCUUAAUUAAUUAGUUAAUUUGGUACGCACUGAGCUGCUGAUCAAAGUGUGGUUUAAGAUGCAAAAUUUCCAUUCCUUUCAUGUUUUAAUUAAGAUGCAAAUCUAAUUACAAACAAAUACGCUGCAACUAACUAAAAACCCUACGUGCAGCAGGCCAUGGAUAAUUUUUGGUCUUUAAUUCGAUCUUUUACUUUAGAUAAAUGUCUAAUUUAAUUGCUGCAAAAGCUAGCUUCUGAAGUAUGAUCAGUGUUAAGAAACAAAUAAAAUUAAGAUAUAUAUCAUCAUUAUAAUUAAAUUUUCUGAUGUAGGAGAACAAAUGAAAUAUGCGUAUAUUGUCGGUGCGUAAUCCGCACUAAUAAUACAACGUUAAAUAAAAAUAUGUAUGUAUUAUUGUAUUAUACAAAUGUAAUGCCACAGUAAGGUUAUUUCCAACCGAAUGAGGGCCAAAAUGCUAUCUUUAGCUCUAUAGUCUUGCAAGAAAUUAUAUUUUAAUGAAUAGUGCUAUGCUAUAUUUUAUACAUCUCAAACUGAGAGGAUCAAAAGACAAUAGGCCAAACAUAGCCCUUUGAAAAAAACUAUCUCCAACUGAGGGAACCAAAAGAUCAUAGGCCAAACAUAAUUUAUUAUUUUAAUUAAAUUAAACUACUAUAUUUAAAAAAGGUUUUCAGACAUAUUUUGAGUCACUUGUCGUCAAAUGAAUAAGCCUCCGGAUUUCUUAUCUAUAUAUAAUCUCAAUAAUUUUUUUGGAUAGAAUUUCGAGUAACACGUGUAGCUAACAUGAGGAACUCUUCAAAUUUUUUAUCUUUAUGUAAUCGCAAUAAUUUUUCGGAUAGGAUUUCGAAUGACAUUUGUCGCUAAAGUGAGUAACUAUCCAUAUUUCUUAUCUUUAUGUAAUCUUAAUAAUUUUUCGGAUAUGAUUUCGAGUGCCACGUGUCGAGUGUUGUGCUAGGAUAGCACCAAACCUUAUGGAACCAACUCAAGCUAACCCACAUGAAAUAUAUCAAAUGGAAUGCAAGAACAAAAUAUAAAAGAACACCAAGAUUUUAACGAGGUUCCUCAACAGUCAGUGUAGCUGGAGUACGUCCUCGGAGCAGUAUGAGCUCACCCAAUAAUCCACUAUCAACCAAAUGGGAGUUUACAAAGUGUUGGCAAUCUCACAACCCAAAUAACCUAAUACACCCAAUAGCUCACACACACCAAAAAAACAAAUAGAGGAAGAAAUAUAAUGAAUAAUUUCUUCUCUAUACAUAUAGCUCAAAGCUAUUACAACAACUACUUUGAUAGAUGAUUACUAACCAAAGAGACGAGCACUUUAUUUUCUCUGAGGAGCUACGGCACCUUUUAUCUGUUGCUCUGCUGCUCUCUGCUCUCUGCUCUCUGCUCUCUUCUCUCUUCUCUCUGCACUCAGAAUGGGUUUUUCACUCUCUUCAAAACCGAACUAUUUUUCCACACAAGAACCAACAACUUUCUUAUCACCAAAGAAUAAUGCUCCAUCCGAGGCUAGCCUUUUAAAAUUCCACAAAUCAAUAAGAAACAUAAUUAUAAUGUCUCCCCAUUUUUUAUUUUUUUAUUAGCCAAAAGAUAUAUAAUAAUUUGGCCCUUUUUUCUUUUGUUUUGUUUAAUAGCUAAAAGGUGAUGUUGAGUUGCCACUUGGCCACAAUUCAACAUCGAGAUGUAAUUGGUUGUGCAAAUUUUAGAUAGGAUUCGUAUCUACAUGACACUUCUUAUCUUCAGCUUUUAAUGUUGUAGAAAUGAUGUAGGUAUUUAUAGGAAAAAAUUAGAUUUUUUUUUAAAUUCGUCAAAAAAAAAAAAAAUCAAAUUCCAACGGUAACCUGACGACAACAUGAUGUUAGCUAGCCGUUGCUAACUGGCGUCAUGCUGCCGCCAAGUAGCCGAACUAGAGAGCUGGCAAAAUGUCAAAUUUGACAUUCUAGCAUUGGAGGACUGGCAAAAUGUCAAGCUUGACAUUCUGACGCUGGAGGGUUGGGCUAGAGGGCUGGCUGGCUAACUAGAAAUGGCCAGCUCGCUGGCUUGAUUUGGGGGUUUGGGUGGGGCCUACAAGCCAUUUGACCUAACCCUCGGUUGGAGACGAUUUUCGUGUCAUUCUUAGCUAUUUUUAGCUCUAUGAUCCUUUAACCGGGUCGGUUGGUGGAGAUGACCUAACUACAAACUCGUAACAUAAAAUCCGUUUCUCGACUUGUAGAUGUGGGCUUAUGAAUCUUGUGGUUGCCCUAAUUCAGAGGAAUGACUACACACAAUGAAAUAAGACGGGAACAAAAAUCUUCUCUGCGUGAUACACAUGAUUAACUUGCAACAUAACACCGACCAGAAAAUAAAAAAGAAUCGAUCCCCACCACUUUUAUCAUUGUUCUUUUAGAUGGAUAACAUUUCAUAUAAAAUAUGAAAGAUCUUUUAUUUUUUAUGUGGCGCCUGUCGCGACGAAGAAAUGUGGCUACCAGCAAGCACGUGAAGAUAAUGUACGUGGACGUUGAUCUUUUACUUUUUGUACCGACACCAUUGCACUAUAAAAUCCCACUACUUUCUUCAACAGUUUCGCCAGAUCAAUAAAAAAACAAGAGAGUAGCUAGCUAGAUCGAAGAAUUACAAGUCUCUGUGUAACUGCUGCAAAUUAAGAAGAUUGUCGAAAAUGCACCAACCUCCAGGCCCUCCGCCACCGCAUGACCACGGACCACCGCACCACGGGCCACCUCACGAUGGUCCGCCACCACCUGGCGGCCCUCCAGGUCCCGGCCCUCACGGCCAUGGACCUCCAGGCGGUCCAGGUCCCCAUGGACCUCCAGGCGGUCCGGGAGGACCAGGGCAUCACGGCCACGGGUGUGGAGGUGGACCGGGUGGUCGCUGCUAAGUGCUAACUAAUGAUCUUGACCAAGAACUUUCUGGUGUACUACUUGUGGUUUAAUAUGUGCUAAUCAUGUUUUCUAGUUUAUUAGUUUACUAAUCAUGUUCAAGAUCACCACCAGACUAGCUCAGCUCAGCUGGAGAGGAUCAUGUAUCUGUCCGUAAUGGUACUAUGUUGAAUAUGCUGCGUAUUAUGAUAUCAAUAAAAUGCAUCUCCAUAUUAUAAUUAUACAUCUUUGAUCAUUCUUAAUUAAUUGAUUGGAUUAUAUUGAUAGGUAAAAAUUACUAGAAACAAUUUUGACGCGCUAAGAAUAUCCGCUCGUAUUUGAGGAGAGAAAUUUACACGCAAUCAAUAAUAAGAAGAUGGUUUUUUAAUCCUAAGAUGCGUCAUUAUAUAUUUUAACUUACUCACGUAACAUUGCGUAAAUGGUUUGAUAUAACGUCAAUUUCGCAGCUUAGUGGCAUGACAUGUAAGUUCUUUUCAUAUUACUCAAAGUUCAACUCCAAUUUCGGUUUCGAACCGCUUCUAUAGAAAGCUUUUUUUUUUUUUAAAUUUUAUUUGAACAAACCUUAUUAUCUAUAAUAAAGGGUAGGAGAAUGAGUUAAGUCUCACAAUCGACUAGCAAUAAUGUGGUUCAAAUUCGCAUUUGAUGAGAAUCGAACCUAAGAUCUCUAUUUACAAGUAAAGAAUAACACCACUAAACUGUAAUAUUAAGUGAUUGCUUCUAUUGAAAGCAUUAACCUUUAACAAACACUUAUACGAUCCAUAAACACUUUUAAGUUUUUAUGACCAACCAAAUUGGUUUCGCAUAAAUAGCCAUUCGGGCGCCCUAAUUUUAAUAUUUUUUAAUUAACAAGAAAAAAAAAAGUUAUGUACAUUCAUAGCUAUUGAUUUAGUGCUUGUUUAGAAGUGCUUCUAAAAUGACUAAAAACGUUUUUGUUAAAAUUAUUUUUGGAACUAAUCAUUAAAAAAAAUGCAAGUGAAUAUUGGAAACGCACUUGAAGUGCUUCCUACAAGAAGCAUAUAAUUGGUGCUUCUUUUGGAAAGAACUUCUAGUGAUUUUGGAACCCAAAAAUAUUUUCACAAAAAUCACUUUUAAUCAUUGUAAAUGCACUUCCAAACAAGGCUUUAGACUUUGUUAUCUCUCGACCUAGCCCCAAAAAAGGCCUAAAUAAAAAAGAGCCCAAAAUAAUGAAGCCCAAAUCAUAUCAUCGCAAAAUAGGGCCCAAUCCAGUUAAAAGACUAAAGCACCACUACAAAACACAGAAGUGAAAGAAAAGAGACGAAGAAGUUCCGCUAUUCGCACACCGCCCAGAAACCCCUCUAUAAACCCCUCUCUCUCUCUCUCUCUCUCUCUCUCCUCCCUCUCUCUCUCUCUCUCUCUCUCUCUCUCUCAACUCCGAACAGUGCUUCCGACUCUGGGCUCUGCCCUUGAAGCUUUAGAGGUAAUGGUCCCUUCUCUGCUUCGCAUCUUUCACUUACGAAUAUAUGUAUAUUUUUGUGUAGUUAUAUUCAAACCCUGCUGCAAGAUUUCCAAAAUCUGGAAACAAAUUUAAUUCUUUGUAACUUAGAGAAAUUGAGAGCACCAACAAUUUGUUUCUCUUCGGGUUUUGGUUGAAACCCAUUUCAUUUCAGUGGCUAAUUAGUGUUAAAUUGCAUUCAAAGUUUAAACCUUUGUUGCCAGAUUUCCAGAAUUUGAACGAAAUUUUGAUUUUUGUGUUACUUUUAGAAAACUAAGAUGACCAACUUGUUCCUGUAUCGAAUUUAGUCGGAAUCCAUUUGAUUUAUAAGUGAAUUAGUUAGUGUUUUAGUGAACUAAUAGAUUUUUUUUUGAAAUAGCAGAUUUGGUAGGAUGGAUGACAGUCUGUACGAUGAGUUUGGGAAUUACAUAGGCCCGGAAAUCGAGUCUGAUCAAGAGAGUGAUAGAGAGGACGAGGAUGAGGAGCUGCCCGAUAGGCAAGAGGAUAGGGAUGCAUCAGAUGGCGAUGAUGCAGCUGCUGGUCCCAAUGGGUGGCUGACUGCGUCCAAUGAUGUCGAUAUGGAUAACCAGGUUGUCCUUGCUGAGGAUAAAAAGUAUUAUCCAACCGCGGAAGAGGUCUAUGGUGAAGAUGUUGAGACAUUGGUUAUGGAUGAAGAUGCACAGCCUCUGGAACAACCCAUUAUUAAGCCUGUAAGGAAUGUCAAGUUUGAGGUUGGUGUCAAGGAUUCUUCCACCUACGUGUCGAACCAGUUCCUUUUGGGACUCAUGUCGAACCCCUCUCUGGUUAGGAAUGUAGCACUUGUGGGGCACUUGCAGCACGGGAAGACAGUGUUCAUGGAUAUGUUGGUGGAGCAGACUCACCAUAUGUCUACUUUUGAUUCAAAUAGCGAUAAGCACAUGAGGUACACGGAUACAAGGAUUGAUGAGCAAGAGAGGAGGAUAUCCAUUAAGACAGUUCCUAUGUCCCUUGUACUCGAGGAUAGCAAGUGUAAAUCGUAUUUGUGCAACAUCAUGGAUACGCCUGGUCAUGUCAAUUUCUCUGAUGAAAUGACUGCAGCCCUUAGGCUUGCCGAUGGUGCUGUCUUGAUUGUGGACGCUGCAGAAGGAAUGAUGGUGAGCAACUCAUCUUUCUUUUCAUUGAAUAAUAAAUAUGCUAUAUGAUAUUGUGCCCUUUAUUAUACUACGAUUUUAUGUUUUGUUAAGUUAAGAUCUAUCAUCAACAUGAUAUUGUCAUAUAUCACUGCCUCAUCUGUAGAAGAAUGUCAGAAUGGGUAUGAUAUUCCACUUGCUUAGAAAAUUUUAUGAUUUUGAUUGACAGGUAAAUACCGAGAGGGCUAUACGCCAUGCAAUCCAAGAGCGGCUACCAAUUGUGGUUGUAAUCAACAAGGUAAGAUUUUCUCUUAUUUCAGGGCUUCUUUAUUUCUCAUUUUCCCUCCAUUUUAUCACAGCAUGAACCCAUUAACUAUAUUGUUAUUAGUACCAACAUGAAUUUUCAUGUCAAAGGUUGACAGAUUGAUAACAGAACUCAAAUUGCCCCCAAGAGAUGCUUACUUCAAGAUAAGGCAUACUUUGGACGUCAUUAAUACCCACAUAACUGCGGCCUCUUCAACUGCUGGCAAUGUACAAAUUAUUGACCCUGUUGCAGGAAAUGUUUGCUUUGCAAGUGCUACCGCAGGAUGGUCAUUCACGUUGCAAUCGUUUGCAAAGCUAUAUCUUAAACUCCAUGGGGCUGAUAACACGGACGUAGAUAAGUUUGCCUCUCGUCUCUGGGGAGAUAUGUACUAUCAUCCAGAUGACAGGAGUUUUAGGAGAAAACCCCCUGCCAGUGGAGGCGAAAGGUCAUUUGUCCAGUUUGUGCUCGAACCCCUGUAUAAAAUUUAUAGCCAGGUGAUUGGGGAACAUAAAAAGAGUGUGGAGGCAACUCUUGCUGAAUUUGGUGUCACCCUCAGCAAUGCAGCUUACAAGUUGAAUGUUAGACCUCUGCUGAGGUUGGCUUGUAGCUCAGUUUUCGGAUAUGCCUCAGGCUUUACUGAUAUGCUGGUUCAACAUAUUCCUUCUCCUAAAGGUGCCGCAAUGAGGAAAGUAGACCAUAUAUAUACUGGACCAAAAGACUCUUUGAUUUACAAGGCCAUGAAGGAUUGUGAUCCUGAUGGUCCUUUGAUGGUCAAUGUGACAAAAUUGUAUCCCAAGUCCGACUGUAGUGUGUUUGAUGCAUUUGGUAGGGUUUAUAGUGGCAAGAUUCAGACAGGGCAGACUGUGCGGGUAUUGGGAGAAGGCUAUUCACCAGAGGAUGAGGAGGACAUGACAGUCAAAGAGGUGACUAAGUUAUGGCUUUAUCAAGCUCGAGAUAGGAUACCAAUAGCCGAGGCUCCUCCUGGUACUUGGGUUCUUAUUGAAGGUGUGGAUGCUUCUAUAAUGAAAACUGCCACCAUCUGUAAUGAAUAUUACGACGAGGAUGUAUACAUCUUCCGUCCUCUUCAGUUCAAUACUCUGCCAGUUGUGAAAACAGCAACUGAGCCACUAAAUCCAAGUGAGCUGCCAAAGAUGGUGGAGGGACUAAGAAAGAUAAGCAAGAGUUAUCCUCUUGCAAUCACUAAAGUUGAGGAGUCUGGGGAGCACACAAUAUUAGGUACAGGAGAACUCUACUUGGAUUCAAUAAUGAAGGAUCUUAGAGAGUUAUAUUCAGAAGUAGAAGUCAAGGUAAUUGAUUGCUCCAAGUUCUCAUCCUCUCUUCACAUUUUUUCUUUUAACGCAAUUUUUCCACCUCUUAGGGAUGUCAAGAAUUUUUUUUUCUUGAUGGAUAUGCGUUUGUUUGUAGGUUGCGGAUCCUGUUGUUUCAUUUUGUGAAACAGUGGUGGAGUCUUCGUCAAUGAAAUGUUUUGCUGAAACACCCAAUAAGAAGAAUAAAAUAACUAUGGUAAGAAGCAACCUCAUUUUCAGAAAUUUUAUGUGAUUCAGUUUUUAAAAUAUGACAUGCUAAAAACCUUUGUCCUUUUGUAGAUUGCGGAGCCAUUGGAGAGAGGACUUGCUGAGGACAUUGAGAAUGGUGUUGUAAGCAUUGAUUGGUCUCGGAAGGAUAUAGGCAAUUUUUUCCAGACUAGAUAUGAGUGGGAUGUUCUUGCUGCACGUUCCAUAUGGGCAUUUGGCCCUGAUAAGCAGGUAAUACACCUGCUACAGGCAGCACGUUAUUUUGUUUAUGAAGUGCUUUUGCUGUCCUUGGUUCUGUUUUAAUCCUAUUAUAGUAUAAACAUAGCUUCAUAUAGCCCCGCCCCAACCCGCGGAUAGCAAAUCACCUUGUGAAAUCAAAACAUAGCUUUAUAUAUCUUCUAUAUAACUUUCUUUUAUUCAUCUCUCCCUCCCUUCAAAAUUUAGCUAUACGUUCGAGACCUAGUGCUUUUGUUUGACAAAAGGGUAUAUUUGCAGGGACCUAACAUUCUAUUAGAUGACACUCUUUCCACUGAAGUCGACAAAAGCUUGCUGAAUGCUGUGAAGGAUUCAAUUGUUCAAGGGUAUUUUAUUUGAAUUCUUGUUCUUUUCCCCUAUAUUGUUGUUUCAGUUUAUAGCUCAUUAUAAUUUUAUUUCGCACAGGUUUCAAUGGGGUGCUCGAGAAGGACCCCUUUGUGAUGAACCAAUCAGAAAUGUCAAGUUCAAAAUUGUGGAUGCAAGGAUUGCCCAAGAGCCAUUGCAUCGUGGAUCUGGCCAGAUCAUUCCCACAUCUCGACGUGUGGCCUAUUCAUCUUUCCUGAUGGCAACACCGCGGCUUAUGGAGCCAGUAUAUUAUGUGGAGGUAUAUCCUUGCUCCUUCACUUACGUCAUAAUGAGAUUGAUUUUCAAAACAGGUUGUAUUCAAGUCCUCAGGAACUUAGAUUGCUUAAUGUAUGAAUCUCCUCGCUUCAAUGAGGGGCGCUGAAGUUUGAUUUUCUGAUUAAUUUCUGAUGCCCUUCUUUUCAGAUACAAACACCCAUCGACUGUAUUUCUGCAAUCUACACUGUUCUAUCUCGCAGGCGUGGACAUGUUACUGCUGAUGUUCCUCAACCUGGGACCCCUGCUUAUAUCGUCAAGGUAUGUUGGAUCAAUUUUAUUUUGUUGAGUUUCAGUUGCAUUAUACUGAUCUUGGAUUUUAUCAUGAGAGUGAAGACUGUCCAGCCAUAAUAUUGAUUUUUCAUUUAUUUUUCUCGUCCACUGAAUUUCAGGCGUUCUUACCAGUGAUCGAAUCAUUUGGCUUUGAAACUGAUUUGAGGUACCAUACCCAAGGACAGGCUUUCUGCCUCUCAGUGUUUGAUCACUGGGCUAUAGUCCCUGGGGAUCCACUUGAUAAGAGCAUCGUUCUGCGACCCCUUGAACCUGCCCCAAUUCAGCAUCUGGCCCGUGAGUUUAUGGUCAAGACAAGACGUAGAAAGGUAAAACAUUCCCUCUGCUCUCUCUUCCACUUUUGGUACCUCGAGAAUAGUUUAACUCACAUGCUAAAAUUUUUCCAAACUAUGCACUGCUGCCUCGUUAUACGGCUGAGUUUUGUUUUGUUGAAUUUUGCAGGGAAUGAGCGAGGAUGUGAGCAUCAACAAAUUCUUCGACGAGGCUAUGAUGGUGGAGCUGGCUCAGCAGGCAGCUGAUCUUCAUCUGCAAAUGAUAUGAUCGUGGCGGGGGCUUCACAACACGGUGUCCGCUUGUCCAAAGUUGAGGAACGAAAUUGUACGCGAUUUUAUUUGGAUGAAAACCAGUAGAAGUAGUUGUUGAACACGCAAGUUACAAUUUUGAAUGCAAUAGUAAAUUUAGCUGUUGUAACUUUUUGAUGUCCAAUACCCUUUGCGACCGUUGUAUCCGAUAUUCGUCAAAUCCUUCCUAACUUAAUAGAAAAAUUGGUGUGAGAAUUUCUAAAUUGUAAUGUUAUCUGAUGAUAUUGUUCUCUCUAAUUUAUACAUGUUUUAUCCCAUUUUUCUACGAAAGAGACUUGUUUACACCGUUAUACUUUUUAAGUUAAUUAUACAUUGUUACGUGUUUUAAUGUUUAUGUAUGACAGUGUGUGACUAACUUCGUGUACUGACAUUGUCAGCAAGAUCUUCCAUUUCCACGAUUUUGACUUGUCUCUUUCACUCCAUUUGAUUUUUUAAUUUCAAAUUUUAAUUUAAUAAUUAAUUAGGUAAACAGAGGGUUUUCUUGGACAUUACAUUUCCAGGAAAGCCCCAAUCUUUGAAUCUCAGGCCUUCCUCCUUCAAAUUUCAACACAAAUCCGAAAUCCUUAUUAUUUUACUCUUUAUGAUUUUGUACAGAGAUUUCUUUACAAAUUUCGACCGGAUCUCACAGAGGCAAUCUCAAUACCCUAACCCUAGCUUCGUCCCCAUUUCCCCCUCUGCACAAACAGAGAUUUGAUCGGGAAAAUCAGGUAAAAUUAGGGUUUUUAUACAUUUUUCCAUCUUCGCAGCCACUGAAUUUUCUGUGCAUUAAAGAUUCCAUCUUUAUGGAUCCACCAUUUUUUUUGCUGUAAGUAUAGUUACUGUAUAAUCUGAGCAUUUCCGUGGAGCAAUAUUUUGGGAUCGGAUACAAAAUGCGAUCCGAAACCCUAACCCUAGCUCCAGCUCUCAAUUUUUUCCCAAAUCUCAAACCCCCACACAAAACCCUAGCUUUCCACCAAAUUUCAGUCCUAAUCAUCACCUUCCUCGCCUAUGCUUCCUUCCAUGCCUCCAGAAAGCCCCCAAGCAUUGUCAAGAGCGUGCUUGGGCCCACAGUUCAGGCCAAUUCGAGCUCCGUCGACACGGGGUGGGCUCCCUUUGAUGGUCCCCGGGGCACCCACCGGCUAGGAGAGCUUGAUCUUGCGUUUCUUUCCGCGUAUUCGAUUGGAAUGUACUUUGCAGGGCAUGUCGGUGAUCGGAUUGAUUUGAGGUUGUUUCUUGUGUUUGGGAUGAUGUGUAGUGGCAUUUUAACGAUAUUUUUCGGGUUAGGAUAUUGGUUUGAUGUUCAUGUAUUGGGGUACUUUAUGGCGGUUCAACUUCUUUGUGGAUUGGUUCAGUCGAUUGGGUGGCCCUGUGUGGUGGCUAUUGUGGGAAACUGGUUUGAGAAAGGGAAGAGGGGGUUGAUCAUGGGGGUCUGGAGCUCACAUACCUCGGUUGGAAACAUCAUUGGGUCGGUUGUGGCAUCCGGGGUCUUGGAAUUCGGAUGGGGUUGGUCCUUUGUGGUGCCUGGGGUGUUGGUGAUUUUGGUUGGGAUUGUGGUGUUUUUGUUUCUUCCUGUGUGUCCAGAAGACUUGGGGUUUGAGUCUCUGGUGAAGGAGAUUCAGAUGAAUGUGGAAGUUAAUGGCGUGGAGAAUUUGGAGGGGAAGGUAGAAUCAGAGGAAGCUGGGCUUCUUCGAUCAGAGACUGCAGAUUUUGGAACAGAGAAUGCAGAUGGCGAUGCAGACACAGGUUCUUUGGCUGCAGUUGGGUUUCUAGAGGCAUGGAGGUUACCGGGUGUGGCACCAUUUGCUUUCUGCCUCUUCUUUUCGAAGCUUGUGUCUUACACUUUCCUUUACUGGUUGCCCUUUUACAUAAGGCACACAGGUACUUCCUCGAUUUAGAUUUGUAUACAUGAUUUUGCAAUUGAAUUCUUGGGAUAGUCUUGUGAUUAUUGUCGGGUUUCAUGCUUUAGUUUUAAGCGACCACCUUUGUUAAUCUUCUUGUAUUCAUUAUGAGUUUUGUUUCACCUUGCAGCUGUUGCCGGCAUGCAUUUGUCACACAAAACUGCCGGGAACCUUUCAGCCAUAUUCGAUAUUGGAGGAGUCUUUGGUGGAAUUUUAGCAGGAUUGAUAUCUGAUAUGAUCGAAGCUAGAGCUGUAACCUCAAUCGCGUUUUUGUUACUUUCGGUUCCAGCCCUUGUUCUCUACCGGCUUUAUGGAAGCCUAUCGAUGGUUGCCAACAUUGUUUUGAUGUUUCUUUCGGGAUUGCUGGUGAAUGGCCCGUACUCACUCAUCACAACAGCCGUUGCUGCUGAUCUUGGUACGCAGACCACGAUCAAAGGAAAUUCCCGAGCAUUAGCCACUGUAACUGCAAUCAUAGACGGAACAGGUUCUGUUGGGGCAGCUCUUGGCCCGCUUUUGGCCGGGUAUAUCUCCACGACGGGGUGGAACAACGUGUUUGUCAUGCUGAUUCUUGCUAUUUUCUCUGCAACUUUGUUUUUGAUUCGGAUUGCGAGAACCGAGAUUAAGGGGAAAUUGAAUGAGGGAAAAUGGUCUUUGUAUAGCCGCAUAGGAGGCACAUAGUGAUUGAGAUUUUCUAAUUUCUUGUCAUACCACAAAAGUAAGUAGAUUUUAGGCAGAUCCAUUUCUCUACGUUUUUUGUAUCUCAUUGUUUUGUUCUACAUUCAUUAUUCUUUUUUUUUUUUUUGUCUAACGAUAAAUUUUGUUAGAUUAGAUGUUUGAUUAGCUACUCGGCAUUUCAAUGUUAGACAUACUCCAUAGCAUAAUAGGAUUGCAGAGAGAAUAAAUAAGACCUUGGUCGAGAAAGUUCGUUGCAUGCUAUUUCAAGCUAAGUUGCCAAAGAGAUUUUGGGCAGAAGCUUUGAGCUAUGCAUGUCAUGUGCUUAAUCGACUACCAUCAACAACAUUGGAGGGUAUAACACCCAUUGAAGUUUCAAUGGGUCUAAAGAAUCAGCUCGGGACUACGAUAAGCUACUAGUUUUGGAUGCAGUGACUACUUUCAUGUGAAGGAAAACAAACUGGAUCUAUGAGCCAAGAAAGUUGUCUUUAUGUGAUUCAAUAGUGGUGUGAAAGGCUUCAGACUUUCGUGUCUCGAGUUGAACAAGAUUAUAGUAAGUAGAGAUGUGACAUUCGAUGGAAGUCACAUGAAAUUGAAGGAAGAUGUUCAGAUGGUAGAGCUUGGGGAACAAGUAAUUGUGAAUUCACAGCCAAGUAAGGAAGCUGUGGAAGAAGAAAGGCAAGGUGAUCAACUUGAACAUGAAGAGGGUGAUCAUGAAGAAGAAACACCAUCAGAAGAACUAAAGAAACAAGAUGAUUGCAUAGCCAAAAGGAAGGGAAAAAGAGACAUCCCUACCUACGAGAUAUAAAGAUUGCAUGGCCUGCAAGGGAUAUGCAUUGCCAGUAAUUGAGGCUGAAAUUUCCACUAAUUUUGAAGAAGCAGUAAAUGGCCUGAUGCAAUGGACGAUGAGAUGCUCUCCCUUCACAAGAAUAAGACUUGGGAAUUGGUGGAGCUGCCUAGAGAAAGGAAAGCAAUUGGCUGCAAAUAGGUUUAUGCAAAGAAGGGUGAAGUGGAUAACAAGAGCUUGGUAAGAUUUAAAGCUAGGCUAGUGGCUAAAAGAUAUGCUCAGAAUGAGGGAAUAUAUUACAAUGAGAUUUUUUCUACUAUGGUUAAGCACUCAUCCAUUCGAAUAAUGAUUACCCUAGUUGCACAAUUCAACCUUGAAUUUGUACAACUAGACGUGAAGACUGCAUUCCUUCAUGGUAAUUUGGAUGAAGAGAUUUAUAUGAGACAAUCUGAGGGGUAUCGAGUGAAGGGCAAAGAAAGAUUGGUUUGUAAGCUCAGAAAAUCUCUUUAUGGUUUGAAGCAUCAACCUUGAAUUGGUACAACUAGACGUGAAGACUCCAUUCCUUCAUGAUAAUUUGGAUAAGAGAUUUAUAUGAGACAACCCGAGUGGUAUUUAAAAUUUGACAAUUUUAUGAAGGGUCAAGACUAUACAAGAAGUUACUAUGAUCACUGUGUUUAUCAUAAGAAGUUGAAAGAUGGUUCGUUUGUGUACUUGUUAAUCUAUGUGGACGACAUGCUCAUAGCCUCAAGCAAUAUUUCAAAGAUAGAAAAGUUGAAGGAGCAAAUGAGAAGGGAGUUUGAAAUGAAGGAUCUUGAUGAAGCCAAGAAAAUACUAGGAAUUGAGAUCUUAAGGGAUAGACAAAAAGGUUUGGUCUGUUUGUCUCAAAAGCGAUAUCUUGAGAAGUUGUGACAAAAGUUUGGAGUAACAAAAGACACUAAGCAUGUAGGAACUCCAUUAUGUGCUCACUUCAAGUUGAGCAGUCAACAAUGUCCCAAAACUGAUGAAGAAAAGAUGAAUAUGGAUGGUAUUCCAUAUUCUAAUUUGGUUGGAGGAUUAAUGUAUGCUAUGGUGUGUAUUCGUCUUGAUAUAGCACAUGCAGUUGGAAUUGUUAAUAGGUUCAUGCAUAAUCUUGGAAGAGAACAUUGGAAUGCUGCUCAGUGGAUACUAAGGUAUUUACAUGGAACGAGGGACAAAUGUAUUUGUUUUGAAAGAUCUGAUGAAGGAAUUGAUAAGUUCUUAGUUGGAUGUGUAGACUCAGACUUUGCUGAAGACUAAAAGAUUGAUGACUGGGAAUGUGUUUACUAUGGCAAAUGGUCCUAUAUGCUGGAGAUCAAUAUUACAACCAACGGUGGCACUAUCAACCACAUAAGCAGAAUAAAUGGUGAUCGUUGAAGCUAUCAAAGAAGCAAUGUGGACUCUAGGGUUGUUAGGAGACUUAGGUGUAGAAUGACAUAAGUUGGAUGUAUAUUGUGAUAGCUAAAGUGCCAUUUAUUUGGCCAGAUAUCAGGUACAUCAUGAUAGGACUAAGCACAUUGAUGUACGAUAUUUUUGUGUGAGAGAAGUGGUAGUUGAAGGUGAGAUUUGUCUAAAAAAGGUUGCUACAAAAGAUAAUCCAACUGAUAUGUUGACAAAGGUGGUUAAUGCAGCUAAGUUCGAGCACUACUUGGAUUUGGUGCAGUUGAAGCAAGUUUGAUCUUGCGAUAUGGUGGAGCAACGGAAGUUGUUUGAUGCCUCAUUAUGGAUUUCAUGCCAAGGUGGAGAUUGUUGGAUUUGGAAUUAAAUCAACAUGCCUAAACUAAAACAAGGAUCAAGAUAUCUUGGACGCAAGAUAUUUGGAUUUGUGUUUUCUAGUUGGUUUGGAAUUUGAUUUUAUUGUAGGAUUUGGUUUCCUGUAUUCCAAGGACUUUGUGUAAACCUAUGACAUCUAUUAGGAUAAAUAGAUCGAUGUGGGAUAGAAUUUUGUGUGUGAAAGUUAUGAGAGGCAUACGUUUGUAUACUUGAGAACACUUGUAUUUGUGAGUUCUCUUGUAUUUGUUGAUAAUCAAUAAAGCUUCCGUUGUUAGAGAGAUAAUCCUAUAGUGGAGGAACUCUGAAGUCGUUGUGUUUUGUUUAUUGCUUGAUUAUUAUUUUUUGUUUAGUUUACAACAUACUGAACAAAGACGUUGGUUUCCAAACAGUGCGCGACUCUUCUUUAUCAAAGGUGAGCCACCCUCUGCGGAAAGUUAAAUAGAACUCAUUAGUAAAUGCAAACACCCAGAUAUCAUUUAGGGAAAUUAACUGAUAAUAGUUUAUUAAAUAUAUUGAAAUUACUCUUAUAUAUUAUUAUAAAGAACGAAAAAAAAAUUUAUUUAUCUUCAUUAGUAUGUGAAGUUUUAAUUUCGAAUAUCGUGAAUGAUAAGUUCGAUACUAAAUUAUUUUUUAAUUUUAUUUUUUAAUAGAAUUAUAGUAUUAGCGGAUUAGAUAGUAAUUAUUUCUCCACCUUUUAAUUAUAUAGGUGGCUCGUCCUUUAUCUCCAAAAUCUGCUCACCACCACUGAUUUUGUUUGCCCGUUUUAUAGGGAAGAAAAGGGAACUGGAGGGAGACUUGAGUUGACUGCUCCAGCAGAGAACGCCAUACCCAUAGCUAAGAACAUCCCGCUAUACAUCCAAAGGAAAGAAACAUGCUAAAGUGAUGAUGGUGCUUAUCAUCUUAUGUAUUACUUUUAGAUGAGUUUUAGUUAUGUUAGUUAAUUAAGCAGCAAAAGGUUCAAUCCUGUUAAUUAGGGAUUGUUGCUAGGAAUCUAAUAAAAAUUUAAGUAAAUUGUAGCAAUGGUUCAUCAACUUUAAUCAAAUUAGAACAAUGGUCCAUCAACUAAAAAUUCAUUACCAUUGGUCCCUCAACUUAUCAAAAUAUGUAGCUAUAGUCAUUUUCAUCAAUUUCGUCAAAAUUUUGUCAAAAUAAGUUAUGUUGGAAUAACCAUUUAUAUAAUUAGGGUCCCUCAAAUCAUCAAAGUGUGUAAUUAUGAUCAUUUUCGUCGACAACGUCAAAAAUUUCAUCAAAACGAGUUAUGUUGGAAGAAUCAUUGUUACAAUUAGAUUAGAGUUAAGGUAUCAUUUCUCCAGUUGAAUUAAAGUUGAGGGACUAAUGAUAAUAUAUUUUAAGUUAAAGGACCGUAACUGCAUAUUUUGAUGAGUUGAUGGAUCAAUAGUAAUAGAUUUUUAAUUGAAAGAUCAUUGCUUCAAUUAAGUUAAAAUUAAGAGACCAUAAUUACAAUUUACUCUAAAGAUUGUAGUGGCUGCACGAAGCUGAAAAAUUAAGUUUUAAACCACGUGGAUCAUUUCAAGUGAUCGACUUUUGGUUUGGAAGGUGCCAAAAAAACAAAUGUUGGAAAUAAGAGUUAUUAUUCAAGCAAACUACAAAUUAAUAAUUGUGUCCACUUCUUUUGGACGAUGAUGCGUUUAAGUCAGUCAGGCAAGGCAACUUGGAUAAGUCGAAAUUUUGACCAAAGUGUGAACCUUUUGAAGGUACCCCAUGACGCGGUUCACUGUUUGUGUGCUUGAUAAAUAAUAAUAAAAAAAAUCAAGUAUAACAAGUUGUAUACAGUAGAUUUAUGAUUCGUUUAGACGUACUUUUACAAUGACUCAAAAUUAUUUUAGAGAAAAUAAUUUUACGUUCCAAAAGCAUGUAGAUUGCUUCUUGGAAUAACGCAUUAGUUGUGUGCUUUUUUCAGGAAUCAGUUCAAGUGUUUUUUUAGAAUUCACUUACAUUUUUACUAAAAAUUAAUUUCAAUAACAUUUUCAUCAAAAACCAUUUUAACAAUUUUUAAAUCACUUUCAAACAAAUCCUUGAUCAUCAACUCGUUGUCUUUCUUCUCCUAAAAAAAAAUAUCAGUGUUGGAGAACUGAAGAUAACAUACAUGAUGAGAUUUAAAGAUUGUAUUUAAUUUUUCAAGUUAUCCUCCAAGUUAGUUUUUAAGAGGAAAUAGUAUCAAAGUACCAUUUCAAUUGGGUUUGGGGAUUUGGAUCCUCUCCUGAGCAAAGGAGACAGAGCUUCAUGACUUACAUAUACAGACUGUUAAAUUUUGAUCUAACGACUACAAUUAUUAUAACUUUAAAAGUAUAUCAUAUUUGUAAUCAUUAGAUAAAAAUUCAACGGUCUGUGUGUUUGAGUAAUGAGAAUUUGUCUCCCUUGCUCAGGAGAGGAUCCAAAUCAAUCGUGUCUAAUGAAGAUAAGUUGCUUUGUUUACCGAACAAACACGUCGGUUUCCAAACAGUGCCCGACUCUUCUUUACCAAAGGUAGGCCACCCUCUCUAGAAAGUCAAAUACAACUCAUUAGUAAAGGGCAAGGAUUGUUUGCCCUCCCACUUCCUGCGUCCUCCCGUGCCUUCUGUUUGUAUGGUCAUGGUUAAAUCACGUCAACAUUUUAUAUUACUAUUUAUUUUUGUCUUAUUAUCUCUAUGAAAAAACAAUAUAAAAUGUUAACGUAAUUUAAUUAUGACCACACAAAACAGGAGGGCAUCGGAAGUGGGAGGGCAGACAAUCCUUGUCCUUAAAUGCAAUCACCUAGAUAUCAUUUAGGGAAAUUAACUGAUAAUAGUUCAUUAAAUGUACUGAAAUUUCUCUUAUAUAUUAUUAUAAUAAACGAAAAAAUAGUUUAUUCAUCUUCAAUAGUAUGUGACGUUCUAUUUUCGAAUAUCGUGAAUGAUGAGUAGUGUUGAUGCACAAAACCGGAGGUCUUGGAAUAACGUAAAUCCGACCGUGAAUCUGCAAGAAAGUAAAUAACACAAAAUGUAUUGUGGUUCACCCUAAGGUUUGGGUUACGUCCACACUGAUAUUGUAUUUACCUGGAAUCCGCUUGCUACUUAGUUAUAUAUUAAACAUCAUUCAGCAUGUGAGGGAGACUUUGAUUUCUUUUGGUGUUCGUCCUUUAUCUCCGAAAACAUCUCACCACCACUGAUUUUGUUUGCCAAUUUGAAUUUUCUAGGAAAGAAAAAAGAACUGGAUCUUCUCCUAAGCUCAUGAUGGAGAUUUUCAUGAAUAAGCUAUCCCGACCGUUCAAAUUUGAUCUAAUAAUUGCAAUUAUUAUAACUUUUAGAGGAGUCCAUGUUUGGAGCUGUUGGAUCAAAUUUCAACGGUACGGAUAGACUACUUAGGAGGAUUCUUAUCCUGAGCUCAGUAGAGGAUGGCACUGGAGGGAGACUUGAGGGGACUGCUCUACUAGAGAAUGCCAUAGCUAAGGACAUCCCGCUAUAGAUCCAAAGGAAAGGACAGACUAAGUGAUAGCUCUUAUUCCCAACUUGUUUUUUCUUUGCACCUUCCAAACCAAUAGUCGGUCAAACUUAUUUUUUAAACUUGGUGCAGUCACUAAAUUUUUUAUUAGAUUCCCAGCAACAAUCCCCAACUAACAGGACUGAACCUUUAGCUGAUUAAUUAACUAACAACACUGAAACUCAUCUAAAAGUGAUAUAUUGGAUGAUAAGCAUCAUUGUCACUUAUUUUGUCCUUUCUUUUGGAUCUAUACUCUCACCCACACAUUCACACGCCAAAACAUCCAAAUCAGCUUGAAUUAUUCUGCCAUGUUUCCAGUUGGAAAUACAUAUCUCAUCUUUCAUAGUAAAUUAUUAUUAAAAGAUAAUUACAAUAAAACACCAUAACAUUAUCCUUUAACAAUAACAAAAUGAAUUAUCUUCACUUUUCAUCUGACGGUGUGAAGCUAUUUUCACUUAACGACCUUGAUUGCAUGGGCUGAUGGUGUAAAUUUGAGUCCAAACAUUGCCCUCCAGUUUUCUUGAGCAUUAGCUCGUAAACCGAAUGGUUAAGAAAAUUAAUCAUUUAUGCCUGACCCUUAACCGUUCAACAUGUUAUUUGGUUAUCCACCCCAUUCAUUCAAAAGGAAAAACAAAGCGGAGCCGAAAAACACCAAGCCAAAACAUGUUUGCACUCGGCCUAAAGAUUUUUUGAACUAAUGCCAACAACAAAUGACUUUGUGAAAAACCAAGGCCAUAAAAAUUUUAAUAUUAGCCUAAUUCUUUUCCACCAAAUGGCCUCUCAUAAUUUCUUUUUGCUGAUGGGCUACUCUGACACACCUAAAGCAAAUUGGACAAGGAUUGUUUGCCCUCUUACUUUUGGUGUCCUCCUGUUUGUAUGGUCACGGUUAAGCCACGUCAACAUUUUAUAUUACUAUUCAUUUUUAUCCUAUUAUAUCUAUAAAAAAAAUAAUAUAAAAUAUUGAUGUGACUUAACCGUGACCAUAUAAAAUAGAAAGGCACAAGAGGGCAUCAGAAAUGAGAGAACAGACAAUCCUUGUCCAAGGAAAUUAAGCCUUAGAAAUUUAUGGUCUUCAAAAGUGGGUAAUUUUCUAUACCUCCAAGUUUCCAACCUCAUUGUGGGGUCCCAACCUAGUUCUCAUAAACGAUACGUCACUAAUAAUGUAGCUUUUUAUUUUUUAUUUUUUAACAUCCGAGGCCAAAGAAGAAACACGAAUUCAACCUUGCCGAGUAGGCCACUUGUUGAGGAAGAAGAGCAACCAUAGACUAGAUGAUUGGCUUCUAUGCUGAAUAAUCAACAGACAGAACAACGUGGAGAAUCAAUAACCUCGGCAGCAAUAUAUGACAGUACACAGUACACUAGAACACUUUUCAUGUAAGCUAACUUUAUAUAUAUAGGACAAGGAUUGUCUGUCCUCUACUUUCGAUGUCAUCCUCGUGCCCUCCUGUUUUGUGUGGUCACGGUUAAGCCACGUCAACAUUUUAUAUUAAUUUUUUUAUAGAUAUAAUAAGAUAAAAAUAAAUAGUAAUAUAAAAUGUUGACGUGGCUUAACCGUGACUACACAAACAGGAGGGCACAGGGAGGGCAUGGAAGUGGAGGGUAGACAAUCGUCGUCUAUAUAUAUAUAUGACAACACACAGUACACUAGAACACUUUAACUUUAUAUAUAUAUAUAUAUGUAUGUAUGUAUGUAUGUAUGUAUGUGUUGACCCUAGAAAUUACAAAGCCUACGUGGCGCGUAGGCCGAGUAUAUUCUAAGCUAACUACGUCCUUCGGUGAUUGCGGGGCGUGCCAACUCGUCGGCCGAGGCUUGGCCGAGGAGUAAAUUUGAUGAUGCUGCGUUGGGUCGCGCUACUGACUUCUGCGUCUUGUGAUUACGGCCGAGAAAGGAACACGUCUCGGCCUCUUGGGUUCUCGAGCCUGAAGACAAGGCUGCUAUUUCUUACAAAGUUCACGAACCGAAUUCGGCUUGCAAUGUGCCGAAUGUAAUAACUGUGACACCUCACCUCGCCGAGAAGGCUAAUGAGAUGACCUCGACCAACAAAGAUUCGAAAACCCUUCUCGACCGAGACUUGGAUAGGUAAUCGACCGUUCUCGCCGCAGUGCUGUUGAUGCCAACGGAAGAUACUGCGAGACCGACCGACUCUACGGUGACAGAGCUAUCUAUGCCGACUUAAGAUAUCACCGGUUGCUUCCACAGUGCUGUUGAUGCCAACGGAAGAUGUGUCAGCGAAAAAGGAAAAGAAAAAGAUCUCAAGUUGUGAGAGUUUGCGCAGGGCAAUUUUGUGUUGAUUUGCAGAGGGCCUUUUCUGAUGCACAGCGUCCCCUAUUUAUAGUACUGAACUUUGAAUCCGAGUUUAAAUCCUACUCGGACUAGGUUUCCCUCUCCGGAUCACCUCGACCAGUCCUACAUCUACUAGGACUAUGAACCUAGUCCUUAGCUAAGCUGGAUUAGUUUCCUGGAUAUCCGAUCCCGUCGAGACUCCCCAUUGCACUAGGAUUCGUCCUAACCGCCCUAGGUUUGGGCUCCCACGGGUUGACCGAUUCAUGGUCCUUUUGCCGCCCGGCCCCCUGGGCCGAGAGUGAUCCUACCCUCGGCCCAAACUAUUAUUUUGGGCCCAAACAUUGCCCCCUCGCUUCUGAGGUCCUCGACCUGAAACCUUCGGCCGAGUUUCGGCCUUGAAGAAGCGAAUCUACCACUCAGGAUCCCAAUACCCGAGUUCCAAGGCGCAUUUAUUGAGCACGAUCGCACGAUCUUGAUCCUGCCAACCCACUCGCCACGUGGCGUCCUCUAACAUGGCCAAUCCCCCAUAAUGACGUCUAAGGCGUGCGGCAGCCUGAACCGUCUUGCCAUCAUGACCACUAUCUCAAUCCGCGAGCCACUACCUCAGUCCGUGAGCCCACUUGUCAUUGUGCAGGCGUCGAACCGUCUUUCGUCAUUAAUUUCACCGUCACACGCAAUCAUGCGCCCCCAAAACCCUAAAACCUUCGGUCUUCUCAACCGCAUUUCCCAAAUGUUCAUCAUGAUCAACAAUUCCUUCGGUUGAUUUUGCCCUUUGUUUUGAAUUUCGAACGAUUGUUCUUCCCCCCAUAACUCUAUAAAUACCGAAAUUCCCUCAUUUGUACUUUUACGCUCUCAAACUUCCUGAAAUCCUCUGCCAUUGAUUUCUAGUGCAUUUCUCCUAUUCCAAGUCUUCGUCUUUAAAUCCCCAACCCAGACAACCCUUUUACUCCGUGCCUCUUUCUCACAAUGGCGUCCUUCAUCUCCAAGCUUUCCAGGGAAUGUGACCAACACCAGAAGAUUGUUGAUCGGAGCUCGAUCAAGACCAUCUGGUUUGAAAACGACAUGAGCACCCAGUACCAAAUCCUGGGUCCUCUCUUCAAGGCUACAAUACCGCCGACUAUCAUCGGCCUUCUACAGGAGCACUGCCUAACACCCUUGCUUCAAGGGUUUGAAUGGUCGCGAUGGGAUGCGGCUAAACCCCAAGGCUCCUGGCCCUCGACGACCACAUCCUGGGCAGCCUGGGUCGUUCGAAUGGAACGACUCUUCGGCGAGCAAUGGAAGGCCCUUGGCAUCUACGACGCCAUCCUCCUUUCGUCUAUGGAAAUCGUCCCCGACAAGGAGCUUCUCCAAGCCGCUCUGUGCUUCUGGUGCUCGGCCACCAACAUGAUUGUCCUUCCUCUAGGUCCCAUUGGUCCCACCGUCCUGGAUAUCACUGCCAUUCUGGGGACUUCGGCGACCGGGAUCCCUGUCGACGCGACCCUCUCUGGGCAUCCGUCGAAUAUCGACCUGAAAACGCUCUUCGACCGUCGGGCCUUCGAGACCUUGAACCGUGACGGUCAUAUCCCGUCGAAGGAAGAUAUUCAGAAGCUCCACAAGAACUUCUGCAAUUACAACACCCUCUAUCUUCACUUCGCCGGCCGAGGAGAAGAAGACCUGCGAGAGGGAGAGCAUGAAGCCUUCCUCUUCUACUGGUACAACAAAUACGUUUGUUGUACCAAGUCAAACAAGUGUUUGGUCGAGAACAUGCCGGUAGCCGAAGCCCUGGCUAGUGGUCACGUCUUGGCACUGAGUUCCAAUAUUCCCGCCCAACUUUUCCGCUGCCUGGCCGAGGCGACCCUCCACAAGGUCGACCCACACCAGAAUGGUCAUCUCUGGGUCUUCCAACUCUGGUUGCAGGUAUACUUCACCUCCCUUCGGCCGGCCAUAGCUGAAUUCUCACCAACAGAGGCGCUUGGACCUCAACUGGCCUCUCGACCGACACCUCCCCAUCAAGCCGAAGAGGUAUUUCGGUACCUCUUUCGCUCUCGACGACUUCUCCAACGACGAGUUCCUAAUAUGUCGUCGUCGAGACUAUCCUUCCUCCAUCAGGCUGCCUACCUCCCCAUGGAGCGCGGAGGAGGACGCCGAUCUUCGUCAGACCUGGGGGUCGUUUGUGCUUGCUCGCGACCUCCCUCUCGGCUGUGAUAGGAAACGGUCAGGUUGGGAAGUAUAUCAUCCGAACUUCCUUGCCCGACAGCUCGGCUACCUUCAGGGCUGCCCUAUCCCCCUUCUCUCCUCCCGAACGGUCCUAAGCCGUGGACGCGAACCUCGUUCCUCUGAGAAGGAGUGUAGAACCGCCGUGAGGGAAUUCCAAGAGCACUGCCCAAAAUUCCGGCUUCGACCAGCCACCCUAGAAACUCAUUGCACCGACACCUUCGGUGAGUGGUGGGAAAAUUACACCCAAGAGUUCUUUAGUGCGCCGGUCGAAGAUGUGGUGAGCAGACUCUUCGGCGACCGACCUAAGAAGGCCUCGGCCCCUCAUACUCAAGGUACCUGUUCCAUUUUCCUCAUUUCCAUCAACCUUGCAUAUUGAUUUGCCUUACUGAAUUGUCUUUAUCUUUUUAGGUAGUCGGCCUUUGAGAAAGACGGAGGCAGUUGCCGCUGCUACGGCCGGGAAAAAAUCGGUCGUGGCCCAAAAGGACAACCCGCUAGUAGGGCCGUGCUGAUCAAACGGCCUCGCCAAGAGGCCGGGCCGGCUAUCGAGCCUUCCCCGCCUGCCAAGCGGGUCAAACAACUGGCGAAGAAAGGUGCACGGGAGAUCCACGUUAUCUCCAGCCACACGAGGACUCCAAGUGCUUCCCCUUCUCCCGCCGCUGGCCAUUCUGGGGUCGAGAAACAGCCGGCUUCGGCCGUAGAGACGGCCCCAGCGCGGCCUGCCUCUGUGGCCGGCGAAUCAGUUGUACCUCCCUCUGUCGAGAAGGCACCUGUCUCACAACAGGCGGUUCCUUCGACCGAGGGAACCUCUCCCAAGAAUCCAAAGCCCUCGGUCUUCGUGUUGGAAGAGAGUGAGGGGAGUGACGAGGUCCCGCUGGCGCGUCGUCCUCAUACUCGUCGAUAACCUCCUCCAGUAUCCGAGAUGGAGGUUCAAACCGGCCCCUCCCCGGCUAAUCGUGGCAAGCGCACGGUCGAGGAACCGACCCCGGUGGCCGAACCUCUCGUUCCUUCUCAGGACCAGGACGUCCCUGCCUCCACUGAAGUAGCUGCGCCAGUCGGCCCAUCGGCAGCCGACCGUGGCAAACGGCUGCUCGAGGAACCCGAGGCCACGGCGGAAUCGUCGAUCCAUCCUCAAGACCAAGGCUUCCACAUUCCUCCACAGGAGGUUACCUCGGCUUUUGUAAGUGCCUUCAAUUGUCUCCUCCUGAUUGCUUUUCUGCUUUAGAAUUCUAAACAAGGAAAAACUAAAUGUCAGGUGCCUGUACAUUCUUUUCACCGUCAAUUCUAUGCGCCGAAGGGCGUUAUCUAUAUUUCCUGGCCGCCUCAGUGGCCAUCAAACGUAGAUAACCUCCAUCGGCCGCGUGAAGUGAGAAGCAAUCUGAGACAUUGGGCUUGGCCAUUGAGUUCUUUAGGUUCGAGCAAUGACCCUGGGGACAUGGCCGAGGUCUCCUCUCGGCAGGUAAAAAAAUGACACCUUCUUGCUAUUCUUGUCAUGACUUCCUUUAAGCUUAACCUUGUCUAUUCGUGCAGGCUUCAUGGGAGGUUGAAUUCAAAGCCCUCAUCUCCAGCACGACUGCAGAGUCCGGCCCUUCGGCCGCUCCGAUUGAGGCUGCCGAUCCAAGCGCCCUAGCCCAGUUGCGAGAAGUCCUGUCGCUCUCAUCAUCGCAAGUACUUGAGCGCAACGGUCUUGAUCUGCUCGGCGUGUGUCUGAACGACCUUGGAGCCGACGGUCGCCUGAGCGGAGAUGCCAUUGUUCGAGCAUCGUCUGCCUUGGAGCGUGUUCGGGAGACAUUUAGCAUCUUCCAGACUGCUCUGAAGGCCGAACAGGACCUGCAAGCCGCCACAGCCGUUCAAGACACCCUCCGUCCGAAGAUUGACGAUCUACGGGCAAAAGGAGAAGCGUUAGCCGAGCUCGACCGUCAGAUGGCCGAACUAGCAAAACGCCGGUCGGCCAUUGCUUCUGAGCUUGCGAGGGACUUCGAGUCAGGCGGGAAGGAUCGCCUAACUGAGUAUGCGGCGGCAAAAAAACGGGUCGAAUGCCUGAGGCUGGACAAAAAGAAUCGGCAAGCCGAAGUCAUCAUGGCCGACGUGCGGUGGUUGGAGUUGAAAGCUCUGCUCAGCACUCUUCUUCCCUCGUCUCCUUGAAUGUAUUUGACCUACUCAUUUUUGUAAUACCUAUCAAUUUUAAUGGAAUGAUUUUUUCUACUGGUACAACAAAUUUUUUAUUCACGCAUUUCCCAUGUGACCGGAUAGUAUUUCUUCAAGAACUUCCCAUUAAUCGGUAAUUUGUGAACUACUCCAGUCCGGUCUUUAAGAUGAUACGCCCCUUUGCCGUAUACCUUAUGCACAAUGAACGGCCCUUCCCAAUUCGGCGACCACUUGCCGAACCUAGGAUCUUUUAUUCCUACGGGCAACACCGUUUGCCAUACCAAUUCACCCUCGCCGAACGUUUUCUGUCGUACCUUUUGAUUAUAGGCUCGCUCGGCAAUCUGUUUUUGUGCCACCAGUAAGUUAUAAGCGUCAAGUCGCGCCUCUUCCAAAUCUUCUAAUUCCUGUCUUAUGGACUGAUUAUAUUCGGCGCUAAACAAACUACUUUGUUCAAUUAAUCGCAACGAAUUUAUGCUCAACUCGACUGGUAGCACCGCAUCGUGUCCAUAGGUCAAUGCGUAUGGGGUUGUUGCAGUCGCCGAUCGGGGCGACGUUCGGUAUGCCCAUAAUGCCUCGUUCAACUUCAAAUGCCACAUGCCAGGCCUUUCUUUUAUUAUUUUUUCGAGGAUGCCAAUCAACACUUUAUUACUUGCCUCAGCCUGCCCAUUCGCCUGUGGAUAAUACGGUGUGGACUGUUCCAGCCGAAUUCUCAAAUUGGCCGUGUAUUCCUUAAACCUUUCGGCUGUGAAGAUUGUUCCAUUGUCGGUUAUGAUCGUUUCUGGCACACCGAACCGGGUCACAAUGUGUUCCUCCAUGAAAUCGUAAACUUCUUUAGAUGUUAACUCGGCAUAUGAUUUUGCUUCGACCCACUUAGUAAAGUAAUCAGUUGCGACUAUUAUCCAUGCAUGCUUAGCAGCUCCAGAAGUCGGCGUGAUUUUGCCGAUUACGUCCAUGGCCCAUCCUCUAAACGGCCACGGCUUAAUGACCGAAUGUAGCGAUUCGGCCGGGACCCUUUGUAUAGGCCCAUGGAUUUGGCACUGCACGCAUCCUCGUGCAAACUCGAUACAAUCUUUCAGUAUUCUCGGCCAAAAAUAACCGUGUCGUCGGAGUAGCCAUCGCAUUUUCCGUCCAGACUGGUGAGCUCCGCAUACCCCUUCAUGAACCUCUGCGAUCGCUCGAGCACUCUCUUGGGGGCCGAGGCAUAGCAAUAACAAACCAUCUUCGCCCUUUCGUACAACUCGUUCUGGUACGUGACAUAGUUCGUGGCGUGAGCCCGUGUCCUGCGACUAUGUUUUCCGUUAGGAUUGUCAAGGUACUGCAUAAUGGGCUUUCUCCAAUCAUCUGGUACUGCCUCGGCCGCGCAAAUUUCUAUAGAGUCCUGCCGAUCUAACAACGAAGGCAAGGACAUGACCCUGGUGCGUAUCACAUUGUCUCGACGGAGGAUUUGCUGAUCAACCAAGGCCGGGUAUAAUUGUCGUAAUAUUGGUAUCUCCCGGCCUAGCUUGCCCCCCAGGAGUUGUGCACCGGAGGCGAUUUGAGCCAACUCGUCUGCGUCGGUAUUAUGAACCCGAGAAACAUGCUCGAAUGUAAUACCGUCAAAGGACUCGGCCAAAUAGCUGGCGACCAUGUGGUAAGGCGCCAGAGUACAACUCAUGCAGCGAAAAGACCCAUUAAUUUGGUUAAUCACUAGUUCAGAAUCCCCGAGGACGAGGACACGAGUGGCAUGUAGGUCAAGAAGGAGGCCAAGACCAAUGACAAGAGCCUCGUAUUCGGCCUGAUUAUUGGUGCAGUCGAAAUCCAAUUUGAGCGAAAAAUACCAACGAUCGUUGUGAGGAGAUUGAAUGACGAUGCCUGCGCCGGCCGAGGACGAAGUACUGGAACCAUCGAAAUACAUCGUCCAAUAGUUGUCGCGGGUCACCACCAUGCCGAUUUCGACGUCAGCACUCCCCGAAAACCGUAAGGCGAAGGGUGCUGGGCAAGGAAAUCGGCCAACGCCUGUCCCUUCACAGCUUUUUGCGGCACGUAUUGCAAACUGAACUCGGACAACGCCAUCGUCCAUUUCCCAAUUCGGCCCUUCACAAUUGGCCGGGUAAGCAUGUACCGGAUAACGUCGGUCUGGGCAAUGACUUGGGUGACCGACGGGAGCAUGUAAUGCCGAAGCUUGGAUGCAGCGAAGAACACGGCGAGACAGAGCUUCUCAACGGCGGAAUAAUUGAUCUCCGGAUGACUCAGAUUACGGCUGAGGUAGAAGAUAGCCUGUUCCCGUCCGGCAUCGUUGUCUUGCGCAAAGAGGCAACCGAUAGACUCCUCGGCCGCCGAAAUGUAUAGCUUGAGAGGCUUACCGCGCUGAGGAGGGACCAGGACAGGUGGAUUUGUGAAGAGAAACCUUGAUCUGUGUAAACGCCGCCUGAUGCUCCUUAUUCCACACGAACUUAUCUGAGUCCUUGAGUUUCAAAAGUGUGGAAAACGCUUUCAUCUUUACCUGCCGAAUUAGCAAUAAAUCGGCGUAAAAAAUUGAUCUGGCCGAGUAAGGACUGUAAUUGUUUCUUCGUUGUUGGGGGUGGAGCAGUGAUGAUUGCGCGUGCCUUAUUCUCAUCGACUUCAAUCCCACGAUGAUGUACGAGAAAACCAAGAAAAUUCCCGGCCGAUACACCGAAGGCACACUUGGCAGGAUUCAUCUUGAGGUUGUGCUGACGCAUGCGGAGGAAAGCCUGUCGGAGAUCGUCCAGAUGUGUCUGUCGGCGUUUAGAUUUGACGACAACAUCGUCGAUAUAAACUUCGACGAUGGUGCCAAUUAAAUCAUGGAAGAUGGUGUUCAUCGCCCGUUGGUACGUGGCGCCGGCAUUCUUGAGGCCGAAUGGCAUGACAACCCAUUCGUAAGUGCCGAGUGCCCCCGGGCAACGGAAAGCAGUUUUGUGCACAUCGGCUUCGGUAAUAAAUAUUUGGUUGUACCCGGCAUGUCCAUCCAUAAAGGAUAAGAUCGCAUGAUUCGCCGCGGCAUCGAUUAACAGGUCCGAGAUCGGCAUGGGAUACUCGUCUUUGGGUGUUGCCAGAUUCAGAUUUCGAAAAUCGGUACAGAUGCGCAGUGCACCACUUUUCUUUAAUACAGGAACAAUAUUCGCCAACCAUUCGACAUAUCGAGCUGUCCGAAUGAACCCGGCUUUCAAAAGCCGAACUAGUUCGUCCUUAACACUGAGUUGUACUUCGGUCGAGAAUCGACGAGGUGGCUGACGGAAAGGCUUAAACCCGGGCUUAAUACGUAAUUCAUGCUCGACUAAAGCACGAUCUAAGCCGGGCAUUUCAUGAUAACUCCAAGCAAAACAAUCUUUGAAUUCCGUAAGCAAGGCCCGCAACUCGUCCUUCAUUUGUUGAGGAAGUAACGCACUAAUAAACAAAAGCCGUGGGUCAUCGACCGUCCCAACAUUAAUCUCUUCCAAAGGGUCCUUAACAAGGGGCCGAUGAUCUUCGAGCUCGGCCGGGGCGGCUCGAAUUUUAUCAAAAGAUAAUACAGGCCCAUUAUCUCCCUCAGCAAGGAACUCGACGAGGUUGACGCCCGAAUUUGGUUGUUUAGAUAUCGUAUACCAAUGGGCCAGCAGUCGUUCCAUAGUAGAUGAAACCGCGGCCCUACGUGCUUCCCGAUCGGUGUCAAACAUCAGUUUCGGGGAGAAAGUUAGCUAAUCCGAGUCUCGCCGAAUCCUGCUGGACAGUCUCGGCGCCAACCUCGAUAGCUUUCUGAACGGAAAUCCGAGUCGGCCGUCCCUCUUCAUUGAAGCCUUGCAACGUAAUAUAGCCGACGUGAUCGUCAUAAUACCGUGCUUGAAUCAUGUUGGUUUCGAAGGGCUGGCUAUCGGCCGGAUGAACAGUGACCGAUUUGCCGUCCCAAAAGACAAGCACUUGGUACAAUGAGGAAGGAAUACAACUGGUUUGAUGAAUCCAAUCUCGGCCGAGCAGUGCAUUAUACUCGGUUUUGGAAUCAACCACGAAAAAGGCGGUCAUAUGGGUGCGACCGGCAAUAUUCACAGUUAACGGAAGCACACCUUUGGUGUGGGACUUGUCGCCGACAAAACUACUCAUUGUGAUCCCUGACGGAAUAAGCUCGUCAUUUGAACGGCGUAAGGCCUUCAUGAUGUUCAGGGGCAUGAUAUUGACAGUAGCUCCACAAUCGACAAAAACUUUAGAAACCGGAUAUCCCUCGAUGUGUGCCGUUACAUACAAUGGUUUUAAAUGGUGAAGCUUGGCCGAUGAUAAACGAGGGAACAAUUCGGCCAAAGCAGCCUUUAGACUAUCAUCUUUUGUUGUUGGCUCGCCUUCAGCAAUUGAUACGAAAUCAACAUGGCCGGGUUCCUCAGCAACCACAUCUCCAUCGAGGAAAUUUGGUUGAGCCGUGCUUGAUUGAAAAUCGGCAGGUAACACAUGGACCAUACUGAUUUCCAUAUUAUCCAGGACUGACGUGCCCAACUGGUCAAGACCUUCCUCGUUCGGUUGGUCAGCGACUACGGACUCAGUUAUCGUCAGAGUCGGACAACGAGAUUCUUCCGUCCCUUCUUCAAUAAUGUCACUCGACGGAGCCGCUUCGGCCACUUAUUGGUUCUGCGUGACCGCCUCAGGUAGGGUCGAGAUUGACAAUGAACUUGGGGUCAAAACCUGAACCUGCUCCUGGUAGUGUAGCCAAGCAUCCCUAGUGUCAAGAUAAGCAUCCAGACGGGCAAUACGUGCGAUUUCAUCGGUCGUAAGGCCGAAAAGAGAAACCGCCGAAAAUACUUCAAAGUGAUACCGUAAAUACUGAAGGUCCUCCAGCGAGAAAGGAAGGUCAGCGACAUCGAUAUCGGAAUACGGGUCGACUUCAAAUCCAAAAACACGAGCUUCUCGUAUGUGCUGAAACCUUGCUUUCAAUCCUGGAUCUGAGGUCUUCUGGAUAAUCCGCUCAGCAUCCGGACAAGUCAGGAUCAUAUCAAUGGUGUCCUGACACGCCUUCGGCAAACCAUACAGAUCGUUGGCCGAAUGUUUCUUAUGAAAUUCUUGCAUAUACUCCAAAGACUCCCCAAGGAACGGGGGAUGCAAAUUCCGUCGAAUUUUGACCAAAGGCUCUUGUAUAACUAGCGGGGAUAAUUUGCUUUCGGCCUCUUGCCUGAAAUGUUCAAAACGUGCCUUCAUUUCCCCUGGUCGAAUGAGAAGUUUGAUCCGUUUAUCAGCUUCUUCAAACAUGGUCUCGACGUCUUGAUCGACCAGCCGUUUCCCCUGAGCCAACUCUAUCAUAAUUGCUGGAGGUGGUCGCUCCUCAUCAGUGGCAACUGUAUCCUUCGGCCGCCACUUAGGGGCCGAAGUUUCUUGGGCUGCUUGUCGGCGAGCCAUGCAAUCUAUCCGUUGAUGCCGGCGUUUCUGAGAUUUGGACAACGCGGUGUAGACGCCCUUCGAAGAAUGAUAUGUAUACCAACGUUGAUCUCUAGGCUCGGGAGGCUUGAAGGUCUUUUGACUCCGUGAUGAUCUUGAACUGCUAGAAUUACGCUUAUAGUAAUCAUCGUCAUAAAAUGAAGCAUCAAAAUCGAGGCGCCGCCUGACCGGGGGUGUCUCUUCCAUCCGUACUUUAGGACCAAGCCUCUCAAAAACCCCGUGAUGGUGGCCUUCAUUGGCUACCUUUUGCCGAGUUGCGGCCACAGGCUCCGAAGAAGGCUUCUCCUCUGGUUCACUGUCGACCUUCGCUCUACAUUUCCUGCACAAAACCGCCGUCCCACUAUCUUCAUCGGCGCUAUAAUCCAUCAUAGGUUUGACAAUAGCGGGCCCCGUUAAAGCCGUAGGUGGUUUAUUUGAACGAAAAUCGGCCAUGAACCGUGGCCGAACAUUCUGAUUCCGCGGGCGUUGUGUCUCAACCACUUCAGCCUUGCCUUUCCCUUUGUCCUUGGGUAGGUACGCGUCGACCAUGUUUACUGUUGCCGUGGGGAAUGGAUCAGUAUCCACACUCAUCUUUUUUUCGGGGAAUUUCAGUUUGCCAUUAUCAAUCCAGUUUUGAACGUUGUCGCGAAAUACGACACAAUUGUUUGUCGUAUGUUUGCUUGAAUUGUGGUAUUUGCAAUACACCUUUCCUUUAAGCUCUUCGGCCUUAGGAAUGUUGUGACCAGGCCGAAGCUUGAUGAUUCUUGCGAAUAACAGUUGGUCGAAGAUUGCGUCAGCCUUGGUAAUAUCAAAAGUGUAGACCUUUGAUGGUUUCAACGCUCAUUCAGCGGUCGAGCGACUUUUGACUUCUCUAGAAUCAACCUGAGUUAAUGCCUUGCAAACGUAUGACUUAUCUAUCACUAUCUCGGCCGCAUCCACACUAACGCAUUCAUCCUCGGUUGACGCAUAGUUGACAGUAGGAUUUUUGUACAACGUCCCCCGAGAUGGCGUUUUCGAAACCUUCUCCUCACGGAGCAAGUAGUCGUACUGUUCAACAUGCUGGGCUAAUUCAUACAUGUCCCGAAAGUUUGCCCCCAGGAAUUUCUUUUUGUAUUCGACGUCGAGGCCGUUCAAAGCAAGCCUGACAAAUUUGACUUCGGGUAAGGGCACUCGGCACCAAUUCCUGGCCGAUUUGAACCUAGUGAGAUAGUCCAUUGGUGAUUCAUCAGAUGCCUGAGCCAUCCUUGCUAAUGAAGAAACUGACAUCUCCAUCCCUGGUCGAUAAAACUGCUCAUGGAAUUUCUCGACCAACUCUUCCCAGUUCUGGACGGAAUUGGGGGGUAAAUUAAUGUACCAAGCGAAUGCCGAGCCGGUCAAUGAGAAGUUGAACAGCCGUAACUUAUGAAAGUCACUAUUAACAUCUCCACAUUGCGCGGUAAAAUGAGCCACGUGUUCCAACGAAGAUAAGGACGAUUCACCGGCAAAGAGGCUAAAAUCUGGAAUCUUGAAGCCUUUAGGGUAUCCAAACGUUUCCACGUAAGCCGGGUACAGAUGGAUAAACUUAGGAAACUUCGGCCCCUUUUUCAUGGCCGAGUCAAUCAUCCGCUGGACUUCGGUCAUAUCAACAGGUGCUGCUUCACCCCUCUGGUUGGUUCCGUCUGACCCGCUGUUCGACCCUCCACCUUUUUCCAAUUCAAUUGGUUUGGGGCGAGCAGGAAUAGGUUCGGCCGGUACAAUUGGUGACGGAUUGUUUCCUGGAGGGCAAUGCUGGAGAAGAUCGGAAGGCCUGCUGCCACCGACUUUACUAAACAAUAUUUCGAGCAACCUGUUCUGUCGCUCAGCAGAACUGACUAUCGCAUCAUGCAGUUUGUCGAUGCCUCGACUAAAUGUCUGCUCGACUGACCGAGACUGCUCGUUUAGUCGCUUUCGGAGAAACGACCUCGUUGGUGGGUCAGAUCCUUCACCACCAUCCUCGUCACACUCUUCUACUAUCCUUUCAGUGAGAAUGCAGGUGUUCCUGUUAGGGAUUUCUGGACCGCAGAGUUGACUGCCGAGAUUAACUUCUCUCUCUCGGCGAGUCGCGCUUGUGGACUCAGGUGUACCAACGCUAAGGGGAUUCUGCGCCUGUGGCACACUCUGUCCUAUGCUCUGACUCGGUAAAUCGGCUGUCGACUUUCCCAUAGCUGUUUUCUUUUUACCGAUCGUGUUUCAAUUGGCAUGAACUUCGUAGUUUAGCACUGAGUCCCACUGGGUGUGCCAAAAUGUUGACCCUAGAAAUUACAAAGCCUACGUGGCGCGCAGGCCGAGUAUAUUCUAAGCUAACUACGUCCUUCGGUGAUUGCGGGGCGUGCCAACUCGUCGGCCGAGGCUCGGCCGAGGAGUAAAUUUGAUGAUGCUGCGUUGGGUCGCGCUACUGACUUCUGCGUCUUGCGAUUGCGGCCGAGAAAGGAACACGUCUCGGCCUCUUGGGUUCUCGAGCCUGAAGACAAGGCUGCUAUUUCUUACAAAGUUCACGAACCGAAUUCGGCUUGCAAUGUGCCGAAUGUAAUAACUGUGACACCUCACCUCGCCGAGAAGGCUAAUGAGAUGACCUCGACCAACAAAGAUUCGAAAACUCUUCUCGACCGAGACUUGGAUAGGUAAUCGACCGUUCUCGCCGCAGUGCUGUUGAUGCCAACGGAAGAUACUGCGAGACCGACCGACUCUACGGUGACAGAGCUAUCUAUGCCGACUUAAGAUAUCACCGGUUGCUUCCACAGUGUUGUUGAUGCCAACGGAAGAUGUGUCAGCGAAAAAGGAAAAGAAAAAGAUCUCAAGUUGUGAGAGUUUGCGCAGGGCAAUUUUGUGUUGAUUUGCAGGGGGCAUUUUCUGAUGCACAUCGUCCCCUAUUUAUAGUACUGAACUUUGAAUCCGAGUUUAAAUCCUACUCGGACUAGGUUUCCCUCUCCGGAUCACCUCGACCAGUCCUACAUCUACUAGGACUAUGAACCUAGUCCUUAGCUAAGCUGGAUUAGUUUCCUGGAUAUCCGAUCCCGUCGAGACUCCCCAUUGCACUAGGAUUCGUCCUAACCGCCCUAGGUUUGGGCUCCCACGGGUUGACCGAUUCAUGGUCCUUUUGCCGCCCGGCCCCCUGGGCCGAGAGUGAUCCUACCCUCGGCCCAAACUAUUAUUUUGGGCCCAAACAGUAUGUAUAUGUAUAUAUAUGUAUAUGUAUAUGUAUAUAUAUAUACACACUGCAGGCCAAAUGACCCCACGGUCGAGCAUCAGCACUCGGCAAUAAUACCUAUGUUCUGCCAACAUUCUAGUCUUCCUCAGCUGCUGCAAUUAUACAAGGCUCAGCAUCUUUGGCAAAUAGGGCCGAGAAAAAUUGGAUAGCCUAGAAAACUGGGCCAAGCACCACUGAGAAAACACCGCCAAAUAGAAUUAACUCGGCAAAAACUAAUGGUAAAAAAUGUUUAACUUAAACAAAUCCCCCACUUUUCUUUUCUUCUAUUUAACGUAGAAAAGCAGAGAGUUGCCGCAGCUCUCGACUGCCGAGGUCGAGAAAAAUUAGGCUGGGGUUGGGAGACAAACCAUUCUUAGCUCGGCCUAUGACCAAUCAAGGUCAACAAUGCAUCAAAUAAUCCUACGUGCCAAUUAUGCCAAUGUUGCCCUCUUAUUUUUUUAAGCAUCGGCUGAGCAGCCGAAUAAAUUCUUAUUCAUUUUUUUUAGCAAAAGAAAAUGAAAACGGCUGAAUCAUAAUUAGGAGGAGGCCAACGAUCUUUUAUUCCAAGCCGAGAUCGUUUUACAUCAAAAUUUUCAUUGUGAGUUUUUCCAAGCUGAAUAAAAGAUCAUCCCAAAAUAUGUUUGGCUUGACGGAUUUUUCAUCAUCGGCCGCCGAAUGAACUAAAUAAUUAUUAUUCCCCCGAGGCAUAAUUACUUCGUUAAUUUAGGCUUUUAACUCAAAUAACUUGGCCGAAUGAGAUUUCUCCAAAUCGGCUUUAUCGCCAAUAAUCAUAUCAAUUGGCGUGGUUUUGGCAUCUAAGAUCAGGUUUCUGCCAUGUCCAUCAUUAGAACACUCAUCUGACGAAUCAUUUUCUAAGUCAAUUUUUGGCUCAUAAACUUUAACUCUUUCUUCUAGGCCUACCACACUUUUAGUCUCAACUGAGACAACAGGUGGCCUAGGUGUUUCUUCGGCCAUCUUGGCAAUUUCCUGAGGUAGAAUUUUGAUUGUGGCCGAAGCGAAAAAUUAUCCCCCAGUCUUUUGAUCCAACCAUUCUUCAAAUGGAAUUGAUUUGAACCCAAGACAAAAAGGAGUUUUCUUAUCGAACCACUCAUAAAAUCGAGCUCUAUCUUCAUAUAACCAUUGAUCUUGUAAGUUGUGAUGAACCUUCACCUUUAUCAUUUGAGAGAAAGAUUUUUGCAUUUCUUCAUAUGCUUCAAGGAUCUAGUCAAGGAUUUUUCCUUGCUUCUCGACAUUUUCCUUGUAUAGGCGCCAAAUCUCACCCACUAAAGCCUGAUUGAGAUCUUGAUAUAUCAUGUGAACUUCAUAGUUUUAGCACUUGUCCCACUGGGCGUGCCAAAAUGUUUACCCUAAAACUACAAAGCCUACGUGGCACACAGAUCGAGCAAGGAACGCAUCUCGGCCUUCGGGUUCUAGAGCCUGAAGACAAGGCUGCUAGUUUUACGAAGUUCAAUAUCAAAUUCGGAUUUCAAUGUGCCGAAUGUAGUAACCUUGUAACACCCCACUUCGCCAAAAAGGUUGAUGAGAUGACAUCUACCAACAAGGACUCGAAAAUCCUUGUCGACCAAGACUUAGAUAAAUAACUAGUCGGUCUCAAAGUAGUGUUGUUUAUCCAAACUGAAGGUGCUCCUUGAUCGGCUGAUGGUACGGCUCUAGUAUUGUUUAUCCAAACUGAAGAUGUUGCCAGUUGCCUUCACAGUACUGUUUAUCCAAACAGAAGAUGUGUUGGUGGAAAAAGAAAAUAAAAAUCUCAAGGUUGUUGAGAGGUUUCGCGUUGAGCGAGAGUUUGCGCAUGGCAGUUUGUGUGUUGAAUUGGAGGGGGCUUUGAAUGUCGUCCACGACACUGUAUUUAUAAAAGAAAAUGUUGUGUGGCGCGGCCAAAUAAUUUUGUAAAGUCCAAUUGCAAUUCUAAUUCGUGAAACUGAACUUGAUCCGCAUCAAAGGCCAAGGCAUAUCCUUCAAAUUGAUCCGUGGGAUUUGUUCAUUGACUUUUCAAACCUAAUAAAAGUUAGGCACAUCACAUCAGAAACCAAACCUAUCUAGCCUUCUUCACAAUAAUCAGUUUGCAACACACCACUUGUCAGUCAACCAAAUUGAUCACACCCACACAUUCACACGCCAAAACAUCCAAAUUAGCUUGAAUUGUGCUGCCAUGUUUCCAGUUGGAAAUACAUAUCUCAUCUUUCAUGAUAAACUAUUAUUAAAAGAUAAUUAUGAUAAAACACCAUAACAUUAUCCUUUAAUAAUAACAAAAUGAAUUAUCUCCAUUUUUUAUCUAACGGUGUGAAUCUAUGUUCACUCAACGACCUUGAUUGCAUGAGUCGAUGGGGUAAAUUUGGGUCCAAACAAUUCUACUUAAAAAUAUAGGUAAUUUAUUUCACAGCUUCUCAUAUCCUUCUCCUCAAAUCUCUCUUUGCUUUUUGGGACUUCUCCUCCAUAUUAAAGAUAACAGUGUUUUUUUUUAAUUGGAAACAAAAUGUUGAAUUUAUGUUAUUUUGGUCAUAAAAAAAAGAUAAUAAUUAAUUUUGAUAGGGUUUCAAAAUCAUUUUACAAAAGGUUAUAUAUGUCAUUAAAAUUUUCAAUAAAAAGUGGGUGGGAAAAUAGGAUUGAGGGCAGGGGCAGAUCUAUUAAGGGACCUGAGUGGUCCCGGGACCACCCGAAAGCUCAGAUAAUUGGCUGUGAAGACUUCCAAGGACCACCCAAGUCUAGAGAGUGAUGGAGGGGAAAAGCAGCGGCUGCACAAAUAUUCUGGCUUUAUGUCAAACCAGAAGAAGAGAAGAAGAUUAUUUACUUUUUAAACAACAUCCUAGGUCACGACGUCAUGUGGAGCAUUAAAUAAAACGGUGAGUAUUAGUGUAUUGUUUGAGAACACCAUCCUAGGUCGCGUGGGAGGUUGAGAGCCUCACCAUUUUUUAUUAAAAAAAAAACACACACACACACACAAAACAAAAAGGGUUCGACUUUCAAACAAUUCCACUCCACCCAAAUUAACCCCCUAGUCCUAAUCCCCGUUCCCUAAUAUUCCCACCCCACCCAACCGAAGGCCACCAUCUCUUCUCCGUUCUCUUCUUCAGCCUUCACAUACCCAUACAUUUUAAGAUUAACUUGAUAUUUAUAUUCAUUCAAUGCGUUUAAGAAGUGACUUUUCUCAAUUGUAAGGGAUUAGUGAUCUUGCUAAAAAAGAGUAAAAAAAAGGUUGCAUCAAAUUGUUGUUUAUAUUAAGAUUAAGAAUAAAAAGUUGUUGUUGAUCGUUUAUUGUUUCAAUGUUAUUUUCAUCUAAUUUUUUCAGCUUUAUAUUAGGAUCACCCGAUGUUAAAAUCCUGAAUCCGUCACUGAUUGAGGUGUGGGUAUAUCAUGAUUAUCAUCACUCUUUAUUUUGAUGUUUAAAACGAGAUGAGUUUUUGUCAAAGAAAUAAAUGUUAUAUGGACUUAUAUCAAAAGAACCCAACAAUCAAUUGGCAUAUGACGAUUGACUGACGCAUGGAACAUGACGAUUGAUUUUCCAGGUUUCCGCUAUAAAAUGGAGCAAAGCAUUUACGUUUUUUCACACAGAAACCAGAUCAGAAGCCUUUAAUUUCGCCCUACGAAGUACUGCACUGGAAACAAAGUAUACUAGCAAGUUGUUUUAUAGGAGACAAAAUGGCAAUGGAGACGCGAGUUCUCAUUGUGGUGGCCGUGGUGGCUAUGUUUAUAUGCCUUCCCUCCGCAGCAUACGCAGCCGAGGGAACAGCCACUUAUUAUACACCUCCUUAUGUUCGUAAGUAUAUAUUUCAACAUUUUCAAUGUAUUAUCACAAUCUAAAUUACCUCCUCAUUGGGAAACUGGUGUUCUGUACACUGCUGGUUUUGCCAUGGUGUGGAGAAUUGGUGGCUCGUACAUAACUUAUGAUGUCGAUGCUCCUACUGGUAUUAAUUCUUAUGUACGUACCAGUCCGCCUCGGAGCUCGUUCUUAUCUUUAAAUCAAUCUGAAAUAACGUACAAUUUUUAGGGUCCAAGAAUAAGAUAAAAUUAUAUUCUAGUCUGUCUAGAACCAUAAACAUCUUAUGCUCACAAACAUUUUGGUACAUAGAUAUAUGUAUGUAUAGAAGAUUUCAAAUUUUGAGUAGUGCUACAUUUACAAUCUAUUUGUAUCAUUUCUCUAAUAGAGGUAGGGAGCAUUAACAAAUGUGGAUCCCAUCACAUUUAGAGAGAUGAUAGAAGUAGAUGGUAAGAAUAAUUUACCUUUUGUGUAUAUGUAGUCAUAUAAUUUUGUAAUUGUGUAAAUAAAUAGUCAAUGUUAACCCGGCUUAUUCAACUAAUCGUGUCGAAGGACUCAACUCGUUUAUAUAUAUGUUGUGAUGUUUAGGUUAAACUUACCUAUGUAUCUUGUGACAUGUAAACCUAUGACUAAUUUUCUGUAUCUUUUUUAUUUUAUUUAUCUAAAUCUACUUAUUCAUGUUAUUUCUAAAAUCACAUUUAACUUGAUCAAGAACCCUUAAAAAAAAACCAUUAAAAAAUUUAGCUUCAUAAUUGCAUAAAUGUCUUAAAUUGCAUACUAAUAAUUGGAGAAUAAGUGAAUCAGGUUCUGCAUAUAAUACUAGUAAACGUGUUGAUCGUGUCAAAAUUUGGGUUACCGAGUUUGGCACUAACCCAACUCGUUUAUUAUUGAUUGUGCUUAGGAGAUAAUUUCCUGUUCUUUUUUAUAUGCCAAAACUGGCAACAUGUAUGCAUGCCCUUAAUUAUGCAUGUAUUGUUUGGUGGACGUGCAGCAUCCUCAUGCAACGGAUACCAAAAUGAUGGAGUGAUGAUAGCAGCAGCAAGCGAUGCCAUUUGGGGCAACAGAGCUGCGUGUGGAAGAAGGUACAGUGUGACAUGUAUCGGAGCCACCAACCAAGGUGUGCCACAGCCUUGCAAGGGGAAUAGCGUUGUCGUUAAAAUUGUGGAUUACUGUCCUCCUGGAUGCCGAGGAACCAUCGAUCUCUCUCAAGAAGCCUUUGCUGCAAUUGCUAACCCCGACGCGGGAAAAAUCAAGAUUCGUUAUACCCAGUAAGCGCGUGCACACACGUGUGUAUAUAUAUAUAUAUAUAUAUAAAUAUACCAAUCUAUAUAAUUUUUUUUCCUUUUAGUUAAUAAAAUUCAUCAUAAUUAACCUCAAGAGUAUAAAAUGAAAUUUUAUUUCGUCUCGGUUUUGUGGUGAAUAUGCAGGGUUUGAAGCAAGCACGCUCUCCAAGAAUGAAUAAAGUAGUCAUUUAGACUAAGGUGGUCAUAUCAUAUGCUCCAAGGACCACUUGUAAUAAAACCUAUCCAAGUAAUUGUGUUUCACAAUUUCAGACGUGAUGAGCUGAUGUUAUGAAUAAAUGUGUGUUUAUAUAUUCAAAUAAAGAGUUUACAUAUUAUUUUUCAUUGUACAACAUCUGCAUGCACUUUCUCGAAUAUAUAUAUAUAUAUAUAUAUAUAUAUAUAUAUAUAUAUAUACGUAUAUAAAGUAGUGUUGAUGCACAAAAUCAAGAGGAUUUUGGACCAACGUAAAUCCGGCCGUGAAUCACACAAACGCACAAGAACACAAAGAUGUAUCGUGGUUCACCUCAAUGUUUGGGCUACGUCCACACUGAUGUUGAUUUUGAUUCACUGUAUGAAUGUAUGAAUUACAAUAGAUCGGCAAGGGAGCUCUGUGGAUGCAACCCUUGCCAUUUUGCUCUUUGUUUGGCUGAGAGGGUAUUGCCCUCUAUAUUGUGAGGGAUGUGAGAUGAGAGUCUCUGUUUCUUUUGUGAAGAUCGGCAAGGGAGCUCUGUGGAUGUAGCCCUUGACAUGAAUUCGUUGUUUUUCUAACCUUUGAUGACACAUUUAUUUACUAAAAUGAGUGUAUGUAGAAAGCAAACCAUUUAAAGUCUUAAAUUCCCCCACCUUUAUUAGCACACGAAGAAUAAAAAGAAAGAGUGAGAUCAACUAGGGGUUAGUUCUAUUCUCAUUCAUUGAUUCACUUAUUCCUUAAUUCGUUACUUCAUUCCUAAUAAGUAAAUAUGUCAUGAAUUGAAUAACUCAAAAGGUAAUCGAAGAGUAUGAACAAAAACAUUACUGUAAAAGAAAAAAAUUAGAGUGCAAAAAUCACUCAAAAUGAAUUAAGUAGGGUUUUUUUUUUUUUUUUUUUUUUUUUUGUUAUGCCCCCUAUAACACAAUAUCUCACAUUCCCUUUAAACUCAUAUUUUGUCACUUAACGUCAUAAAAAACAAUAUUCGCUUCACUUUGAUAAGUUCUGUUUAAUUCAUUGGGAUGGUUUAAUGGGGUCUGCUUCAGAGUUCAGAUCGUUUUGGUUAGCUAUCUAAAUAAAUGGAUAAUUUCGAUGUUGUAGUGAAGUUGUCCCACAAACAAUCAAAUUUUCAAAAGCUCCAAGCGUUUUUUUACCAUGUUCUUCCUCUGCAGCAAAACAAAGCAAUUUGAGCUCAGAAAAUACGGAGAGAGAUCUAGAGAGAGACGGAAGAAGGUGUUGUUUCCAGUGGGAGGCCAAGCGUUUUUUUUAAGGAAAACUAAUGAAAAUGGCUUGAAAACUUUGAGUUUUAACGAUAAGAACAAAAUAAAAGGUAAGGUGAAUGGUACAUGAUUGACUUUUUAGUGUAAAAAUAUGGUUUUUCGUUAAAGUGAACAAUACCUGGAACUUUUCGUUAAAGUUCCUUUUUUUUUACCAUCUUUCAUUUUUGUAUAGUAUAUCAUACAUUUUUGUGAUUAUAUCAAUAUAAGAAAACUGAGUUAAAUCAAUAUCCAAUUAGUUUUUGAGUAUCAUUUGACAAACAUAAAGACAAUAUUUGAAGUCCUUUAAAGAAUAAGGCAUAAAAAAGAACGUCACAUGAAUUUUGACCCUAUUCACAAUAUAGCAAAUUGAUUAAGACACUCAACUCACUUGUGGUGCAAGUUUCAUUCUAAUCAUAAAAUAUUCAAUCUUUUGCUUAGUAUUAAUCAAUAUUGCCAUGCCUGACAUAACAAAUAACUCAUUUAAGAGUCUGACACCUCCUUAAGGUGUUCAAAGGCAUUUUAAAAUGACAAGAGUAACAGACACUCGCAAGGAAAAUUGUGUGAGGGAACAUAAUUUUGGCACGGGUGCAAUUUUUUGCGAUUUGCAGAGGAAGAUGGAGCCAGAGUUUUCUAAUUUAUUGCAUGAAGUCAAGAAGGAAUGGACUCCGACAACAACUGGAGGCAUUCAGAAAUGGGUCAUUAAAACACGUGAAUUAUACAAGCCCGACAGAGUGCUACCCAUCCCUUUGAACUUAGACAGCAACUAAGCACGCCCACUUUGUUAUGUACCCAUCGCACCAUACUAGACUACAUAAAAUCAGUCAAUAUGGUGGUGGCGCAGGGUGGCUGCCGCGGUGGAACAGAAAGAACUAGCCAUCUCAACUCAAAGCACACUCACUAUAAUUCAAACACGAGAGUCAUCGAAACAACAAAAUUUAGCCAGUGUAUCAAAAAUUGAAAGGGGUAAAAAAAAAAUCAAGGGAAGCUACUAAUGUCUCCUCCAUGCCUACAGCGCCAGCCUACCAUGAAACUCAAGAAUUCCUAAAUUCAAAUUCCAGCGAAUGCCUUCUUGCCAGUGCCGGAAGAUCCAGCAGGAGUCACCUUCAACACGUUGAACCUCUUAGUCUCGAACAGUGGCCUGAACAUUGGUAAAGUACCCAAAAAAUGAACAAAAUGAGCACUAGCGCAUGCCAAAUUACAUACAUAAACAUGUAGUUAAAAACGAGCUAAGGUAAAUCACCUGCACUGGCCGAUGGUAACAUGAUCUCCUUCCUUCACACGGAAGCAUGGAGAUACGUGUGCCGGGAUGUUGGAAUGUCACUUUUCAGAUCUUAAGCUAGCGACAAGAACGAAAAAGAUUUCAGAAGAUCAAAGAGGUGUUGAAAAAUAUUAGUAUUUAGGUUUACUUUAAUGUUUGGUUUUCUGGGCUUAGCCUAUUAGCAUUAAGGUUUCGGUUUCUUACCUUUUUAGGGUUAAGCUAAGUCUAUUAUAAAUAGUAUGCUUGUUAUUCAGUUAAGAACAAGUUAGUUAUGUAGCUUCUUAGGGUUAUGUAGCCGUUCCGGCAUUCUCAUGUGUUUAAUAAUAUUCUUAUUAUUUUGUAGUCUUUUUUGUUUGGUAUGUUCAACUUGGUACCAAAAGCGGUUCAAUCUUUUGUGAUUUAAUCUGCUUUUGGUUGUUAUCAGUUUGUCUGUCUGUAUGUUUAGUUUGAUAUAUAAAAUUAAAACAAAGAAAAAAAGAUUGCUGAAGCUAUGUCGUGCCUCGCCACUCCGCUGCUUGAAUCGAUUCCGCAGCUAUCCGUUGAACUCGUUGUCUGCACCAGCACCCAUUGACCGCUGCUUCCCUUGCCGUACUCGCAUCCCCCGCCGCUGCUGCACUAGAACCGACCCACCAAGUAUGUUGUCUCGAUUAGAUCCCGAUGACAUUGCACCCCUCGCAGCCCCGCAAGCCAAAACCCGUCGCCAUACCCAUCUGCUCGUACCCGAACUUGCACCACCAUCUGAUUGCUUCGCUACUUAAACCUAGAAAUCAAUCGUCGCAUCCGUUGCAUCGUCGCCAUGCCACCAAAUCCCGCCUGCAACCCAUCGUCUCACCACCACCUGCUGUAAACCCACAUCGUUCGCUUGCUUGCGCGCCGCGCAGACCGGACCUGAUAAACCCACCCUGCUUGCUACUUGUUGUCUGACCGAAACCAGAUUGUGCCAUAAUUUGUCACUUUUCUUAAUCAUUGUGUUACGAAGCCCAAAAAAAAGGAAGGAAAAAAAUAGAAAAAGAAAACAGAAGAAGAGAGGGAAAAAAAAAAGGUAUGGAGCCCAUGAUCUGUUGGCUUAUUAUGAUUUGUUUGAAGGCCUUUUUUAAUUUUUUUUGGCCUUGUUGAUUGAAGCUACUAUUGGGCUUGGUUGGUUUUGAGACCUAAACGAGUUGUUAGACUGUUUGGAAUUGUUUUGUGACCGUCACUUGAGUGAUUGGACAUAUGACCACUCGAGUGAUAGUAGCUUUUUGGUUCUCGCUGUUUGUUGCUACAAUUGAGAUAUGGAAAUCUUGUCCAUUUAGUGAUGAAUUCUUUUCAUACUCUCAACACUGGCCAAUUAGAAUCAGUUUGCCAGUUUGCCAGUCAAGUCAAGUCAAGUUUGCAUGCCUGCUAGUUUGCCUAAUGGAGCCAAUCGGCAUCUGCUUGUUUGCAAACUCAUGUCAUAUGCCGCCAUGAGUUUGAAGAGGGGGGUGUUGGAAAAUAUUAGUAUUUAGGUUUACUUUAAUGUUUGGUUUUCUGGGCUUAGCCCGUUAGUAUUAGGAUUUCGUUUUCUUACCUUUUAGGGUUAGGGUUAGUUUAUUAUAAAUGACAUGUUUGUUAUUCAGUUGAGAACAAGUUAGUCAUUAGUAGCCUCUUAGGGUUUUGUAGUCAUCGUUUGUUUAAUAAUAUUCUUAUUAUUUUGUAGUGUUGUUUGUUUAGUCCCUUACUUUUAAAACUUUUUCCUUGUACAUACAUUUUAUUUUUAUGGGUAAAGUACAAAAAACUACCUUAACUAUUGGUCUCACGACACUUUCAUACCUCAUCUUUUUAAAAUGACAAUGUCAUACCUCAUCUUACGAAUUUGUGCCAAUGUCAUACCUCCUCCAUCAGUUUUUUUGUUAAUUUCUCAGUUAAAUGAUGACGCGGCUUGAUUCGGGACCCACUUUCUAUUAAAAAAUUAAUAAAUUUUUUUUAAAAACUAAAAAAAAAUCAUUUAAUAUUUUUUAAAUAUUAAAAUAAUAAAGAAAAGUUAUAAAAAUAAAAAUAAAAAUAAAAAUAAAAACCAAACAAAACUUCCCCUACGCGCCCUCUCUCUUUCUCCCCCAUUUUCAUCUCAUUUCCUCUUUUUCCUACCUACUGCAACCUAGAAAAAAGAAAAAAAAAACUUUGUCCCUUUUCCCCAUGCGCCCUCUCUCUUCUCCCCCACCUUCAUCUUCUUUCCUCUUCUUCCCCUUAUCUGCUGCAACCUAGAAAAAAGAAAAAAAAAACCACAAAACCUAUCUUCAUCUUCCCCGACCCCCUGCCCUGCAACUCAUCCCUUUCUUCCCCCUCCUGUCUUCCCUAAACCAUCUGCACCACCCUCGCACCCACUACCUGCAACCUAUAAAAAAAAUAAAAAAAAACCCAGAUCUCGUUCGCCAGGCCUAUUCCGCGGGUGGAGAACCGGUGCGCGGAGAAAAUGGGGGGAAUGUGUGUGGAUUUAAGGAGUGGGGUGUGUAGAGGAGGGAAGAGAGUGGGGUGCAGGGGAAGACAAUUGGUUUUUUUUUUCUUUUUUUUUUUGGGUUGCAGCAGAUAGGGGGAAGAAGAGGAAAGAAGAUGAAGAUGGGUAGAAGAGAGACGCGGGGGGGGGGGAGGAAGGGACAAAGUUUUGUGAAUUUUUUUUUCUUUCUUUUUCCUGGGUUGCUGCAGGUAGGAAGAAGAGGAAAUGAGAUGAAGAUGGGGGAGAAGAGAGAGGGCACGCAGGGGGAGUUUUGUUUUGUUUUUUUUUUUCUUUUUUCUGGGUUGCAGCAGAUAAGGGGAAGAAGAGGAAAGAAGAUGAAGAUGGGGGAGAAGAGAGAAGGUGCGUGGGGAGGAGGGACAAAGUUUUGUUUUUUCUUUUUUUUGGGUUGCAUCAGGUAGGAGAAGAGGAUGGGAGAUGAAGAUGGGGAGAAGAGGAGGGGGAGGGGGGGGGGGAGGGACAAAGUUUUGUGUAAUUUUUUUUUUCUUUCUUUUUCCUGGGUUGCAGCAGGUAGGAAGAGGAGGAAAGGAGAUGAAGAUGGGAGAGAAGAGAGAGGGCCCGCGGGGGGGGGGGGGGAAGUUUUGUUUUGUUUGUUUGUUUUUAUUUUUUUCUGGGUUGCAGUAGAUAGGGGGAAGAAGAGGAAAGAAGAUGAAGAUGGGGGAGAAGAGAUAGGGCCUGGGGGGGGGGGGGGAAGGGGCAAAGUUUUGUUUUUCUUUUUUUUGGGUUGCAGUAGGUAGGAAGAAGAGGAAUGGAGAAAAGAGAUGGCACAGGGGGGAAGUUUUGUUUGGUUUUUUUUUUUUUAAUUUAAUUUUUUAUAACUUUUCUUUAUUAUUUUAAUAUUUAAAAAAUAUUAAAUGAUUUUUUUUUUAGUUUUUAAUAAUUUUUUAAUAGAAAGUGGGUUCCGAAUCAAGCCACGUCAACAUUUAACUUAGAAAUUAACAGAAAAACUGACGGAGGUAUGACAUUGGCACAAAUGCGUAAGAUGAGGUAUGACAUUGUCAAUUUUAAAAGAUGAGGUAUGAAAGUGUCGUGAGACCAAUAGUUGAGGUAGUUUUUUGUACUUUACCCUAUUUUUAUUUUAAAUAAAUUAUUUUUCUUUUCAUUACAUUUUUUUAAUUAUUUUGCGAAUAAUAGCUUUGUGGUGCAUAUUUUUUUGCAAUAACUCACUUUCGUCGCACAAAGUUUUUAGACAUGAAUAUUAGUCGUCCCAGGUUUGUAUUUUGGCAUUUUAUGCGACAAACAUAUUCGUUCAUAAAAAUUUGGUGCGACGAAUGAGGAACCGUCACGCCUUAUUUUCCUCGACCAAUGCUUUUGUUCAUCGCGCAAAGUCUUUCUUCACGAUCUUUGCACGACCAAUUCUGCGCGAUGAGGUUUUCAUUGUGCAUACGUUUGUGCGACGCUAUUAAGUUUUGCACGACCAAGUUCUGUUCGUCGCACUAAAUGUUAAAUGUGGUAGUGAUUGAUUUUUACUUUAAUUUGAGUCUCAACUCAAUUCAAGUUCAACAAACUUUUAACAAAAUAGGGCUGAAAAUUUUAACUAGAAUGAACGAGCCACUCAAAACCCUAAAUUACGAGUGGGUGCGAAGAAUAUUUGAGUGCUUGUAAUUGUUGCUCCAUAUGAUUUUACAGUAAGCAAGGCUCCUAUCAUUGUGUGUGAUUAGUUUACUUUUGUGUUCUCAAUCACUUAUAUGUCAUUUUGCUCUUAUUGGUUUGAGGGAAUAAAGGCUCAAACUUCCUGACAUUUUCAUGAUACUUCAACAAAUCCAUUGAAAACGUACUAAAUUGUCUAACAAAUGGGCAAUUUGAUAUAUUCUUACUGUUGGAGGAAAGAUCAGCAGUUUUCAGUUAUACUGUAGAAAGGAAGAAUACAAGAGAAUAUAUAUGAAGGAUGACUUUUGAACGACAACUGAAAUUUAAUUUUAUUGCUUUCAAAUUUUUAUUACAACACUAGGCCAAUCUUAUUAUUGGCUAUUUUUUAAUAACAUUCAUACCUUUUGAUAACAACUAUGGAUAAGUUCUAAGAGAGACAACUCUACAUUGCAGAAAGUGCAUUACGUUUAACACUUACAUCAUUGACAUGAUCCUAGUUGAUCUAAGGUUGUUACAUAUAUCCUCCUUAGGUUCCUGAGUAAUUCUCUCUAGUUCCUGCUGAAAUCUCUCCAUGGCCGAGGAUGGCAAACACAUUGGUACCAAUAUUCCAUCCUCAGUGUUGUUUUUGUGUUGAACGUAGAAGCUAAUCAAAUCCAAGGCCUUGGCGGGUCCAGCAAAUACCGGCUGUCCCCAUCCAAAAUUGACAUCUCCAAAACCUGCACGCGUAUUAUCAGAAACUAUUAAAUAACUUCCUGUCGAUGAAUAUUGAGGUCGCCCUCUUAGUACCAUAAGAUCUGCCACUGAUCUUAAGUAUUCUUCAUUCAUGGUAGCUUUAGCCUUCUUCACCAACUCCAAAGCAUAUCCCAGUGGAUUUUUGCAUAGAGGUUCAGCCUUUGAAACUGCAGCUGGAUAUGCAAAUGCAUUGCCAUAGUAUCCCAAGGGAAGACGUAGAUUGUGGUGCUUUCCCCGUGCAUUGACAAUGCAUGAGACUCGAACAGCCUGUUUUGGAUUAAUUUUAAGUGCAAGAGUGCGACAUUUCCACAAACAGGCUGUGAUCAAGUCAAAUGUGGAGCAAGUGGAAAUUAGGUGGGGUGGAAUCUGUUUUCGAAUGACUCUCAUCUCCUUGGCACCAAAGUAGAAAGAUCGUUGAACCAUGUUUGACUGGUUACUGAAUGCAUAUGAGCCAUCAGAAUGAUCAAUCACGUCUUCAUAUUCAUGAUGAGCACAUGUAAUUCUUGGUGGAUUUCGAGCGAAAAAGAGCUUUCUCUCCCACACUGGUAGAAUAGAUGGUGCAUGUGCGCCUCUUGCCAUCUCCGCAAUGGCGGUCAGGAACAGGAGCAAUCCAGAUGCAUCACACAUUGUGUGGUUUAGGCGCAAUGCAAGUAUGAAACCUCCACAUGUAAGACAGGUCACCUGCAUAUUGCAAAAGUUAGUUACUAGACUUUUUUCUUGAUCAUCAUAUUCGUGCCAGUUAACAAUUCUUUAGAAGAAAAGACCCAAAAUAAAUAAAUAAAUAAAAAACCAUCUAAAUUAGAUGAUCUAAUUAGUAAACAAAACAUUUCAUAAAAAUUAGGAAUAAAAUUCAAGAAAGAUGGAGUCUCUUUGAAAGGCUCUCGUGCAUGUUGUAGUUACUUGAAAAAGUCUUUAACUAUAGAGGAUUUUAGACAAAAUGCUUAUAGAAGAGAAAAAUUUAGACAGAAGACAAAGAGGAAGACAUGCAAAAAACCUAGAAGAAGAACGGCAAAGGAAAACCUACACAACAAAGGUGAUGUGAGACUGGUAGAAAACCUAGGACCUAAUUAGGCGGAUACCAAGUAGAAAUAUAAUUUCCUCAAUUCAAUGUGUAUACAAAUUUUACUGUAUAGGAUUAAACAUAAGGAUCGUCGAAGAAAAAUUAGUUUCGAAAAAUAAUGAAAGCGUCUCAUAAUCUUUUCUUUCCAAAACAUCCUAAUGACUUUCUUUAAUCAUAAGAACAAAGAGGCGUGGUCAUAUUGUAGAUAAGUUCAAGUUUAGGUGCGGUGGUAGUAUGAUAAAUUUUCAUUUAUGAAAAGGGUUGCCAAUUUAAUGAAAAAAGUUAAAAACAGUUGCGGUGCCACCAAACUUCAACUUAUUUACAUUAUUGUUAGUGCUUUCUUGUUUAUGUCCUUAUUUGUCAUUAAAAAUUUCGUAUGUUGUUGAUUACACUAAUUUCUUACAAAAAAUAUCCGGGGUGUGUAUGUGACCUUAACGCAAAAAACACUACUCAUACCCUUAAACUACUUCAAAUUUUUUGUAAAGAAUUAAUGGCUAUGACCAAAUAUGAAUACGAAAAACUAAAUAACAUGUAAUUGAUAAUUAAUUGACUCACCUGAACCAGCAGCAAAGGACAACCAAUAAUUCCAUCAGAGCCUGGAAAAUUAAAUAAGAACUCCUCUAAGAGUGGACAAGGGGGUAGAAUUGUGUCUCCUAGUUGCUCUAGUGUGACAUCAGCAGAAGCCUCGACGAACAAGAUACCUUCACCAUUGCAAUCGACCACGAGCUUUUUGUUAGGCCCUUCCCUAAGCCUUCCAGCUAAAGGGUAGUAAUACACUAAUGCUCUACUUAAGGCUUCCCUAAUCACCUUAACGGGAUUACGAUUUUUAUUAAGUGAAGGAUUGGCUUUGUAACACAUUAUAACUGGAACCUGAAAUCUCAAGCUUUCUUGGUCGUCAAUAUCAGAGAGAAACUUUGUUUCUUGAGGCGUUGGCUUUGCCGGAGUUAUAAGUUCCGGCUGCAAUCGUUUCACCUGAAGUAUUGAGGGUAGCAUCAUUUCAAUAACAAGCUUAAGAACAAGCAAAAGAUCAAAGGAUUUGGAAUUUUAUUUUGUGGUAUGCAUGCUAACUAAAAGUUGAUAGUCAGUACUUAUAUAACGUUAUGUAGAUGCUCUAGGGUUCCCGAAUCUUCCGUCCAAGUUUCCACCCGUUGUGAAUGUGAUUCUUUUUUUUUUUGGAAGACAUGUGAUUAUUUUCUUUUCCAUUAAAAAUGUUGUUAGAAAGAAACGUUUAAAUCGCUUUCCAAAAAAAAAGAAAAAAAAGAAAAAAACGUUUAAAAUUAAAUCACGCAAUCAACAUGGACUGCAAAGAAAAACAUGUUGUUGAGAGCUAUGUGCAUGGGACCAUUUCACAGUUCACACCACAUAUUCGGAGCUAUGUGCAUGGGACCAUUUCACAGUUGCUAUGUGCAUGGGACCAUUUCACAGUUCACACCACAUAUUCGUACAUAUACAUUAAUACUGAAUUUCAUUUCAACAUCAGAAAUCUGAAUACUAACAGGGAUAUGAGGACAGGUGUACGGUAAAAAACCUUUGAUAGGAAUGGAAGGAAGAAGGCCAACAUCGUACGUACCUUGCCCCAAUUACAGCUGUGACUUUUGUAAAACAUCGAUUACACGUCUGCUAUAAAGACAACAUUGUUGUUGUAUAAAGACAGGCAUAUUAGCACGGGAGAAUAAUGUUCCACAUGGCGUGGAGCACGGUAAGUGUUGGGCUUCACACAAUCUGUUCUGCAAUCAUGACGAAAGUUGAGGUUCACACAAAUUGUAUCAAGACUUUGUAACAGCAGCAUGAAGGUUAGGAGUCGACUUGGAGGAGAAGAUCGCGAGCGGGUUCAGCUAGCACUAGUUAACCGAGCCCCAGAUUCCAUGUUCAUGGUUAUCGGCUAAUCCUCAACUCUUAUGUUCGGUGCUUAACUUCUGAACAUUGAACUUUUUGUCAAAUUUUAUGUUCAGCAUGUUCAAAUACAUGAUUCAAUCUAGUUGUAUUUUAUUUAAGAAAAUAGAAACAAACCCAAGAGGAUUUCAGAGAAAAGUGACGGCAUAGGGCAGAACAUUGCAGCUCAAACGUCACUAACAUACUUCAAUGAUUUAGGGUUUUGGUCACGAUACCACCUUACAUCUCAUUUAAAUUAGCUAGCUAACAAAAGCCUUCAAGACCCCAGUUGUGCUAAGCUAAUCUAAACCUCACACCAAAGCAAACCUAUCUCAGCCCUACACUUGUAAUUUUGGACUGAGUCAACAUAUUUGGCCGUUACAAAUUUAGAAAAAACUAAGGCAUUACUUUUGUUUAAUACAAAAAAUUGGAAGCUAGAAAUCAGUUUAUGCAUCAACACUCUCCUUCAAAUUGUUUCUAGUUUUGACGCCAAGCAAAUCCCUGAGGUAUACAAAACCCUCCUUUAGCGUAUCCUUAGUAAAUAUAUCAACAGUUUAAUCUUCAUAUUUGCAAUAGAGUAAUUCAAUCACAUUCUCUGACGUACAAAAGAUCUCUAAUAAAGUGAUGGUUCCUCUUUUCAUGUUUUGUUUUUUUAGUGAAUCAGAGGAUAUCCUGUUAGAGCAAUUACAAAGGUGGUGUUGAAAUUUAGUGAUAUAGCAUCUACUUUGAAAAGGUAGCUGGGUCAACCCAAUAGAUAAAUAAUCUCAAUUAAAAUUCUAGACGAGGAUUCAUGUACGGUUUCAAUCAUACUACAUAACAGUGAAGAACAAAAUGAAAUAGAGUAAAAAGAACAAAAGACUCACAAUAUAAUUCAUGGGCACACAACCAUUGAGAAAUAAGUACUUUUACAAAACUCAUCAAGACAGACAUCUACUACACUUGAAGUUUUCUCUUGUACUUUUAAUCUUGUAGCACACAGUCUUUCUUUUGCUCUCUUUUGGAUGAACACGACGUACUCAACAGGUUCUCCUCACGACUAAAGAGAUUGCACUCAACUUCGUCGCAUAGAUGGAAACAACUUCUUCACUCAAAUGAAUAUGAUGAAUAAUAUGAAAGGUAUGAAGUGUUUCACUAAGAUCACUCUUCUAACCUAGCACUCAAGAACUUUGCUUUGAACCUUUUAUGCUCAAAUCUUAUAACCAAGCAAAGAUGAAUGAUAGGCUUGAUUUCCUAUGAAACCAACAGCCUAGAAUAAAGGAAACUGGAAUUAUGUACUAGAAUAAAAUCAAAUUGGGUUUAUUUCUUAAAACUAGGCAAUUAAACUGAUAUUAUAAUCUUCAAGAUAUGCAAUGAUGUGAUUCUCGUUUCCUAUAUGAAUGCACAUGAUACUCCAAUAUAUGCUUUGAUGUGCACGUUUUCAGUAAUUAAACCUAGAAACUACGACACGAGUGGCGAUACUUUGGAUUAGUUUGGUAUUCCUGUGCUUUCUAAAAAAAAUGUGAUUUUGCUGUUCUAUGAGAAUAAACAAUUGUUACGUGUUUGGUAACUUUUUUUUUCUUUUUUUUGUAAAAGUGCUUUUAACAACAAAAAAACAGUCUGAGUGUUUGGUAAACUUUUAUAUAAAUUAUUGUGAAUGUGUUAAAUAACUAAAAAGGAUAUGGUAUGUAGUGUGAUAUAAUAAUUGACAAAGAUAAUAAUGUAGGGGCAAAAAUUGUAAUUUUGUAAAAUAUGUGGGGUUGUACUUGCCUUUGAAAAUUUUAUUAAAUGAGCAUUAAUUACUAUACUUCGAAAAAAAAAGCACUUUCUUUAAAAGCAAGAUAGACUCUGCUUUUGUUUUUCUAUGCUUUUCUACUGUCAUUGACAAUAGUUUUUUAAAAAAUCACUUUUUUUUUUGUGUGUGUUACCAAACACACUUAAUGUUCCAGAUUUUUUAAAAGCAUUACAAUCCCAAACCAGCCCUUUGUUAGAAUGUUUAGAAUUUUCUCAACCAAAUGGCUCAAAAUAUUUAGGGGAAUACUAUUAUGUAGGUUGCAUUCAGUGACUUGCUUAAUUUCUUUUAUUAGUGAAUAUGUUCUAGAUUGUUAAAUUAUUUUGUAUAAACUUAGCAUCCAUAAAGCAUUUUAAGUUAAACCAUAUUCACUAGCAAGAGCAUUUAAAUUGUAGGGGGUAGAAGACAAUUCUGAGAUCAAUCAUGUUUCGAAUGUUUACAUUUUUGCAAUUGAUUUACAAUUGAGUUGUAAGGAAAAACCAAAAGAGUGACCCUUCCAUCCACAGAAGGUACACUUGAGAUGAGCACGAUGAUUUUUAGUAAUGUGAUUCGUCUUGUUGCACUUCCCACAUCGAGGUCCACCGUCUUCUGAUUCGGCUUCUCGGCUAGUGGUUUUCAUGGCGAAUUCCGCAACUUCUGGUUGGGUAGUAUUGUUUUUCCCACUGGAAACUUCAGCCUAUCUCUCAUGGCAGAGAACCAAUGAGUAGGCUUUGUUUACUGUGGGCAGUGGCUCAAGAGAAGAGUGUUGCUGCGAACGGUGGCGUAAGAAUCAUUCAACCCCAUGAGAAACUUCAUGGUCUUAUGUGUUUCAAUGUACGAAACAAUCUCCUUCUUUGUUUCACAACUACAUGCCAGAAUCGAACAUAGUACUCCUCGUUCAUCCUAGAGACUUUUUAGUUUGGUGAAGUAGGUACUUACUGUCAUUCUCUAUGUGAAAUAGUUGGACGAUGUUCAUAUGAGAAAAUCUUUUAUGUGCUUAAUCACAUCUUUUAAGUUGCCCAAACUCUCAAUUUCUUUGCGGCAGUGCGCAAUCGAACAACAUGCAGCCUUGCCCCCACAUUUCAAGGAAAUAUCUCUUUUUUUUUUUGUCGAAGGAAAUAUCAUAUCAAUUGGGCAAUUUCAUGGGUGGAGAAGCUCUUGAGUAUAUAGGUGCAAUCAGUGGCGGAUCUAAAGAGGGAUCUGGGAAGUCCCAGGACUCUUCGAAGAAUCUAAAUCGUGCUUUGAAAUUUUCUAAGGACCCCCCGUACUUGAAGAUGAUGGCCAGUGCAGCUGCAACGGCAUCGUCUUCUGUCUUCCUAGAGAAGACGAUCGCGCGAAGAAAUAUUUUUUUUCUAUUUUAAGACUUGGCCCAUAAUGUUGUUUGGUUUUGUUCGAUUUUUUCUAUUUGUUGUGGGCCUAAUGUUUUGCGUAGGCUUUUGGUGAGAUGGUUGGCGUGAUGCUCGUUUUCUUGUUUUCAGGACCCACUCUUUCUUUGUCUUGCUUUUUUGGGUCUUUAUUUUGUCAAGUUUCUUGGUAAUUAAUGAAUUUUACCUUUGUAUAAUAAUAAUAAUAAUAAUAAUAAAAUAAUAAAAUAAAAAAAACCCAAACCCCUAUCACGUCCCCAGCAGUCCCACCCCAUCCCUUCCUCAACUUGAUAUUAUAUUCUCCCUUAAAAAAAAACUUGAUAUUUAUAUUUAUUUUGUGCAUUUUGGUAAUGAUUUUUCUCAAUUAAGAGGGAUUAGCAAUCUUGCCAAAAAAAUGGUGGAAGAAAGGGCUGCACCAAAUAUUUGCAUAUGUAUAUUUGCUUAUUUAGUGGGCUUUGAUUUUAUCGAAUUGCAACUGUUUCAAUGAAGAUGACAUUUUUCGCUAUGAAUAUCAUUGAGGGUCUACUUCUCAACAAAAUGGGAGAUCAAUAGUUGCAUGUAGAGGACAUUUUUCACUAUAAUUUUUUUUUAUCUUUAUUAUUGGGACCCCCCGAGUCUAAAAUCUUGGAUCCGCCACUGAGUGCAACAGCCUGCUUGCAAAUGAAUAGGAUGAAGUUGUUGCCACCAAGGUAUAAAAUAUCGAUGAUAUCGGAAAUAUCAGUAGUCCAAAAACAUGAAAAUUUCGAUGGAAAUAUCAGGAUAUUAUCAAUAUCGAUAAAAAUUGAAUAAAAACCACGGAAAUUGUAAGAAAAACUUGGAAAUUUUUAUUAAAACUUUGCAAGAUGUUUAUGUAAUCAAUUAUUUAUUAGUUUAUCACAAAAAAAUUGGAAGGAAAUGCAUUGCAUGAUGGAUUUAACUGAUUUAAGUUGAUUAUAUAGCGAGCUGGCAAACAGUGUGAGUGUAGAAAAUAUGUAGUAAUUAAUGAAAGAAGUUUAAACACACCAUAAUCAUUUAUAUAUAAUGAAUUAGUACAAUAUUUUACACUUUAUACAUAGCAUGAUAAGAUACAUGAGUGACUUAGUACCACAUAGAGUUCCUAUGAAGUUCAAAAUUUUCACUAUCUUCAUCAUCUCUAUGUAGUAAGUGUAUUGUGAAGAGUAGUCAACAACCAUGGCAAUGACUUUCAAGAACCAAAACCCAAAAGUCAAUAGGAAACCGAAUACUUCAGUAUUUUUCGGGAUUUUAGGAUUACCAAACAAAUGGUAUUUGGAAACCAAUCCCAUAUAAAAAAUUUCGGUAUUUUUCAGGAUGGUUUUGGUUUGGAAUUUUUCGGUUUGGGUUUGGGACUUUUUCGGUUUGGUUUGGGAUUUUCGAGAAUUUUUUCCAGCCCUACCAUGUAAGUGACCAAAUAAAAAAUAGAAAAAUUAAAAACCACGUGACAUUGACUAAGUAAUUAAUUGACACAAUUUAAAAUAUAAUACCACAAAAAAUUUGGAAUAUGUGCAAAUUUGUUUCUUGUAAAAAGAAUUCAAAACAAAACCAUAUAUAUAAAUAUUUUAGCAUAUUAUCACAAAAACAUAAGUGAUAUGGUGGUUAAGGUGUUAAGGAGUCAAAUAGGAGGGGUUUCAAUCCCUCUAUGCGCAAAAGGGAGACUUUUCAGAAAUUUUUAAGUAUUUUUGGAUUUAAUAUCGCGAUAAUAUCGGUAUUAUCGCGAUAUAUUAACGAUAAUUAAUGGGAUAAGUCACGAAAUAUCGUCAUCUAAAAAAUCGAUUUCGCCAAUAUUUUCGAUAUUUUGGUCCUUGGUUGCCACUAUAGGUUGUAAAAGAGUUAAGGAUACUGAGAAAGAUUGUAAAAGAGUACUGCAUUCUCUUAUUUAUUUAUGUAACUGUGAAAAAUAUUGGUACACAUAACCACAAAUUAACUAUUUACCUGAUAUUUCUUUUCACUUGUAAGUGAGAGGUUUUAGGUCCGAUUUUCACUAAAGGCGAAUUUAAAUCAUAUUAUUACUAGCCUAUUGUGAGGCUUAGCACACUCCCAACAAACAGCCACCCUCUCUCUCAGUCUCUCUCGAAGCAACUGCUGCAAGCAUGCAACUCUCUCGAACUGAAGAACAAAACCUCCCUCCACCACACAAAUACGGCCAACCACCACCACACACAACCAUGAGCCACCAGGAUCCGGCAAUUCUCCAUUUCCCUCUCUCAGACUAUCUCUUUCUAGGAGUCGGCGUCUCUCUCGACGAUUUCUACAACAACGGCGGGCUAAGAACUCUCUGUCUCGCAUUUGAUUUUUCAUCAUUUACUGCCGCUUCUUAUUCUCUGAAACGGAAGAGACCCCGAUGAUUGAGAUCCCGAGCGCCAUGCAAGAAAUUAAAAGCGAGAAGCCCCGGUAAUCCUCUUUAUUUAGGGAUUUGGGAUUAAUUUUUUAUUUAGGAUGCAUGUUUAAUUAGGGACACCACUAGUUUUGAUCAGGCCUUGAAAGAAGUGUGAUUAUAGAGCAUGCAUAUUCACUUUCUACUUGUGCAAUCUGACUUUUAGAAAACACAUCUAUUUCGACACCUCUGCUUACGUUAGAAAGCGAGGUGGACUACUCUAAGGCGUGCAGUGGUAAAUUGCGUAUUGAUUUACUGCUAAAAAAAGGAGAGGAAAAUAAAUAAAAAUAGAAAAAACUAAUAAAUAUAUGCAAUACCUAACAAAGCACUUAAAGACUUUUGAAGUCGUGACCUAAAAGUAGGGAUGGGCACUUGAAACCGAAAAUCAAAACCAAAACACGAACCAAAUCGAACCGCACUAAACGGUUUGGUUCUGCGGUUUUCAUACGGUUGUGGUUUUGAAACCGAACCGCAAUGUAGGAAAUAGUUUGGUUUCGGUUUUGGCUUUUGAAAAUUGCACUGAAACCAAAACCGCACCUCAAUUAGAUCAUGUUUUAAUUGGUUGUUUGUUAGAAUCUAUACAUUUAGUAUGGAUACAACCACACUGUAAUGUCAUCCGUUUCCUAAUUUUUACCUUUGGUGCUUAUUUCGUUCUGAAUAAACCAUCGUACGUUCUCCAACACUAGGUAAAAAAAUAAAAUUUAAAAAAAAUUCCGUGUCAUAGUCACUGUUAUUUUGAUCUCUCCAGAUUUUGAAAGAUGGAAAAAGAAAUACUAUGUAAAUGAAUGGUGUACUUAGCCUUUUAUAUGACAUGGAACAAGAUAUAUUUGGAAGUUACACUAAACGUUUAAAGAAUUAAAGUAUGUAUACAUUGAAAAUUACAUUGUGAUAGGAUGAAAUAAGCACCUAUUUUUCGGUAAGAGUAGAUCCUUCACAUGAGACCGUCUUAUGCGUACGUAAGUGUAAAUUUUAAAAGGAAUUGUUAUUGGCAUUUCAAAAUUCUCAUUCUACACUCCAAACUUUUUAUAUUUAGACAGAAAAAUACACUUAUGAGGAGUGUCGAAUGAGAUUUUGGAGUGCCAAUAACACUUUCCAUUUUAAAUUGUAUAAUUUUUCUCAAAAACCGAACCGAAUCAAACGGUUUGGUUUCUUUCGGUUUUGGCUUCAAAACCGUACCGAACCGCACCGCGAAAAGUUAUGAUUUCGAUUAAGGCUUCACUCAAAACUACACCGAACUGCACCAUGCCCACCCUUACCUAAAAGCCUACUGGCAUGCACGGAACACACACGCACACACAAGACACACGUGUGUCACAGUAAGGGAAACCCUGGCAGCCAGCUCAUUAGACCAUCUCCAACUCUUGGGCUAAAAGCCAAAUUUUUUAGCUCAGAAACAGUUUUUCUACUCUAACCUUUCUGGCCUAGAAUUUUUGCCCAAGAUUAUUAAAGAAUGAACUUAGGCUAAUUUUUUUCUUAAAUUACUUAAAAAAAAGAUGUAAACUAUCGUAAAUUAAUUUUAUGAACAUUUUAAUCUAAAAAUAUUUAAAUUCCAAUAAAUAUUGAAAAAUCACUCAAUCGAUACAUGAAACACUAUGGAAAAAUAUGAAAAUCAUGAUAGAGAUGUAUAAAUACAAAAUACAUAAAACAUACAAGACAAAUAACACAUGUGAAGCACAUACAAAACACAUGUGAAGCACGUACACAUGUGAAGGACAUACAAAAUACAUAAAAACAAUUAGUUGCAAAAUAAUAUUAUGUACAUGACAAAUAAAAUAUUAAGAAAAAAACUCACAAUUUAUGUUGCGCUCUUUUCACUAGCCAUGUCAAUCACAGUUCUCUCAAACUUCCCUGCCAUAAAGUGCAUGCUUUGUUGAUAGUCUUCCACCAAUCAUAAACACCACCAUCGUCUCUCCCGCCGCAAUUGCAGUUUUCAUGAAACUUUUCAAUGAUUUUAUCCCACAAAACCUUUUUAUUUUGAUUCGUGCCAACUGCACCAUCUUUGCUAACAGAAACUCAUGCCAAGCAUAAAGCAACAUCUUCCUCACAGGUCCAAUUACGACCUCUAAUAUGCUUUCUUGCCAUUUUGAAUAAUUUGGAAAUAAGAAAUGGUAGAAAGAAAAAUUGGAAGAAUUGUAGGAGAAAAUUGAGUUUUGUAUUGAUGUUUGAACAAAUACAUCGUUAUUUAUAGAGUUUUUGGGUGAAUUUUGAGUUAAAUAUAUAUUUUUUAAUUAUUUUAGCCAUUGGAUUUAAAUUUGGACGGUUAGAUCUUUUUUUACCGUUAGAUUUGAUUAUAUUCGAUCUUAGCCGUUGGAUUCAAUGUAUUUUAAAAUUACAUAUAAAAAAAACAAAAUUUGAAUUUGGACCGUUGGAUCAAUCAACGGUCUGUAAAGCCCAGUCGUAGGAUACAGAAAAGAGCCGUUGGGCUCUGGUUGGUGGUCGACAGCGGCCCUGACAGUGGGCCCCCUGUCGGGCGCUGAAGCCAAACUGUCAGGGCGACUGCACAAGUGAACGGGCCAAGACUAGGUUCCCUUUUAGUUAGUCCACACGUUUGUGGGCUAUUUCUUGGGGGGUAUUUGGCCUUGUUUUGGCAUUUGGCUUUUAGCCCAAAGAUUUGGCUUGGGUUGGGUUGGGUUGAGUUUUUUUUGGGGGGGGGGGAGGGGAAUAAGUGGGGUAAUUUGGCAAAUAGCCCAAGGUUGGGUGUGGUUUUAUAAAAGCCAAUUUUCAGCCCCCACUUGUCAUUUCUGCUCCCUUAAACCCUAGGUGCCGUUGAGAACUCCCUGGAAUCUCGCCUUCACUUUCCACUUGAAGAGCCUCUCACUCUCUCUUACUUCACUUCUCAGCCAACCUCGAGAACCACACCCCAAGCUUUACCUGAAUCGGUUGCCAUAUCUCUGCCAGAGCUCAGACUCAAGCUUAGCCUUUCUCUCUCAUGACGGUUUUUCAACAAAUCCGAGUUCCAAUCAUCAUUAAAAAUCUUUCAAAUCAGAGCUCCAGUCAUCAUUGAAAGGUAACAAUUCUCACUCUCUUCCGUCCCUUUCGUGACUGCUUUUAGAUUAAACGAAAAAAGAUGAGAACUAUCUCACGCUUGUGUUCUGGUUAUGUGCAUGGAACAGGUUCCAGAAGAUCAAGUGUUGGAAGGUUGAAAUCCAAGUGUUUAUGGUGUUACGAAAUUAUAGCCUUCAACACAUCCAUUAUAGCUGCCCGAUGCACUUGCACCGUAACUUUGCUGUCACACACGCAUUGGACCACUGUUGGCAUUAAUGUUGUAGGGCAUUUCAGGAGACUGCUCCUAUGUAAGAACUUGUAUGGUUUCCCCUCUAGUCGAACACUAUUCCAUGAAUACGACUGACUGUCAUCCAUGAUUGAUUUCUUAUGGGCAAACAAAUAGAAAUUUGGAAUCUAGUGAAGUGAUAGCCAACACAACUUCGUCAACUCUCUUCCAAAAGCACGGAAGUCUAGGGAAUCUAGUGAAGUGCUUCCAAAUGCAUAGAAUCUAGUGAAGUGUUUUUGGAAGCACUUCACUAGAUUCCAAAUUUCUAUUUGUUUGCCCACAAGAAAUCAGUCAUGGAUAACAGUCAGUCGUAUUCGUGGAAUAGUGUUCAACUAGAGGGGGAAACCAUACAAGUUCUUACACAAGUGCAGUCUCUUGCAAUUCCCUACAACAUCAAUGCCAACAUAAAUGUUCGGGUGGUCCAGCACGGGUGUGACGACAAAGUUCUAGUGCAAGUGCACCCGGCAGCUACAGUGGAUGUGUUAAAGGCAUGGUUUUAAAUAUCGAUAAUAUCGGCGAUAUUUCGCCGAUAUUAUCGUUUUUCAGAGGCUUCGAUAUUUUUUCACAUAUCCGUCUCAUUAUCGUCAAAAUAUCGCGAUAUUAUCGAUAAUAUCGCGAUAUUUUCGAUAUUAUCGAAAAAGUCGUCGUGGAUCCGUCGUCGGAAAGGCAGCCGAGGCUGCGUCGUCCCCCUAGCUGCCCAGAUCUCUCUGCAAUCCAUGCUCAAACCUAAGAUCUGCGCCUCAACGACACCGAUUCCCCCGCCGUUGUCGAAGUCGCGGCGAAAGAUCCACAACUCCAGAACGGAUCGAGCUCGCAGUUGUAGAUCCACAACUCGUGGUCUGUCCCCACGGCGAGGCAGGCGUGGUCUUGGGUUGAAGCAGACGGGGAACAGAGACGGAGGCGAGCGCGGCGCCGGCAGGGCAGGCUCCGGGGGGAGGAGGAGAAUGGGUGGUUGUUGUGGAGGUUGAGGUUGGGGUUUGGGGGCGAUUGGGGGUCGUCGUUGGAGUCAACGACAGAGGUGGGGUUGUUAUCGGUGGGAUCGGUGAGCAAGGCGGAGAAGGAUCAAGAGAACUCAGAGUUCCUGGGUUCGCCGACGAGGCGGAAUACGCGGACCAGGAGGAAGGCGAGGGAGGAGGAGAAUGCCAUGUGGAAGAAGGAUCGAGAAAGGUCUCUGUGCGUGUGUAUGGGAGAAGGGAGAAGAGAGAAGGAUCGAGAAUUCGAGAGAUCUGUCGAUCUGUGUGUGUGUUUGUGGGAGAAGGGAGAGGGAGAGGGAGAAGAGAGAAGGUUCCAGAUAUAAGUCGUGUGUGCGUGUGUGGUGUGCGUGUGUGGUGGCGUGUGUGAUCUUGUGUGUGCGUGUGUGUGUCGGUGGCGUGUGUGUGUAGGUGGUGUGUGACGUUGUGAGAAAAGAAAAGCAUGGUAAAUAAUUCAACUUUUACAUCUUUUAGGAAUGGUACAAUGUAUAAAGUGUAAAAUAUUGUACUAAUUUAAUAUAUAUAAAUGAUUAUGGUGUGUUUAAAUUUCUUUCAUUAAUUACUAUAUAUUUUUUACACUCAUAAUGUUUGUCAGCUCGCUAUAUAAUCAACUUGAUAAUGUUAAAUCCAUCAUGCAAUGCAUUUCCUUCCAAUUUUUUAUGAUAAACUAAUAGAUAAUUGACUAAAUAAACAUCUUGCAAAGUUUCAAUAAAAAUUUCCAAGUUUUUCUUACAAUUUCCGUGGUUUCCAUGUAAUUUUUAUCGAUAUCGAUAUUAUCCCGAUAUUUGCAUUGAUAUUUCCGUGUUUUCGGACUACCGAUAUUUCCGAUAUUACCGAUAUUUUCUUCCUUGGUUAAAGGCUAUAAUUUCAGAACACCAGAGACACUUGGAUUUUAACCUUCCAGCACCUAUCUUUUUGGAACCUGUUCCAUGAACAGAAAAGCAUUGGAUUGUUGUUCCAACUCAGUAACAUAAACUCUAAUGAAAAUUUAUGUCUACAGAACCUUAAACCUCUUUUGGAAGUGCUGCAAAUGUUCUUAGUGAAAAGUUUUUGUGAACAAAUCUUUAGCAAAUAUGCAAGGGAAAGUACUUUUAGAAUACAAAAAUAUUUUCUCUAAAAGUACUUUUAAUCUAUUUAAAACGCUUUCAAACAAGUUCAGAAAUGUUCAUGUUUGUUGUAUCUCUAAACUAUCCUAAUACAAUUGUAGGCAAUUGCAGCACAGCUAGACGGCCAUAUUUUCUUCCGCGUAAGUGUUACUAUUCCCCUUUUGUGAUUAGAUGAUUUUAUUAAUUGUACGUUUGUUUGUUAGGUUUUUCACCUUUAUGUGAGGAGACAGAGAUUUUUCAAUGAUUUUGGAACACGACUUGUUAUAGAAGUGUCGUAUACAAGUAGUUGGAUAUUUGAAAACAAAUCCAACACUUGUGUUAAUGACACUUCAUACAAAAACCGUAUUUUCAAAGUACUAAAAAAAUUUCUCGUAAGUGGGGAAUGAUGAAAUUAAUAAAUUUUAUUUUGCUCGUAAAUGAACAGGAAGAUUAUAUCAUUGCUUUAGGUCCAUUGCGUUGGUUGAAAUUAGUAAAGAAAAUUGCGGGAGAUUGCUUUCUUCACUAAGUGCGUCCGACUUGCAUUAUCAACACGAUGAAACGGGACGCUCGAGUGAUGCAGAGUUUUAAGCAUUUGCAUUUAUGAAGGAUUUCAUAUAUAUAUAUAUAUAUAUAUCAUUGUGAAACCCUAAUACCAAUUCACAUGAAGAAUAUUAGGGUUCCAACUUAAGCAUUUGUGUUUAUGUUUUUAGCUUAACUACAUUGUUAGUAGUAUCGAUUUUCUUUAAGAAAAUUUCAUUCCAAAGCACUUCAGCCACAAUAAAAAGUUUGUCCAAUUGGCGAGAAAGUUUGUCUGAAUAAAUCCAAACUUUCCCAAAAUUCUAUAUUGAAAAUACAAAGUAAAGUAUCAAAACUCUACCAAAAUAAUUACCAAAACAUAUUAAGAAUAAGAUAAAAUAUAUAAUAUGAAUUUGACACAUCAAAAUACCCCCAAACUUAACUUUUUGCUUAUCCUCAAGCAAAAUAGAACUAAAAAACAAAAAUAAAAGCUAACGAACUAAGGACUUAAACAAAACUAAACUAAGACAAAAUUUUCACCUCUAAGUUGCAAUCCAUAGAAAAUGUUAAAAAUCAGAACAUCUUUUCAAAAGUUCCAACCAAUCCCACCAUAGAGUCUAAGUUAUUUAGAAUCAAUUAGAAAAGAAUUCACAAACUUCCUUUGGUAUAAAGUGAACCAACAUAGUUAAGGAGACUCGACUAAAACCCUUAUCUCUUGUCCUUUUAUUCAACACUUCACACAAACUCACUUGAGACAAGUAUUAUAUAUUUAUAUUUUUUUUUUCUUCUUUUCAAUUUUUGUUUUUUAGUAACAAUAGUGGUCGUGCAAUGCCAGUUUACUUAAACUUUCGAUCCAACCCAUGUAGCUAGCUUUAAGUCAAUAACUCCUAAACCACUAGGGCUUUAGGGCACUAGGUGUAAAACACUCCUAAGGACUUACUAACUCAAGCUGAAAAGGCUACGAAACCAACUAACCACCUUACCCCAUGCCAAAACUUUACCGUUUGACGCGAGAAUCACUACUGUUUAGGCAUGACUAACCCGGUUACAAAGCAAAGCCUUGGUUGGAACAAUUAUUACUUUAUUCAUAACAAGAACUAAACUUUACUUUACUAAGAUUAAAAAUUAAAGUUUAACAUGGACUAAAAGUAAGUGUUUCAAUCUCACUCCCCACAAACCAUGUUGAUGUGAAUGUGCAAAUUGUCAAAGCAUAACUCAUAAAUUAGUGUCUAAGUAACGAUAAAUAGAAAAGACCAUUGUGGGAUUAACCUUUACCAUGUCCAUUUGUUUUCUUGAAAUAAUCUAUGGAUAUUAACUUAAAAAGAAUAAAAAAAUUUAUUUGACUUGAAAAUUAAAAAAAAUUCUAAAAAUUCUAAAUUCCAAAACUUAUUUCAUACUUUGUCCUCAAGGUGUAGAAAAAUAGUAAAUAAAAUAAAAUAAGAAACAAAACAAAAGAAUAAAUGAUAAAUAAAACAAAAACAAAUAUAAAAGAAAAUGGACACACCUGGGCUCAUUUGAGAAGUCCUCAAGGUAUGACAACCCGUGGGCCUUCGAAAGAUCAAAACGUGCUGAUAGUGGAAUGCCCCCAUGUUUCUGAUGCCCCAUUUCACAACCCUAAGGGAGCAUUUUUUCUCACUAACCUAAAUUUUGUUGUAUGUUUAUCAUACAUCUAAUUAUUUAUCAUGUGUCAUUUUACUUAAUUUUGAGUAAUUUUUUUUCAAAAUUAAAAAAUUAACAUUUAAUGUGAAAAUUCACAAAGAUUAAAUGAAAUGACACGUGAUAAAUAAUUAGGUAUAUAAUGAGCAUACGUCAAAGUUUAGGGUUGAGGAGCAUUUUAUUUGACGAGCAUACGCCAAAAUUUAGGAUGAUGAGCAAAAAUGCUCCCCAACCCUAAAGCUGCCCCUUGUGCUCAAACGGCUCUCCUCCCCUUGAAUUCAAAACAGCUCAAAAAAUCAGACAGAAAAUGCACACGAUUGACACACAUGUCGUGCAUCCGUCCGUGUAUGGGUCUCCUUAGGGUUCCAAACAGAAAAAUACUGUUCAUUAACAGUACACGAAAUGCCCCUGGAGUGAGGGAUGAGAGAGAUUGACAGUGGAAAAAUCUCUCCUACAGCCGGAUCUCUGGAAUUUUCCAUGGUUUCUAUCCCCCACUAAUUCCUCUCCCCCUCCUUCCCGCGCCUAAUUCACUCAGCCCUCACCUCUCUCUACCCCACUCAGACUCCCCCAUCUCCCAACACUGUCAAUCUCUCUCAUCCCUCACUACUCUGCCUCUACCAUCUGUCUCAUUCUCCCUCUCCGCAAAACCGAGAACCACCAUCACAUCAUCUCCAAACACCACCCAAACAAAAUAACGUCCCUGGAGCUUUUGCGCUGAUUCCAGUUUUUUUAGCGGUUUCCAAGAAACGCAGUCUGCGAUGCCUGUUCCGUCCUGAUUUGAGGAAGAUUUCUCUAGCGACUGUAAUUUCAUGGUAAGUUGGCUUAAAACAGUUCCAAAAUUUGGGAUUGUUUGGGAUAUUUUUAGGGUUUUCCGGUUCUUGAAGAAAAAUCAUGGUUAAGAGUAAAUUAAUUACAUUUUAAUUUUCAUUUAAUUCAGGUAACCGUCUUCAGUUGGUUGUUUUGAACGCUGGAACCAGUGAUCUUUGAAAACGGUUGGUUCUUGAAUAAUUUUAUUUAUAAUUUAUAUCCUUUUGUUGUUUGAAUGGACUUCCUGUAAUCUAAAUGAAGCUACAUAUCUGUUUUUGUAUUCUGUAUUUGCUUUGUCAAAUUACUUCUUUUUUGUUGAAAAAUGUUAUUUGGUUUUGCAGAUCAAAGGGGUUAAUGGUUAUGUGUUCUUCUUGAUAAUUGUAUGUGUUUAUGCCCUCAUGAUAUUGUGAGAUAUCAUGGGAUGUUUGUGUCUUGAAGCACUUUUCAUUGUUCAUGGUAGUCUAGUAAAAGCUAAAAUGUCUCUCAUUCCUCGCAGAGCUGAAUGUGUUUUAGAAACCUAGCGCUUUCUCACAUGAAUUUUAAAAAGGAACUUUAACGAAAAGCACCCGGUACUGUUCAUUUUAACGAAAAAUCAUAUUUUUACACUAAAAAGUCAAUCCUGGUACUAUUUACUUUACCCUUUAUUUUGUUCUUAUCAUUAAAAUUCAAAGUUUUUUCAUUAGUUUUCAUUUUUAAAAAUUGUUUUCGUUUCUCCUUCUUUAAAAAUUGCAGAUUUAAUUAACUUUUUAAAUUAAAUUCGUUUUUCUUAAUUUAAGUCUUUAAAUCACCAUUUUCUAAUAUUUUGUUCUUAACAAUUAGUUGAGUUUUGGUUUACAUAAAUUUAUUUAAAUUAAUUUCUGUGGUGAACGACUUUGCUUAACUCCGCCGUGUAAGUUUAUCUUACAUUGCCGGUCCCAAGCCCGGAUAAAGGAGGAGGGGGAGGGCGUCAGGUAGUCGACAGCCGGCACUCCAUGAUCACGUCGAAUCCUUAUGAAAAUGAAUCCAGAACGAAAUCGCGCUAAAGCUAGGGCGUCACCCGUAAGUGGCGCGUUGUGUGGCCUGAGCACAGUGAUAAGUGAGCAAGGGUCGCUGUAUCUCCAUCGGCACCCGGAUACAGUGUUAAAUGAGCAAGGGGGCUAUAGAAACUUCUUUUCGAACGACUCCACUCAAAGUUGUUUGGGAGCAUAUGCUCCUAUCAACUUUACAGGGGACACACAAAAGAAGUACUUUGAUCCUAUUAGACGGGGAAGGGUGAAGAAGCUAGGACAGAAGGGUAGAGUUCAAGAGAGCAAAAUGCGUUUAGGAACGUGGAAUAUAUAGGAACCUUGACGGGAAAAUCUAUGGAAGUAGUAGAAGUUAUGGUGAGGAGAAGGAUAAAUAUUUAUGUGCCUACAAGAAACUAAGUGGGUUGGUCGUAAGGCAAAGGAUCUAGAAAACUCAGGGUUUAAACUAUGGUAUUCGGGCACAAAUAGAACGAGAAACGGUGUUGGCAUCAUCGUGGACAAGACCUUGACACAAGAUGUUGUAGAUGUCAAGAGGGUAGGAGAUAGAAUCAUGGCAAUCAAGAUUGUAAUAGGACAAGAACUUAUCAAUGUGAUUAGUGCGUACGCACCUCAAGUAGGGUUGGAUACGAGUUCGAAAGAGAAAUUUUGGGAAGACCUUGGAGACUUGGUGCAAGGAAUUGCUCAGACGGAGAAGUUAUUUAUAGGAGGAGAUUUUAAUGGACACGUGGGCAGGGAGACAGGCAACUAUGGAGGUUUUCAUGGUGGCCAUGGUUUUGGGGAGAGAAACGAGGAUGGGGAAGCUAUCUUGGAUUUUGCAAUGGCAUAUGAUCUCUUCUUAGCCAACACCUUCUUUAAGAAGAGAGAAGAACAUGUGAUCACCUACAAGAGUGGGUCGUCAAAAACACAAAUAGAUUUUCUUCUAAUGAGGAAAGGGGAUCGUAUAACUUGUAAGGAUUGCAAAGUUAUACCAGGAGAGAGCGUGACUAAUCAACAUCGCUUGUUGGUGAUGGAUGUACAUAUCAAAAGAGUGAGAAAAAAGAACAAGACUUGGAAGUGCCCAAGGACUAGAUGGUGGAAUCUAAAAGAAGAAAAACAAGCCAUUUUCAAAGAGAAAGUAAUCACCCAGUGUGUGUGGGAUAGAGAGGGGGAAGCUAACCAAAUGUGGGAUUCCAUGGCUAGUUGUAUCCGAAAAGUAGCAAAAGAGGUAUUAGGAGAGUCCAAGGGCUUUGCCCCACACCAAAAGGAAUCUUGGUGGUGGAAUGAGGAGGUACAAGCAAAGGUGAAGGCUAAGAAGGAAUGUUGUAAAGCCUUAUAUAAGCAUAGGACCGAUGAAAAUGGUGAAAGGUAUAGAAAAGCGAAGCAAGAGGCGAAGAAAGUUGUGAGAGAAGCUAAGUUAGCGGCUUAUGACGAUAUGUAUAAGCGACUAGAUACCAAAGAAGGAGAGUUGGAUAUCUAUAAACUAGCUAGAGCAAGGGAAAAGAAGACAAAGGACCUAAACCAAGUGAGGUGCAUCAAGGAUGAGGAUGGAAAGGUUCUUGCUACAGAGAACGCGGUUAAAGACAGAUGGAAAGGUUAUUUCAUAAUCUUUUCAAUGAAGGACAUGAAAGGAGUGAUUCUUUAGGGGAGUUGAGUAACUCAGAAGAGUGUAGAAACUACUCUUUUUAUCGUAGAAUCCGAAAGGAAGAAGUGGGUGUAGCUUUGAAGAAGAUGAAGCAUAGAAAAGCAGUAGGCCCAGACGAUAUACCAAUCGAAGUGUGGAAAGUUUUGGGAGAGAUAGGUAUAACAUGGCUCACUGACCUUUUCAAUAGGAUUUUGAAAACGAAGAAGAUGCCGAAUGAGUGGCGAAUGAGCACUUUGGUGCCUAUCUACAAGAAUAAGGGCGAUGUACAAAAUUGCAUGAACUAUAGGGGAAUUAAGCUAAUGAGUCAUACAAUGAAGCUCUGGGAGAGAGUCAUUGAGCAUAGAUUGAGGCAAGAGACACGGGUUUCGGACAACCAAUUCGGGUUCAUGCCAGGGCGCUCAACCAUGGAGGCAAUCUAUCUCUUACGAAGAUUGAUGGAAAAAUAUAGAGAUGGGAAAAAGGAUUUACACAUGGUCUUUAUAGAUUUGGAAAAAGCGUAUGAUAAGGUCCCAAGAGACAUUCUUUGGAGGAUUUUAGAGAAGAAAGGAGUACGAGUAGCAUAUAUCCAAGCUAUACAGGAUAUGUAUGAAGGAGCAAAGACUGCCGUAAGAACUCAUGAAGGACAAACCGAAAGCUUUCCCAUAACUGUAGGAUUACAUCAAGGCUCAUCCUUAAGUCCUUACCUUUUUGCGUUGGUAAUGGAUGAGUUAACAGGACAUAUUCAAGGUGAUAUUCCUUGGUGUAUGCUUUUCGCAGACGAUAUAGUGUUGAUAGAUGAAACUCAGGAAGGGGUAAAUGCAAAGCUUAACCUUUGGAGAGAAGUGUUGGAAUCUAAAGGUCUUCGCCUAAGCCGAUCAAAGACAGAAUAUAUGGAGUGCAAGUUCAGUGCAAAUGGAGGCCAAAACGAGUUAGGGGUGAGGAUCGGAGAUCAAGAAAUACCAAAGAGCGACCGUUUUCGUUACCUAGGAUCUAUCUUGCAAAAGAACGGAGAAUUAGAUGGAGAUCUCAACCAUAGAAUACAAGCUGGAUGGAUGAAGUGGAAGAGUGCAUCCGGCGUGUUGUGUGACCGCCGUAUGCCACUGAAGCUCAAGGGAAAAUUUUAUAGGACGGCAAUAAGGCCGGCGAUGCUGUAUGGCACAGAAUGUUGGGCGGUGAAGCAUCAACACGUACACAAAAUGGGUGUAGCAGGAGAUGAGGAUGCUUCGUUGGAUGUGUGGGCACACGAGAAAGGAUAAGAUUAGGAAUGAGGAUAUCCGGGGUAAAGUAGGAGUAGCCGAAAUUGAAGGAAAGAUGAGAGAAAAUCGGUUACGGUGGUUUGGACAUGUGCAAAGAAGGCCUACUGACGCUCCGAUUAGAAGAUGCGACUAUGGGACAGAGGGUUCAGGGCCGAAGGGGCAGAGAAAGACCUAGGAAAACUUUGGAAGAGACCCUAAGAAAAGACUUAGAGUACUUGGAUCUAACGGAGGACAUGACACAGGACAGAACACAAUGGCGUUCUAAGAUUCAUAUAGCCGAUCCCACUCAGUGACUUGGAUUUUCCAAGUCUCCAACCGAGAAGUUUUCCUCACUCGGGAAAUUAAGGGAACACUACCUCAACCUAUAUGCUCCACUCACAAAGCUUCAACAUACAAGCUUCAACAAAAGAAAAUUCAAAGAACUUAGCGAAGAAGGCUUUGGUGUAUUUAACACAAUACGUUGAAAUGAAGGAAAGCUUAUUUAUUGAUAUCCCCGAUAAGUUACAAAUAUGUACAUAUACUUGAGUCAAAAUAAACAAACAAGAGGGAGCCUUCACAAAGGUUGCUUAGGAGAAGUCUCAGCAGUCGGUAGAGCCCCAGAAAGAGAAGGCACCGGAGGGGGAUCAUUCGGAGCCUCAGUACUGGACAGAACCCCUAGAAGGAGGAGGCAUCAGAGGUUGAUCAUUUGGAGCUUCAUUACGCGGUACAGCCCCAGAAGACGAAGGCAAUAAAUGCCUUUGGAACAAACCCACAAAUCUCUGAUGAUCAAGUAAAACCUGACCAUCAGAUUCCUUCAUCUGGUCAAGCUUCCUCUUCAUGUUUGUAGCAUAGUCAUGUGCGAGCCGGUGCAACUGUUUAUUCUCAUGCUUGAGCCCUCUAAUCUCCUGUUUGAGACUCAUCACUUCAGCCGCCAAUGAUUCAACUUGGCGGGUUCGAGCAAAUAGGCGUUGGGCCAUAUUAGACACAGAACCUGCACACUGAACACUGAGAGCCAGAGAAUCCUUAACAGCCAACUCAUCAGACCGUUUGGAAAGUAGUCUGUUAUCUUUGGGAGUGAGAAGGUUCCUGGCCACUACCGCAGCGGUCAUAUCAUUCUUCAUCACGGAAUCCCCAACGGUAAGAGGACCAGUAGGGGAGACGAAGGAUGGGCGCCAUAUGUUGUCUGGAGAAGGCGGGGCUGCCUCUUCAACAAGGUUCAAGUCAAAACGACGGUCGGAGGGGCCAGACAUUUUCAAAGGUGUUGAAGAGAGAAGAGGUCGGACAAAUCAAGAUCUUAGAAGUGCAAGAAUGGAGCUUCUACUGGUGGAUAUUCAAGUGUGCUUUGGAACUUAAUGUCAGCCCCUAUAAAAAUCUGCACUCGACGAAGCUUCAGAAAUCGAAGAGGCGCCUGCUCAGAAAUCGAAGAGGCGUUUGCUUUCUCAAAAGCUGGGCUGCUCAGAGACCACGAGGGUCGAUCUCAGAAAUCGAAGAGGCGUUUGCUUUCUCAAAAGCUGGGCUGCUCAAAGACCACGAAGGCCGAUCUCAGAAAUCGAAGAGGCUUGCUUUCUCAAAAGCUGGGCUGCUCAGAGACCACGAGGGCCGAUCUCAGAAAUCGAAGAGGCACCUACUUUUUCCAGCCUUGUCAGCACCUGUCACACGCACACUCAGCUUUGCGGAAAUUAUGGGCAUUCUGUCGAAGAUUUCUGGCGAAGUAGAAAGCACAUGAAUCGUACUGUUCAAUCACCCACUUCCCACACGCAACAGUAGCUCAUGGGUACCACAGAUAACUUUGCCAAAGUUCUCUGACAAAGUUGAGACACGUGAAGCUUGCAGCUCCCACUACAUCGCUCUGACCAAGAAGGGUAAAAGAAUAGCAAAGAAACAACACUAACAAAGUUUAGACACAUAAAUUUUGAAGGUCUAGCUACCAUAUUAUUACCCACAAGGGUAAAGGAACAGUACCACUGCUGGAUAAUUGGAAAGUCCCGGUGUGUCAACCUCUGUGCUUCGUGGCAAGGUAGACUAGCAAACAUGCCCAACCUUUACUCACAUUCGAGAAAACACUCCCAACAAGAUUGCUUGCUCCAAAAUCGAAGAGGCACCGCCCUCCGAAUCUCGAGAGCCAGACUCCCAACAUGAUUACUUUCUCAAAAAUCGAAGAGAGGGUAAAGGAACAGUACCACUGCUGGAUAAUUGGAAAGUCCCUGUGUGUCAACCUCUGUGCUUCGUGGCAAGGUAGACUAGCAAACAUGCCCAACCUUUACUCACAUUCGAGAAAAACACUCCCCAACAAGAUUGCUUGCUCCAAAAUCGAAGAGGCACCGCCCUCCGAAUCUCGAGAGCCAGACUCCCAACAUGAUUACUUUCUCAAAAAUCGAAGAGAGGGUAAAGGAACAGUACCACUGCUGGAUAAUUGGAAAGUCCCUGUGUGUCAACCUCUGUGCUUCGUGGCAAGGUAGACUAGCAAACAUGCCCAACCUUUACUCACAUUCGAGAAAACACUCCCAACAAGAUUGCUUGCUCCAAAAUCGAAGAGGCACCGCCCUCCGAAUCUCGAGAGCCAGACUCCCAACAUGAUUACUUUCUCAAAAAUCGAAGAGACAUCCGCUCUCCGAAUCUCGAGAGCCAGACCCCCAGCAGGAUUGCUUUCUCAAAAAUCGAAGAGGCAUCGUUUCUCCGAAUCUUCGAAGAGCCAGGAUCUCCUUGGAUAAAGCUUGUCUGUAAUCUUCACACGCAACAUCAGCUUUCCAGAUACCACAGACCACUUUUUCAAAGUGCUCUGACAGAGUUAAAACAUGUGAAGCUGGCAGCUCCCACUACCGUGCUAUGACCAAGCAGGGUAAAGGAAUAACAUUAUUACUUGAUGUUAGGGAGACUCCUAUAUAUGUCGACCUCCAUCCCUAACGGACAGGCAGACCUGCAAAAAUGCUCAACCCUUCCUCUUAUCUGAGAGGGCACUCCCAACGAAGCCUUUCGAAAUAUUCAGCUUUCUUUCCCCCCGAUAAUACCUCUGUAAACAAGCUAUACUAGAGCAAGAAUAUCUCAUAUCAUCAGGGUUAAAAGCAAGAGUAUCCCAUAUCAUGCUUUUUCCCUGUCUUUUCCUUUGGCCUUGUUCUUACCUGCAAGACAAGGAGAAAGAGAGCAAUCAGUCAGCACUUGGAAUCAAGCUUCCAGCCAGGAACUGACUGCCUGGAACCCCUUACCUGAUUACUUACCUGGCAUUGCUCUCGAGUACUCAUCUUCAACAUCUUAUGCUUCCAGGGAAGAUACCGCAUCUGCCUGAGGAACAGAUAGGGCAAGUGAGAAGGAUACAAGGAAGCAUGUGGAGACAAGCGUAACAGCACACGUGCCGAUACAUCCACUACUCUGUCAAAAGCAAAAGUAUCCCAUAUCAGCAGGGUCGAACGUACUCUAGAUUUGAUGGACUUGUUUUGACCCUCAAAUUCUUCAGUCGGCCUUAUACUCUGGAGGAAACCAGAAAACCCUCCAGCCCAGUUCAAGAAUAAGCCUGUGGAAAGUUACUUCUUCAAAAGCAAAAGUAUCCCAUAUCAUCUCUUCUCAUUUUUCUUCUCUUUAUCCUUCAUGCUGCCUGCAAGAUAGGGAGAAUGUGAACAAUCAGCCGGAGCUCUGAUUGCUUACCUUGUCUGUCACCUCUUUCAGCAGAUCCCCUAGCUCGGCGACUUGGGGGACUCCUACUACAUGGUUUGUAUCGCGCUUGACCAAGCCUGAAACUACAAGUAAGCUUCAAGUGAAAUUGAUACAUUACCUUGUGCAUCUCCACCAGUUACAGAUACCACCCCUGGAUGGAGGAAGAGUACUUCCAGAGAAGAUGCCUACCUAUGAGACAGAUAAGGCAAGUCAAGACGAUACCACACUCCGGUACUUAGAAGUUUCGUGGCUUACGAGAUCAUUCUCCCACAAUAUUUCCUAAUGUCAUUUGUACUAAAUCAUUCACUUGUACUCACUAAAGGAGAGCUUGAACCUAUGUACUUGUGUAAACCCUUCACAAUUAAUGAGAACUCCUCUAUUCCGUGGACGUAGCCAAUCUGGGUGAACCACGUACAUCUUGUGUUUGCUUUCCUAUCUCUAUCCAUUUAUAUACUUAUCCACACUAAUGACCGGAGCAAUCUAGCGAAGAUCACAAAAAGUGACCGUUUUCGCUACCUAGGAUCUAUCUUGCAAGAGAACGGAGAAUUAGAUGGAGAUCUCAACCAUAGAAUACAAGCUGGAUGGAUGAAGUGUAAGAGUGCAUCCGGCGUGUUGUGUGACCGUCGUAGGCCACUGAAGCUCAAGGGAAAAUUUUAUAGGACGGCAAUAAGGCCAGCGAUGUUGUAUGGCACAGAAUGUUGGGCGGUGAAGCAUCAACACGUACACAAAAUGGGUGUAGCGGAGAUGAGGAUGCUUCGUGGGAUGUAUGGGCACACGAGAAAGGAUAAGAUUGGGAAUGAGGAUAUCCGAGGUAAAGUAGGAGUAGCCAAAAUUGAAGGAAAUAUAAGAGAAAAUCGGUUCCGGUGGUUUGGACAUGUGCAAAGAAGGCCUACUGACGCUCCGGUUCGAAAAUGUGACUACGGGACAGAGGUUCGGGGCCGAAGGAGUAGAGGAAGACCUAGGAAAACUUUGGAAGAGACCCUAAGAAAAGACUUGAGUACUUGGAUCUAACGGAGGACAUGACACAAAUGAGCGCAAUGGCGUUCUAGGAUUCAUAUAGCCGACCCCACUUAGUGGGAAAAGGCUUUGUUGUUGUUGUUGUUGUUGUUGGUGAACGACUUUGCUUGAGCCAAUUAUACUACGAUAAUCUUGUUUCUCUAACAAGUAUUUUAGUUGUUUUUAACCUUUUCCAG